RNAcentral lists this long non-coding RNA (96335 nucleotides) under Ananas comosus (pineapple). RNAcentral describes it as "long non-coding RNA (ACOM_LNC031729)". Lineage: Eukaryota; Viridiplantae; Streptophyta; Magnoliopsida; Poales; Bromeliaceae. The record is from RNAcentral.
AAUAUAAUUUAAGUUUAGCAGCUCAGAAUCUGUUCAUUUUCGUCAAAGCCCUUCUGAAUGUCCGUUUGUGCUCAAAUUUGACAGUCAGGCUCAGUUUAAGCUAAUAAGAAGAAGGAAAUUUUAAUCUUUCAGUUUUGACCAUUUUUUAUUACCGAAAAUCCUACCGACUAAAAUCUCUAGUAGAUAGGAAUCGGAUUUUAUUUCUCACUUUUCGGGUGUCAGAAAAAUAUGAAACUUUAAAUCUAGCCUCAUAAAAAUAAUUUCAACAUAUACCCAGACUUUCAUAAUUUUCUGACACUCUGAAUUUUCUGCUAAAAUAUCAGCCCCGUUUCUCACAGAGAAGUCUAAAUCUUCUGUUUUCGUUUCGAUUUCAACACAAGCCAUUCCAGACUUAUAUUUUGUUUCUUUAAGUCCAAUAAAAAUAGUAUCUUACACUAUUUUUAUUUACACUUGCUUUUAUAUUAAAAUUCGGUACAUCAACAAUUAUAAUGUUUGAAUAUCCUUUUCAUUUAUUCUACACUAUAUUUAGAAUGCUUGUCAGUUGGCUUGGCACCGACUAUCUAUGCCACAUUCAUGAAAAGGAUAUUCAAACAUUAUAAUUNGAGCGAGCCGAUCUCGAGCUCAUUUCGAGCCGAACACGAGUUGGUUCGCGAACAACGAGCUGGAUUGCCACCCCUAGUCACCAUAUUGAUCAUGUACGUGUAUAUAUAGAAAUCAUGCAUUGUAGGGUUAAAUAGUAGUAUGCUUAAAUUUCUUGUAUGUUGCUAAAGUAAAGAUAAUGACGUGAAUUGAGAAUGGAACAUUGGACACAUGAAAACUCUAUAGAUGUAUAAACUAAGAUGUGAAUAUUGACAAUGUAGUAAACAUGGUGACAUUAUGACUAAAUGAGUUGAUUAGCACCUUGAAGCAUUGAAUGCUAGAGAAUGGUACACUUUUAGUAUUAUGACAUUAGUUGACAUGGUUUUCUCAUGAUUAGAGGAUUGGAUCAUACUCACAUAUAAUUUGAUGUACUUGAGGAUGGUCGCUCCACCUCAAGCGGUGAGCUUCGGAGUUGUCACACCUGGGCGGUAGUGAAAUUUUUCCCAGCAGAUGGUCCCAUCGGGUUGUAGCGGAAUUCUCCCCGACAAAAAAGAAUUUGGUUUGGUGAGUUGGACUCAACUUAUGGGUUAGCCGAGAUGAUUGGGUUAUGGCAAUAAAAAUGACAUGUAUCAUGAGUAUAAUGGUAUAUUAUUUUAGUUUCAUGUUACAGAUAUAGUAGCUGUAUUUGUAUUAAGUUAUAUAUAAAUAUCCUUGCUUUUUUACUUACGCCUAAUUAGACCUAGUGGAAAAGUCGGCAGAAUCAGCGGUCAAAUUCACUGGAAACUUCUUUUAGUUCUCACCCCACCAUUUUACAGAUCCUAGCGCGAGUGGAGCGAUCUAGGAUCGCGGCAAGGACAUAGAACCCUAGGUAGAGGACCUCCUUGCACUAGUUGUACCCUAUGUUGUCAUCUUUUGUACUUGAUGAAAAACUUGUAAAGGGUGAAUUUGAGAGAUGAACAAUAUAUGUAAUGAUAUUUGGGUAAAUGAUGUAUUUUGAGUUAAUGUAAUUAAUGUUUAACUGUUGGAUGUAGUAGUUAGUUAUUAUUCUCACUCACUCUUGUAUAUUUACCUUGUGCAAAUCAUGCAUAUUGUCGUUUUCUUGGGCAAACUCCUUACGCAUGCUGUUGUUGUGGUUGAGCCUUGGGCGGAUAGGAAAAACUAUGUCUGUUCGGCUGUCUAUGUGCGCGCCCGAACCGACCAAAUAGGCGGUCCUAGGGCGUGACACAACGUGAUCUAGGGGCAGGCGAGCAGCAGCAAGCCGCUCAAGAAGGAGCUUCUGUUUGUGGAUGUGACCCUCAAUAGGAGAGCCACUCGGGCGCUCAUAGACACUGGAGCAACCCACAACUUCAUUACUGAAGCUGAGGCCAAGCGACUGGGCCUCAACCUCGAGAAGGACAUGAGAAAAUUCAAAGUUGUCAACUCGAUGGCACAGCCUAUUGCAGGGGUAGCCAAAGGGGUGAUGAUCACUGUAGGACCCUGGAUGGGUACAGCGAGCUUUACUGCCGCGACCAUCAAUGACUUCAAAGUUAUCCUCGGCAUCGACUUCCUCGCUUCGUCGAAGGCAAUUCCGAUGCCGAAUCUCGAGGCCCUAAGCAUCAUGGAGGAGGCGGCCCCAUGCAUGGUCUUGGCAAGCUGCGGUGAGCCAGCGGCAACUGACACCCUUUACACUCUACAGUUGCGGAAGUGGGUGAAACGCAGAGAAGUUACUUACCUUGCAGCUAUCCGCAAAGUGAGAGAAGAGGACCUCGAGGAGGAGGGCCCUCCAGUAGAGAUUGAUGCGAUUCUGGGAGAGUUCAAGGACGUCAUGUCAUAGGAGUUGCCCAAGAAACUUUCACCUAGGUAGGAGGUAGACUAUAUGAUCGAGCUCGAGCUCGAGCCAGGAGCUAAGUCACCAGCGAAGGCACCAUACCACAUGGCCCCGCUAGCUCGAGGAGUUGCAACGUCAGCUAAAGGACCUCAUCGAUGUGGGCUUCAUAAGGUUAUCGAAAGCACUCUAUGGAGCACCGGCCUUGUUCCGAAAGAAGAGCGAUGGAAGCCUGUGGCUCUAUAUUAACUACAGAGCGCUCAACAAGGUGAUGGUAAAGAACAAGUAUCCUAUUCCCCUGGUUGCAGUUUUUUUUUACCAACUUAGCGGAGCGAAGUUCUUCACAAAAUUGGACCUUCGCUCGGGGUAUUACCAAGUCAGGAUUGCGGAGGGUGAAGAGGAGAAGACGACAUGCAUGACGAUAUAUAGAGCCUAUGAGUUCCUCAUCAUGCUAUUCAGCUUGACGAAUGCGCCGGCAACUUUCUGCACUCUGAUGAAUAAGCUAUUCCACCCUUACCUCGUUCGCUUCGUGGUAGUGUACCUCGAUGACAUCGUCGUGUAUAGCAAUACUCUAGAGAAGCACGUCGAGCUUCUUCGAACGAUCUUUCAAGUACUGCGGAAAAAUCAACUUUAUGUCAAGAGGGAGAAAUGCUUUUUUGCUAAAGAGGAGGUGCACAUCCUUGGCAAUUGGAUUGGCCGAGAACAAUUCCGCAUGGACAAGCAGAAAGUGUGGGUAUCUGUGAGUAGGAAGCACCCACGACGGUGUCUGAGUUGCGAUCCUUUCUCGGACUCGUCAACUAUUAUCGCUACUUCAUCGGGGGCUACUCUACUUGAGCAGCCCUAUUGAUGGACUUGCUGAAGAAGACCUAGUCAUGGGAUUGGACCCCUUGGUGCACGAAGGCAUUCGAGGACUUGAAGCGGGCGAUGACAAAGGACCUGGUGCUACAUCUUCCUGACUGCAACCGCCCAUUUGGGGUGCAUACUGACGCCUCGGACUUCGCUAUCACCGGUGUCCUCAUGCAGGACGGGCACCCCAUCGCCUAUGAGAGCUACAAGCUCAACGACACUGAACAGCGGUAUACGGUGCAAGAGAAGGAGAUGACCGCCAUAGUGUACUGUCUCAAGACUGGCGGCACUAUCUUCCUUGGAGCAAGUUUGUUGUGCGGACAGACAAUGUUGCAACGAUCUACUUCCUCACUUAGAAGAAGCUAUCACCUAAGUAGGCGAGGUGGCAGGACUUCCUAGCGGAGUUUGAUAUGGAACUCGUGUACAAAUUCGAAAAGGAGAACCAUGUGGUGACACACUCAGCUACAAAGCAGAGUUGGCAGCAAUGUGCCAACUCCAAGGCGCGAUUAGAGAGCGAAUCCACGAAGGGACUUGCGAAGACCCUGUGGCCCAAGAACUCGUGUGACUCGUCAAGGAGGGCAAAGCGCAGCGGUUCUGGCUUAGCGAUGGGCUACUCCUCACCAAGGGGCGUCGCAUCUAUGUGCCCAGGUAGGGUAAUCUUCGUCGAGAACUUAUGAAAGAGUGUCAUGACUCCAAUUGGGCAGGACAUCCGAGGCAGAAGCGGACCAUGACACUACUCGAGGCCGCCUACUAUUGGCCUCAUAUGCACGACGACAUGGAGGCGUACAUGCGGAUCUAUCUUGUGUGCCAACAGGACAAGGUGAAGCACCAGAAGCCAGGGGGCCUCCUCGAGCCCUUGCCUACACCAACGAGUCCAUGGGAGAGUGUCUCAAUGGAAUUUAUCUCUGCCUUGCCCAAGGUAAGGUUGUUAGGGUCCAUCCGCUUGGUGGUGGACCAAUUCUCCAAGUAUAGGACCUUCAUAGCGGCACCAGCGGACUGCACGGUGGAAGAAGUGGUGCGCUCUUCGUCAGCAACGUGUGAAGCUUUAGGGCAUCCCUGAAAGCAUUGUGAGUGAUUGCGACCCUAGGUUCACGAGCAAGUUCUGGACGGAAGUGUUCCGGAUCUUGGGGUCGAAGUUGCUCUUCUCCGCUAGCUUCCACCCGCAGAUGGAUGGUCAAACGAUGCGGGUGAACGUGUUGCUGGAGAAGUACUUGCGGCACUAUGUUAGUGCCAACCAGAAGGACUAGGUGCAUCACUUGGACGUUGCCCAAUUCUCUUACAAUCUGCAGUGGAGCGAGUCAACAAACUUUAGCCCGUUCGAGUUGGCAAGGGAGAACGUAGCCACUCACUCUACAUUCCGCUACUAAGGCGAGCAGGGCCGCAGCCCCAUGGCCCUCCAAUUCACCUCUCAUUUGCAGGAGAAGGGGGACAUUGCGAGGACCUAACUUGAGAAGGCGGCCUGCCGAAUAAAGAAGUGGGCUGAUGCAAAGCGGGGACCCUUAGAGUUUGCUGAGGGGGACUGAGUUUUGGUCAAGCUGCAAUCGCAACAAUUCAAGACCUUUCAGAAAGUGCACUAUAGGCUUUUGUGGAAGUACGAAGGGCCUUUCACCAUUGUGAAUAGGGUGGGCAAGUCAGCCUACAAACUGCAACUCCCCACCAAUCUGAAAAUCCAUCCUGGCUUUCAUGCUAACUGCUUGCGGCCCUACCAUGAAGACGCUGAAGCCCCGAGCUAGGGCGUGUCGCAGCACGCUCCCGCCACUAUGACUACUACUAUCGACAAGGAGGUCAAAGCCUUGUUGGACACUCACACCAUUCGUCAUCGUGGCGUCCCACGGAGCAUCGAGUACCUUGUCAAAUAGAAGAACCUCCCGCAUGGCGAAGCAAGCUGGGAGAAGGCUGACACUUUUUGGAAGUAUCAGAAGCUGAUUAAUGACUUCCAACACAAGCGUGCGACGAGGGCGACUGCGCAUUAGGUGGGAGAGGUUGUCAAGACAUAGAAAUUUUCUCCAAGAUUUUUUCUUUGCAAUCAUUCAAACUCUAACGCUGAUAUCUGUCAGAGGUUUUGCCUAAAUCUUUUAGAAACAUCUCUACGGAUCUUAGGAUGGCGCGAAAACCAAGAAGUCUCUUAGAGUUUUUAUAUUUCUAUAAUGUGUAUUUAAUUAUUAGGACUCUUGGGAGCUCGUAGCCUCCCCUUUUGGCUUGUAGUUUCAUGCCACUUGGCUGGCAUAUUUCUAUUUACUUUAUAAGCGGCGAGUGGACUUUAAAUAGAUAUGGCCUCUGCCCCCUCAACUCAGAAUCUUCAUUUGUAAUCCACUUCAAGAGUAAUGAAGAGCUUUCGUUAUCUCUCUCUCUUAUUCUUAGUCUAGAGCGAGUAGGUCCUAACUUAGCAAAUAGAGAGGUAGGCUUGCUCACUUCGCAAAGGAAGACGAGUGCCACACGGGCUAAACAAGCGAUUUAGCUUAAAUCCAUGACAACAAGCUUAAGAUCCUAUGGCUUGGAUUCACUUGCUAAUUUUAUCAAUUUAUUUUUAAUACUAGAAAUUUCAAGUGAAUUUUUUAAUCCCUUGGAUGUAACGGUAUAAGAUGUACUUCCAUAUAUGAGAUGUAUAAUUAGCAUUUUUUUAAGUGUUAGUCUUACACCACAUUCAUUUUAUAGUCUAGACUUAUUUACUUAUCUUAUCACUUUUUUCUUCUGUACUAAAAAUUCAAAAUGAGUUUUUUAAUUUUUGAAUUAUCGAGUGUAAGAUGUACAUCCCAUAAUAAAAUGUUAAAGUAGCAUUUUUCAAAAGUUUAAAGUGAAACAUAAUAAACACUUUUUAAAAUUUUAAUAUUAAAAAAAUGAUAAAAUUAGUGUGAAGGUGUUAGUCCUUAGAUAAGUUAUAAGAUUUAUAUCCUUAUUUUGAAUGCACAUGUUGCAUUAUUUGAGCAAUACAUAAUAGGAUAUUAAAAAAAAUUUGCUUUUUUUUUCAAAAAAUAAAAAAGUAAUGCUGCUUGUACAAGAAAGUAAUUUUCUCUAUCACAGUUUUAAUACACUAGAUUUGUAACAUUCCUUCAAAUAUCAUCACAUUGCAUAAAAGUAUAAGAAAAAAAAAAUUUAAAGCCUCAUUGCCUCAUUUCAAUAUGUGUAAAUAUCAUAUUGCUUCUGAUUAGAUUAUUUUUCGCCAACUUAGUACAAUACAAUUAGUUCAGAACAUAUCGUAAGUGUUAUAACUGCUAUAGAGAAAAAAAAGUUUUGCUUGUACACCCAAAAAGAGUAUAAAUCUUAAAUCUUACCAUCUAUAGGUUUAAACAAAUUCCUUAGUGUGAAAAAAAUUAACCGCGAAUGCCGUGUACAAGUAGCACCGCUUCAUUUAAAAACACCUAAUUUAAUAUUUUAAAGAGUUUAAAAUUUUAACAAUAAUGUAGAUUUUAGAGAAAAAUAAACACACACCUCCUCAAUUUUAUUAUAUAGCACAAUAGAACCUUCAACUCAUAUGAAAUUACUAAUUAUACAGUCAUUUUUAUUGUAUGCCUUAUAUCAUAAUCUUAUAAAACUUUAAAAAAUGAUAGAAAAAAUUAUUUCUACUCUAACACACCAAAAAAAAAAAAAAACAACACAAGUCGAAGAUAGGUUAAGUUUGUUCUUCAAUUCCAAUACUUAAUUUAAAAAUUGGAAGAGAAAAAAAGAGGUUUUUUAUAUUUGAAGUCCUACAAAAAUCAUGUAUAAGUGGCGCGAUCAAAAUAAGGCAUACAAUUAAUAAGUUAAAUUAAGAAGAAUAUAUCAAAUUAUGUGAUAAAGUUCAAAAUUGAAGUUUAUGAUAAACAAAACUAAAUUUAGGAGAAUUUUGCACUUUGUCCCGCUAUAUUUUAUUUUGUUUAUGAUAUAAAAUGAUGGUAGAUAUUAUUACCGACGUCGAGAACUCUUUCAAAAUUUUUGAAUCUUCUAAAAUAUCAAAGCGAGUGCACUUUACAUGCUAUAUUUUUAAACUAGGCCCACAAAAUCUACAUAGUCCUACUUAUGGAUGUAAAACCGAACCGGUGGCCCAUUGGCUGCCCGGCCCGGCAGGGCUUAGGGCCCAGCUUCAGCACGGCACGAGUACUAUAGCGCCUGGUCGGCCCCUACCGGAACUUUCGGGUUGUGCUGGCCCUUGAUCUUUGGGCCCAAUGGCCCGGCAUGGUUCGACCCGAAAAGGGCCUAGGCCGCGCCAGGCCGAGGAUAAGCCCGCAGCGCCGCACGGCAUGGUCCGCUUGGGCCGGGCAAAACGAGUCAGCAUGGCCCGGAUCCCCAAGGCCCAUGACAAGUUAGCUUCUGGCCCAGGAGCUCUCCUUACAAAGUCUGUCAAUGCAGACCUUGGGAAUAAUUUUGUUCCAAUGGACCAAACAAUUUUAGCCCAUUAAACCAAAAAUCCAUAUUCUUUUAAAAAAUAAUAAUAAUAAUAAUAAUUUAUAAAUUUUUUAUAAAAAAUUAAAAAUUUGCUAUUUUAUAAUUGUUUUUAUAAAUUUUAAUUUUUUAUGAAAAUAUCAAUUUGAAUGGAAAUAAUUUAUUAUUUUUUAAAAAAAUUUAUAUUUUUUUUAAAAAAAUAUAAAAUUAUUUUUAUAUUUUUUAAAAUUAUUUUUUAUGAAUUUUAAAAAUUAUUUAUAUAUUUUUAAGUACUCUAAAUUAAUUUUAACCAUUCUAAUCAUCAAUUUGAAAUUCCUAUCAUCUAAAACGAUUUAGGAGGACAAAGAAUUCCAUCCUCCUAAAAAAAAUGGUAGCUCAACUCUCUCUCUCUCUCUCUCUCUCUCUCUCUCUCUCUCUCUCUCUCUAUAUAUAUAUAUAUAAGCUUUUCAAGCCUUCGAUUGAGCCUGGUAAUAUUCAAACUCGACUGGAAAUAAAUUUUUUUUUUUUUUCUAUUCAAACUCGUUCAUUUAAUUUUGAGUCGAGCUCGAACGAGCCAAACAUGAGUAGAACAUGAGCCGGCCCACUCAUUUGCCAGCCCUAUCCAUUGAUGAAGUAAAAAAUAUUCUUUUAAGUAAUUUCGUUACAUAUUUUUUAAGCACUGUUAUUAUAAAGAAAUGUUACCUUCCACUACUCAUAGGGGUGGAUAUCAUACAAUUCUUUUGUUUGGAGUAUUUGUUUUUUUAAAGAAAUUAAUAAAAUAAGUGGAUUAAUAUAGAUCAAGCUAUGAAUGCCAACGAAACUACCCACUCAACGCCAGAAAAUUACUAUCAUCCUAACUAGGGAUCACUAUCAUCCUAACCUGUGAUCACUAUUAUCCUAACUGUACAUUUCUUUAUCCAACGGCUGAAAACUUAUGAGUAUGAAAGAAUUUAUACUCAUAAGAAUAUAAUAACUCUACUCUAUUUAUAAUAUCAUAUUUGAUUCGCUCAGAUAUAUCUGUUUAGAUAUAUAACUGCAACCAAAAAAAAUUGUAGUCAAGGCAUUGGUAUUCCACCUAAAUGGAGUAUAAGAAUAUAUAUAUAUAUAUAUAGAGAGAGAGAGAGAGAGAGAGAGAGAGAGAGAGAGAGAGAGAGAGAGUUGAGCUAGAAUACUAUUGAUAGCAAACGGGCUCCGUUGCCACCAAUUUGUUUUCGAUGACGGAGCCUCCAAAUCGACGAUCGGCAGCAUUGAACAUGAUCUAUACCACUUGAAGUGUUUAGAAAUCAAAUUUCAAAUCUUUUCGACAUCAUUUACCUAAUGAUUAAAAGGUUUCAAAAUUUGUAAUUUUAAUGGUCGAUAUGAAACGUUUUCUCGUUUAACGACGUAAAGAUAUUCAAAUCAAUUGAAUUUUUAUUAAAAAAUUCUUUAAACUAUUUAAAACAAGAUCUAUACUCAUGAUCUUGAUUACAAGACUGCUAUCAUCAUUUUUUAAAGAAUAUUCAUUUUUAGCCGUUCAUUUUUGUGUGCACUCGAUGGAUAAGAGAACAAUGUCGAAAAUAUAUGAAAUUUGAUUUCUAAACACUUCAAGUGGUAUAGAUCAUGUUCAACGAUGCCGAUCGUCGAUUUGGAGGCUCCAUUAUCGAAAACAAAUGAGUGGCAACGGAACCCGUUUGCUAUCGAUAGUAUUCUAGCUCAACUCUAUAUAUAUAUAUAUAUAUAUAUAUAUAUAUAUUUAUUUAUUUAUUUAUUUAUUUAUUUAUUUAUUUAUUUAUUUAUUUAUUUAUUUGUGGCUCUAUAGUCCUUUGUGGGAGGACUGGGCACAUAGAGGUAGAAGAGUCAAAGCUCCCAGAUAAUCAAUAAAGACAAAGAGAAAUGAAAUUACAAGCAUUCUCAAAAAAAAAAAAAAAAAAAAAAAAAAAAAAAAAGCAAAAAAUAAGUACCGGCACGGCACAAUGCCGCGGCACCCAUCUGCGUAUUGCGCGAGACACUCACCCGCGUAUGGCGCUGUCUUGUGGGAUACAAAGGUGUGUGCCGCGGCACGACGGGGNAUACUGGUUUAUGCUACAUUAUUUACCUUGAAGCUCUCUUCACUUUAAUUUGAUCCCUUCCCGGAUGAUAUAGCUUGCAGCUCGUAGUGUACAAUUGGGAGUAAUUUAAUCUUCGAUGCUCUCCAAUUGUCCACCUUUGACACUAGAUCCAAUAUAUAUGGACACCUAGAAGAAAGGAAUAUCCAAAUCGGAAAGAAUGUAAACAAAGCUAAAAGUCGAGAGUUUUUAAAAUUGUUAGGAAAUGAAGAUGUUAUCGCAAUAACAGUUGUAGUUUCCUUACCAAUUUAUAGUUUUACUUGCUUAAGCUGUCCAAAGAAAGCCCUAACUGCAUCAAGAUAUAAACAGUCUUCUCAAUAUAGAUCAGUCUCUUUACUAGUAUGCAUCAAAUUCUACUCCAAGACAAUCUGAGUAUACGGCAAAAAAACCAUCAGAAGCAUGUUAGUGAAGGUUAUUGUAAUUAUUACAAUCUAUUAUUGGAAACUUAAUCCCAAAUAUAAAGGGGUAAUUUCCAUGCUUACUAGAUUGGCCCGAUAGACAAGUGAGAACUAGUUUAAAUAUCACUGUUGUGGUCCUUGAAGCACUUUGACUAUCUCCUCGGCUCUUGAUUGGAUGCCUUUAAGAUACUCAAUCAGGAUACGCUGUUGGUAAGAACCUCCUUCCUGUUGCAAAAUAUCAUUUAAGUUAUCCAAAAUUGAAAUGGUAAAAAGGCACAGCAUGAUAAAAGAUAUUCGGGGGUGGUGGGGACUCUAACAUUACCGUGCGAAUUAAUAUUCUCUCUAUUCUUUUCUUGAUAACAGAAUAAAGAUCUUCAGGUGGAACUUGCCCCUUGCCAACUGUCAGUCCAUCGAGCAACAACUUAUUCCAAUUAUUUUCAGGAGCUGCAUUGGAACAACAGAGUGCAAGCAGAUAAAUAUCAAUCCAAGACAAAAUGUAGUGAGAUUAUAAAUAAGCUAUAUCUCAGGUGAAAAGGUAAUGGCCAAACAUACACGUGUUUCCUUGGUUAGCUUUUCAAGAGGAAAAACAAUGCACACGGAGUUAAAGUUUUCCUACAUCAUAGGUAAGAUCGGACUACAAUGUGCAGGAAUGCCCUUACAUCUAAUCCAGAAUAUUGCUUCAAGGUUUAUUAUUCAUUCCGCUAUGCAAAGCCCGCACAUUCAAGGGCAAAAAAUAAAGCCGCAUCAACUACUAAAAAGUUUGUAAAGCCCUCUCAAACUCAAAUUUCGUUGUUCACCAUAGUGAAGCAGCGAUGGAACAGAAGUUUGAUGAUCAUGUUAAAUGCUAGGGUCAAGCAAUAAUUGUGUUUAAAAACAACGAAAUAAAGAAAAUAGGAGAUGUUUUUUUUUAAUGCCACAAAAUAGAUGUUCUAUGCUUAAUAUUUGCCACAAAACAGAUGUUCUAUGUUUAAUAUUUGACUAAACACUACAAAAGGAGGUAUUCAACAGCCGCUCUAAGACACAUGAAGUAAGACCAACAGAUAAUCAACAUUGGAAGCUAUUAAUAUUGGUUCAGGACUGGUGAACCACGCCAAUUCUCACAAAAUCUGCUUCUUAUCGACCCCUCAGAACUAAUCUGCCGUUUCUUGUCAAAGAAGUUGAAAAUUUUCAACUUCAAAAUCUAUAAGAAAAUAUCUCUGAUUCAACUGGUUAUUCUUUUUGUUCUUCACUUCCUACAUCCAAACCCAAAAUGAACUGCUCAUAAGUAGAAAGCGAGGGUGCAAACCAACAAAAACAUUGUUCAGCAUAGAUAUAGAAGCAUUCUUCUUUGUUUUUGUACAUAAAUUGGAAAGAGAGGAUGCGAGCCAACAAAAAGCUAAGUAUUCAGCAGGCAUCCACAAUGUAUGACAAAAAAGUAAACAUACAUAUAUUGACUAAUUACAAAUAGAAGGUAAGGCUUGAGAAGGUUAAGUUGAUAAAUACUCUAGUUAAUAAAGCAGUUUCUAAACCAUCAAUAAUAGAGCACUAAGUUCAAAAUAAAGUGAUAUUAUCUCACUCACCCUCAAUUAUCGAUUCAAGGAAUUUUUCUGUCAUCAACACUUCUCCACCUGCAAAUAAGGAAAUGAGUAAGAACUGACAAGAAAUAGACUUUGACUUGAUAUCUACUGUGUACUAUCAUGUUCAAAGGGCUACUUGUUAAAAGAAGAGUAUGAUAUUCAACUGAGUAAUAGCCCAUAUACCAAAGAAAAUUAAAGAGAAAGCAUACUACUAAUUUUCACCAUCUACGAGUAUAAAACCAAGUAGUUGUAACUAUUUAGUAUAUGACAUGGCAAACAAGAGUUGAGCGUAGGCUUAAGAGUUCUUCAACGAAGAAGGUAACAUUGAAUCUACAAUUCCAUAACUGUGACCAGAAUAAGAAAGUAUAACAGUAAAAAAAUACGGAAACUAGAUUUAAAGAAAUAUACAACACUUCUCAUGAACUUGAAGUUUCAUUAAAUGGGCCUCGAGUCUCGACUCCUAAGUGAAAGAAAGAGCUUACAAUGAGAGAAAACAUGUACUAUAAGUAUAUGAAACUAACCUAACAAAUUAUAUGCAGAAUGAAAUUUACAUAAUAAUAUGCGAAAUUCAACAAACUGAAAAUAUGCAAGAAGAAGAAAGUGUGUUACCAUUGAUUCUGCUAAUGAAAGGCCCCUCUUAACCAACAAGAAUUUAAGAAACAUAAAAUUUCUUUCUCAGAAUGAACUUCUACAGUAUUGACGCUUUAAGUAAUUCUACAUGUAAUGAAGCAACUAUGGCUUUAAUUAAGCUGAAAGUAUGUCCUGGUUUAUACAUUUAAUAAGUAAAAAAGCUAGUGCUUCUUCCAGCAUUUAACUAGAAUAGGACAAAGGAUAGCGGGCAUAACACUCUGCCCUGUAAAGAUUCUGAAUAGCUGGUCAUAACUAUUAUUUGAGAUUAUCUUUCAGGUUAUGGCAAAUCACCAAAAGCUCUUCAACAGUUCAUGUCCUGCCACCAAGGGACAAUGUUAAAUAUAAUAGUUCGAUCAUCUGACAUUUCGAGUGUCUACAACUCUUUAUGACAUUCACAUGUAGUGCCUAUCAAACAUAGCAAUCAUCUUAUCAUCUAUAGCUGCCGGAGUAACGUGUCAUUGAAAAAACAGAGAAAUGCAAUUCAAAAUAAUAAAAAAUGUCGAAUAUCCUGACCUUUGUAAGCAUAGCUACGUUUUCGAAGAACUCUGGAAGCAUAUAAUUGCAAGACCUUUUGCAACAUAGCUUCAAGCCCAGGUUUAUCUCCAUCUUCUUUUGCCUGAAUAGACCAGAUCAUUGCAAUGUGGGUAUGCAACAUAAGCAUGCUGGUUGUAUCUAUAGUAGCCAUUAGCAGCCAUAGUAAAGUGCUUAAUAGUAGUAAUCAGGAAAAUCCAAAGAGAUCAUUCCGUGACCAAAGAAUGUUUAAGAGGAAAUAUAGCUAUAAUACAUGAUAUCAUGGUUUUGUCCUUCCACUUUCUCCGCAGCCUCCAAAUAGUUUCUGCUUACUUCAUCUGGCACAAAAUCAGCUCAACAGUCUAAUUACUCACACAAGCAAAAGAUCCUCUCAAUUCUACAAAAUACUCACUCAAAUCCAAAAGCAACUAAAAUCCACGAGAAAUUUAAUCAAAACUCCUGACCAUCUGCAAUAGACAAGUCAAGGAAAGAGAAAAAGAUGUCUGGAUAGUGAUGUCUACUGAACAACCAUUGGCACAGCUAAGUUUAGGUUAGAAGAGCAAUUUUCUGUCGUUUAUGAAUUUUAAAUGCUUGAUGCAAGUUAAAUUUAACUUUCAUAUGCAGAACACAAUGACACAACCGUCAAUUCAGAACUUCUAUAAUAUUUGUUGGGUUUACAACAUUGUUGACCUCAUAUAAAUAUUCAAAAAGCAUAGAGCAACCAUCACAGAUUUAGUUUGCUGCUCGAGUGAACAGGGAUGAUGAACUCAAAUCAUCCAAAGAAUAUAUCCUCAUGAAACUAUGUAAUCUUACAGAAUUAAGUAAUCAAUUGAUCAAAAUUAAUCGAUGACAAAAUUUUUUUAAAGGAUGAGUGCAAACUUACUUGACGUAAUUGGGCAUUAACCUCUGAAAGAAAUCCUUCAUCUAGUUGUCCUUCUUGUUCCCUGCUCACUAAUUCCUGACCAAUCAGAGGAGGCAAUAGUAAAUUCUUCAUGCAGAAGGUGCAGCUCAUGUAGCAAAGAAUAGGCACACCAUAAAGGAGUUCUUACAAGUAGGAUUGCCUCAUAUCUCUUUAAUUAGCAUGAUACAAUUAGUCUAGACAUUAACAACAAAUUAGAACACUAUGUGACACAAUUCCAUAUAUUUGAUUAUUUCCAUUAGGAUAGAACCUUCUAAAACAGAACUGACAAAAUGUUCUCAUUGGAACCAAAGACAUAACCACUUAACCAGAAAUAGAUCGACAAUUUUAACUUUUGCAUCCUAUAAUAAAUUCCCUUAAUUGCGGAGAAACAUUCCUCGACAAAGGCUGCAUCACGAACUACUUAUUUAACUAGAAAAUAGAAAAUAAAUUAACCACUUUUCACUAACUUCAUGCCAAUUUUAUAGUGCAUAAGGUUUUAAUUGCUAUUACCUUUUGCUUUUAGGUUUUAGCUGCUUUUAGCUUUGCUAUUAAAUCAGAGCAAACGGUAUUUAUGAAUACUUGAGGGAAAAAAAAAAAGAAAUUCCCGGGCAGCAAAUGUUGUUUGCCAAUAUGAUUUGUGAAUGAUAUCUGAUCAUACAGAAGUAGAAUAUUGAAUCUUGCCUUAACAUGUAGAAUAAUUUUGUGAAUAAGGUAAAGGUUCUACUCAACAAAAAUAAAAAGGAAGAAGGUAAAGGUGAUCGGUCUAUAAGAUAAAAGCCAUGCAAAUAUCUCUAUAGAACAUUGUGAAUAUGAACCGUUAACAAUGUCCCAACAAAAUAUCAUAGGUAAACUUAGUUGAAGAGAAAGCCAUCUGAAACUAGGUAAAGAAACAUUAUUUCAUGUGGAACUACAGAAACAACUGAUAGUGCUUGAUGGGGAUUAAAAGCACUGUUAUAGUGUUACAGAAAACGUAAUUUUAACUUGUUAAUCCGAUCUGAGUAAAUCCUAUUAUAAUAUUUACUUUUUCCAUCAGUUUGAGAGCCUCUGGGUCUCUUGGAGGCCAUGAAAUCUCUUCAUGUUCAUCCAUCACAGGAUGAAGAAUCGCCUUGAGAACAUCAGUUGCAGACUCUAUCUUUUCCUGAAAAGGAAAAGAAGAACAAUUGAAAAGCACUUCAUGAGUAAUUGAGGGGCAGAGUUUCUGCACUUGCAUAACUAGUUAUUCCAAUCUAAUCAAGAAAUAACACCAAGAAGCACAGACAGGAUCUACACAGGUAACAGGCACCAAAAGUGUUCAAACUACAGCACUUAAUUUAUUAAAAGAAAACCUCAGACACUAGGCUAACUAGUUACUGCAAUAUAGAAAUACAUACAUGAAAGAAAUCACGAAAAUUUUGAAAUCGGUUGUCAGGCAAUUACACAGUAAUGCUUCACUCACAAACAUAACUAAUAAAGCUAGAUAGCAGAUGUGCUACUUCUCCGUGAUAUAGUCACUGGCAAUUUGCACUUGACACUGAGCAAUUGUUGGCAGUUGCAACACUACAAAUGUAAUGCAUCUAGAACAACCCAACUAACUUAUUGAACAAAAAAACAGUAGAAAAGCUUUCUAUUAGGAAACUUGCAUUGGUCUUAUGAACAAGGCGAUCAACUAUGCUCAUGACUGACAAGGCCAAUUCUUCAUAAUCUUUCUGCAACAACCAAAAAACAGAGCAUAUCAAUACACAGAGAUAAAAUAACUGAAGUUAGACGGUAUAAAUAACAGAGAAUUCAGCAAGUCGCAGUUAAAAACCGUGCUUUAUCAUCAUCUGAUUUGCAUGUAUCAGUUCUAGCAGCAAGACGAAUCCAGAAACCCUCAUUGAAUGCUAAUAUAUUUUCAACUACGAGUUGUUCAAGCUGCUCAAAAAGUAAGAAAGGUCAAUCAGUAGUAUAUGUCCAACAAAAUAAAAAUUAAAAUGCUAUAUAAAAAAUAUAAAAGGUGUAAAAUUCUGUCAUAGCUUUCUAUCCAACAAAUAAAAGAGCUUGUUUGGUGAUCCUGAGAGAGAGAGAGAGAGAGAGAGAUGACAAAUGGACAAACCUAUUACCAUGAUAGCAUAUAGUUAAUCAACAUGUGCAAAUGUGAACUAAGAAUGAAUCCGUUAUUCGGACGAAUUCCAGGGGGGUAUUUUCUUUUGUUCUCAGCUUACUGCUAUCACUGGAUUACCAAGAAGAGAGUUAGUUUUGUUUCAGAGGUUUCACAGUAAUUAUUAAGGGUGAUUUUGUGGACUUAUUUGAUCGUCUUUACAAACGUAAGACUGAGAAAGACAGGCUAUAUUAUGCUUGCAUAGCUGUUAUUCUAAUAAUAAGGAGGUCAAUGCCCUGUAAGUUCAAAGACAUUAUCUUGUCGAAUAGUGUUUAUAAAAUUGUGGUGCAAGAGCUUGCUAACAAAUUAUCUCCUAUCAUGACAAAAUGAUGUCAGUCAAGUUUUGUUAAAAAACAGAGUCAUCCUUGAUUAUGAGGAAUGAGCUCGAGGAACCAUAUUGAAGUGUCAGGAAGAAAGCAUACGGCAGGUUAAACUUGGACUACAUGUGGGACGUGUUAGCAAUCUGGAUAAAAAUGGAUAAUUGGAUUAAGGUGCUAAUCAGCUCGUGCAAAGUCAGUGUUCUGUAAAAUGGUAAUCACAAAAAUGAUCAAUAAACUGAAGACCAGAGAGUGCAUUUAACUUAUCCACUUACUUCUCUAGGAUUUGAAUCCCUCAGCAUAUCAAUAAGUCUGUCCGCUUCGACAGUCUUCUUAAAAGAUUUUUCAGCAUCCUGAUCAACUGCAUAGACUAAAGUACUCCUGUUUAAUGAAUUCAGAUAUAUCAUGAUAUGGUUUGGCAUUCUAAUCCAUCAAAACUCAAAAUUGAAAAACAUCUAGAAUCAAAAAAAAAAAAAAAACUAAAUAGUAACUAGUUUUUGCUACUAUUGCCAACUACUAUAGAAAAAAAAAAAAAAAAAAGAAAAAAAAGAAGCAAAGUUUAGUGGACAAAAGAUUAGAAGAGUGCACUUACAAACACAUAUCUACAUGAUUCGAAAUAAAAUUAUUGACCUGCUAAAAACUUUUAUCUCUAUGUAUUAAAAUACUUAAGCUCACAUUAGAAAAUAUUUUGCACAUCUAAAUUUUUGCGGCUUAGAUGGCAACACAUUUGGUUCAACAAGCCUAGCUCUUUGCAAGGUCUUUGAUAAAAAUCCUCCAAAUUCCUUGAUAAUUAGAUUGUAUUAUUGUUCUUCCAUAUUCCUCAAUCUUCACAUGGUUUCAUUGUCAUUUUGCACAAAUAAAAUAAAAUAAUAUAAAAAUCCUAGACCUCCUUCAAUUGGUGAAGUUCUUGGCUGAAACAAAGCCAAUGUUUGAAUUUCCACAAUCAAAACCUCACAAUAGUCUAUGUAAUACGCCAUAUAAUGCCACCAUUUGACACCUACAAUAUUUAAUUCCGAUAUGAGUACCUUAUUCUCUUUUUUUUGUACCAACGUAUUGUUUAGAAAAAGUUGCAAAAGUCUAAUCUGCCAUUUGAAUUUCUUGCUCCUCAUUUAGAAACAUGUCUUUAACCUCACCAGUACAAAAACUCACACCAAACUUAUCUCCGAUCCCACAAACCUGAAACUCCAUCGAUCAACGGGGUUGUGAACUACUGCUACAUCAUUAAAUGCAAGAGACUAAAGACUAAACGAGAAUGCGACCUGCCACCUAGAAACCCUAAAAUCAAUUAAGAUGACACAAAAUCUGAAAUCAAAAUACUCAAUACAAAAUAAUCAAUAUACGAUAAUCUACCAAACAUUGCAAGCUUAUAGAUGAGAACACAAAUUUAAACAACAUUCCAUAAUCAAGAAGCUAAAUAAGAUUAAGCAAAACCACCUUCCACGCUUCUUGGGAUGGAUCAAAGGGUGACCCUUCCACAAUUCCGCACUAAAAUCCACAAAACUCCCCUGCUUCCAUCUGCGCAAUCUCUUCAAGAACAAAGUGUAAACAACAAAAAUUUGAUCAAAAACAAUAUUAGGGCUAAAACAAAGAGAUAUCAAUUCGUCUUCUACAUGUAAUCUUAACCAAAAAAUAAAAAAUAAAAAAUAAACUACCGAGCUAUGAGAUUGUGAUCGGAAUAUGGUGGCGGCGGGAGCUGCGGUGGUCACCGUCGCCAUUGGAGAGGCGAGGGUUAAUGGCGAGAUGCGAACAGAGAGAUAAGCACGCCUCGUCUCCUCCUCUUCGCUGAGGCGCGGGAGAUGAUGUUCACACGAGGGGCUCGAGAAAUGAGAUAACAGGGAUGAGUGAAAAUACAUAGAGACCCCUCUAUUAGAAAAUAUUCUCAAAUGGCCCCUUCGGCUUAUAUCCUUUCCGAAUUAAAUUUGAGUUUAAAUUAAAAUUAAAAAAAUUAAAUUUUGAGUUUAAAUCAUGAAUUAAAUUUAAAUUGGGACAUCAAAGUUGAAUUAACCAAUUAAAAAACUUUAAUUAUAGUGAAUCAAAAUUAAAUUUUAAUCAAUUUAAAGUUAUAAAUUUUGGAUAUCAAAUUUGAAUUAAUAAUUAAGAUAUUUAAUUACGGUGAAUCAAAAUUAAAUUUUAAAUUUAAAAAUAAAAUGUAAAUUAAAUUUUGAUGCGUUUAGUUUAAACAAUAUACUUUAAAUUUUAAAUUUAUCAGAAUUCAAAAAUAUAUAAAAAUAUUCAAUGUAUAUAUUAAAAAAAUAAUAUAAAAUAUUACAGAUAUUUUUUAAUAAAAUAUAAUAUAUAAAAUUUAUAAAAUAUAAUUUUAUUUUAAAUUUUUGGAUAAAUAUGAUGUAAAAUUUUAUAUUGAUUUAAAAUAAAUUAAAAUAAUUUUUACGUGUAUUUGUACAUACACUCAAUUAGUGUGUGUCUAUAGAGAGAGAGAAAGAGAGAGCAGGGCUAAUGUGCUAUUAGGAGCACAGCAGUUCUUGUGCUUCUAACUUUCUAAUCACCCAUCAAAUUUGAUUAAUAAAAAUAUUUUUUUAAAAAGUAUAAUGUGCAGGUAAUCUCAAAGAUCUAAUGUUAUAUUAAUCGGGAGACACUAGAUAAUUUAUGUGACUUUUAUAUUUUAGAUAUUUUUUAAAAAUAUUAAGGUUAAAUUACAGAAAUUUCUUUUUAUAAAUAUUUAUUUAAAAAAAUAAUUAAAAAACUAUAUUUUUACCCUAUCAACAUGCCAAGUUCUUGUAUGUAACCUUCUCCCUCAAGGUUCCAACACUGUUUCAUCCAUUUCUCAUAAUUUAUACUGAAAAUAACUUUCUAAUUAAUAAAAAUAUAUUAAAAAAUUAUAUUUCUUGUAGAAAAAAUAAAAAUAAUUUAGUUAUUUUGUUCCCUCUAGUAAUUUCAUAUUUCUGAAAAUCUUUAUGAUAUUUUAAGAAGGAUUAAUUUCAUAUACAUCCUUAUAAAUAUAAUGAAUUGUAAAUAUAUUCCUACAAAGUUCAACUUUAAUAUGUUAUUCUUGUAUAACUACUGAUGUUUUCAAAUAUGUCCUUCUAAUUAGUUAUCGUUAAAACACUAUUUAUUUUAUAAGUGAAAUGACCUUUUUGCCAUUACAAAUAUGUCGCUCAAAAAGUCUCAACUGUUAAUUGAAGAGAGGUAAAAAGAUCAAUCCACCUUAUUAACUAAUUAGGAUUAAGUAUUUUAUCUAUGGUUAACUAAUUUUUUCUAACGGAUCCUCACGAUAGGAACAUAUUUGAAAACAUCAGGAUUUUUACAGGAAUAAAACAUAAAAGUUGAAUUUUGUAAGAAUAUAUUUGUAAUUCACUAUUUUUAAAAAUAGGAACAGUACAAAAUUAACCUUUUAAAAAUACAAAAUAAGAAAUUUUAAAAGGCCAAUUUGCAUAAAAAAUUCACAAGUUUUAAGGUUUUACAAAAAUGGGCCGCCUUUUUCGAUUUUACAGAUUCGGUCCAAAUUUUCAACAAACUGACCAAAAUACCCUUAUAUUUUUUCUCUCUUCUUUUUUUCUCACGUUUUUUUUUUUCUCGCCGAAGAAGUNCGAUUACGCCAAGGCCGCGCAGCGACCCUUUUUUUUUUUUUUCCUCUCUGACCCUCCACCCGCCGGCCCCACCGCCGGUGACAAAUAAGAAGUGCUUCUCGGGGCCCAGAAGCACGCCAUCGAGGAAGAAGGAGAAAAAUAGUUACACUCCGGCGAGAACGAUGGUUGCGAUAUAGAGUAAGGGAGAGGUCGUUAUAAAAAAAAUUAUAAAGAGAAAAAAAAUAAGAAUAAUAAAAAAUAAAAAUAAAAAAAUAAUUUACAGGAAAAACUAAAAAUCAUAAAAGACUAAAGAAAAUGAUGAAAUUGCAUUGUUGAAAUAAAAUUGCACUAUUUUUUAAAAAAUUUGUACUGUUUUAUAUGAAAGUUAUAGUCUUUGAGACAGAUAUUAUACUCUUUGGAUAAGAGUUACACCUUUUAGGUGAACGUUGCACUAUUUGGAUGAAAUUUAUACUAUUUCUUAUUCUCUUUUUCUUCUUCCUCCUUCUUCCCCUCCGUUUUCUCGUCCUCCUCCUCCUUGUUGCUUUUCCACCUUCUCCGCCACCGUCGCCGUCAAGCGCCCCUCGAUGCCCUCCUUCUCCACCGGCGCCGCUACCUCUCUUCUCUGCCGGCGUCGAAUUCACACCCGAGUUUCGGGAGGAUAGCGCCCACGCCCAUGCCAGGAGCACGCCCUCGACGCGGCUGCCUGCUGGUCUGGGGCGCGUCCCUCACGAUGCUCCCCAUGCUCCGCGCUUUGGACGUGGCGGGAAACGCGCUGGAGCCGACUGGUGGCGGAGGAGGAUGCGGAUAAGUAUGAGAGAUAGGAGAAGGAGGAUAAAGAAGAAAAAUAAUGUAAAUAUCUCUUAAAGGGUGCAGUUUACAUCUCAAAAAGUGCAACAAGAGGAAAAAUAGGGUAAAUAUCUCUCAAAAGAGUAUAUCUUUUAUUUAAAGAGUGCAACUUUCAUCUUAAAUGAUACAGUUUACAUCUCAAAAAGUGCAAUAAAAGAAAAAACAAUAUAAAUAUCUGUCAAAGAGUGCAAUUAUUGUUUAAAGAGUGUAACUUUCAUAUUAAAGUGUGCAAUUUAUAUCUCAAAUAGUGCAACUUACGUUCAUAAUAUGUUCUUUUAAAACAAUGCAAUUUUAUCUUCAUUUUUCUUCUUCUAUAAUUUUUUAUCUUUGUUUCUUUCUUCCUUCUUAUACAAUUUUUUUUUUUGUCACGCCUCUCCGCCAACGGCCACUGUGCCGGCGACAACGCCGCUAAGUACCCCCGUUCCAAGGCUGCGGCGCUGCAGCGACCUCCGCAACGUCAGCAUCGGUGUUGUCGUUAGAGGCGGCGGAGGAGGCGGAGAAGGAGGGAAAAUGAGAGGGCGAGAAGGGCAAGGAAGGACGAGAGAAGGCAAUAGAGAUGUCGUCAUCGAAGAUGGUGGAAGAGGGUCGGAAAAGGGAAAAAAAAAAGAGUUGCGGCGUGGUCUCUGCGAGGUCGGAAGCGAGGAAAAAGGGGGAUGCAUGGGCGAAGGCGAGGGCUAGAGCGAGAGCAUGAGAGUGAGAGGUGAGACGGGCCAUUUCUGCCUCCGCCUCUGCCUCUGCUGCCUUCUUCGGCGAGGGAAAAAAAAAUGAACGAGAAAAAAAAGUGAGAAAAAAUAAUAAGAGUAUUUUGAUAAGUUUGCUGAAAAUUCGGACUGAAUCUGUAAAAUCGAAAAAGACAAUACAUUUUUACAAAAGCUCAAAAUUUAUAAUUUUUUUUAUAUAAAUUGACCAUUUUUAAAAUAUAAAAUUAAAAAAAUAUAUUUAUCUACCGUUUGGUUCGGGGUUAAGGAAAAAAUAGCUAUUCCAGGAAUAUGGUCAAGUUCAAGGUUAAGGUGGGGUUAAAGUUUUUUUAUGUUUGGUUGGGGGUUGGAUUUAGUCUAGGAUAGUGAUAAAUAGUGUUUGGUUGGAGUAGGUAGGAUAAGAAGAAUAAUGAUUGAUAAAGAGAGUAAAAUUACUAAAAUACCCUCACUUUAAUCAUUUGAAUUAAAUAAUUUGCUUUUAUUUUAUAAAUUCUUUGAUGGCAAUUAGUUUUAAUGAGUAAAGUAAAUUUAAUUAUUUUAUAAAUUUUUUUAUUUUAUAAAUUCUUUGAUGGCAAUUAGUUUUAAUGAGUAAAAUAAAUUUAAUUAUUUUAUAAAUUUUUUUAUUUUAUAAAUUCUUUUAUUGCAAAUAGUUUUUUGUAGUUAGUGUCUCCUAAUUUAAAAUCUCCCUAGCGUGCUUGAUUAAUUAUGAACUGAGAAUAUAUGUUAAAAAAGUAAGUUGUUGGUAUAAACUUAUUAUAUUAGCAGUUAAUUAUUCUAAAUUUAUUUAUUUUAUUAUAAAAUAUUUAAUUUAUGCGCUCCCUCUCCUCCUCGCCCCUCUUCCGACAAUGAAACCCUAACCCCGUCCCGGAACUACGUCGUCCAGUUCACGGACUACUUACCGGCGCGUGGCGGAGCACCGCGCCUACCUAGAGGAGGAGCUCCGGGCGCCGCCGGGGGCGUGGCAAUGGAUCGAGCAGCGGAACCCCGCCGCGGCAUUCCCCACCGACUUCGGCGUCCUCGAGAUCCGGGAUGCGCGCCGGAGGGCGGUGAUCGGGGCGAUCAAGGGGCUGGCGCGGGUGAAGGAUGUGCAGGAGCUUCGAGCGGAGGUGGAGGAGCUUCGAGCGGACGUGGAGAGGCUUCGGGCGGAGGUGGAGGUGGAGGGGAAUGAGCUUCGGGCGGAGGUGAAGGGGAUCCGGAGGUUAAGCUUGGGGAGCAAGACGUGAAGCUCCGGGGUGAGAAUAGGAAGGAAGAAGAAGAAGCAACAGAGAAGAAAGAGAAAAGUGGAAUCUUGGAAAGCGUGCGGGAUUAAAGAUGGGAGGGAGGGUGGGGUUAGUAAACCCCACCCCUUAAGGGUGCGUUUGGUUCGCGCUAUCUUUUAAAGAUUCCUAUUAAUCCAAUGAAAAUAAAAAAAUAUAACGGUGUUUGGCUAAACGCACUAAGUAAUCUAGUUGGUAAUAUUAGAUUCACUUGGGAAUAAGAUUCACCCCAAAGUGCUAAUCUCAUUUUCUUGAGGGAGGAUGGGUAUUCUCAUAUUAAUGGAUUGGGAUAAUCAUAAUAUGUCUAAUCUCUUUCUUUCUUCUUACCCGCCGGCUAAUUGAUAUUAUUUUUCUUUACAGUCUAACCUUAUUGUUCUCUCUAAACUUAUUUUUCUCUCUAAAAUUCAACUUUUUUUUUCUCUCUCUAAACUAAGCUUUCUCUCUCUCUCUCUCUUUCUAAAAUUUCAACUCUCCAACUCCCUCUUGUUUCGACUAUAUUUUUCUUUCUAUUUUUUUAAUUAUGCUCUCUCUCUAACUUAUACUCUCUCUCCUUUUUUUCUAAAAAGAUGUUGAAACUUUUGUUAACAUUAUCUAAAAUUAAAUAAAUAAAUAAAUAAAUAAAUUGUAUAUUUUUUGUAAUAUUAAAUAACAUGGCUAAUUAAUAUUACCGUGCAAACCAAAUACAGGAAUUCCACAUUCUUAGUAAUAGGAUGAAUAUGAAUAAGAUUCUCGAAUAUCUUUUAUUCCUAAUAAUCUUUCAUAAUGCGAACCAAACGCACCCUAAGGCUGCGUUUGGUUUGGGUAUAAGUAAGAACUGUUAGUUCUAGGGAUAGGUACAAGUUCAGGUAUAAGCAGGAAUUAGACCAAUUUUGCGUUUGGAUGAAAAUUGGGUUGUUCCUAGGAAUAAGGUAAAUAGUGUUUGGAUGGUUAGAUUGGAACAAGAGGAAUAAGAGUUAUAAUUUGAAAUUAAAAUUAUAUUAUGUAAUUAAUUAACAUCAAAAUAUUAUUUAAAAAUAAAUAAUAAAUUUAUUAUUAAUAAUUAAUUCUAAAUAAUAAUAAUUAUUAGUAAUUAAUUAUAAAUAAUAAAUUAAUAAUAUCGAUUAUCUAUUUAAUAAUUAUUAUUAUUAUUAAUUAUUAAUAAAUAAUAAUAAUUAUUAAUUAUUCUUAUUAAUUAAUUAUAAAUAAUAAAUUAAUAAUAAUAUUGAUUAUCUAAUUAUUAAUAAUAAUUAAUAUUAAUAUUUAUUAAUAAAUAAUAAUAAUUAUUAAUAAUUAAUUAUAAAUAAUAAAUUAAUAAUAAUAUCGAUUAUCUAAUUAUUAAGAAUAAUAAUUAUUAAUAAUUAUUAAUAAAUAAUAAUUAUUAUUAUUAAUUAUUAAUAAUUAAUUAUAAAUAAUAAAUUAAUAAUAAUAUUGAUUAUCAUUAAGAAUAAUAAUUAUUAAUAAAUAAUAAUAAAUAUUAUUAAUUAUUAAUAAUUAAUUAUAAAUAAUAAAUUCAUAAUAAUAAUUUCUAAUUAUUAACAAUUAAUUAUAAAUAAUAAAUUAAUAAUAAUUAUCUAAUUAUUAAUAAAUAAAUAAUUAAUUAUUUAAUUAUUAAAGUAAUAAAUAAUAAUUUAAAUAUAUUAAUUAGAUUAAUUAAUAAUUUACUGCCAUUAAAAUUAAAUUUAGAUUUUAAUUAAUAUUAUUCUCAUCAAGGAACAAGCUAGUUCCAGAAAGCGGGUGGAACAACAGUUCCAACCUUAUACUAGCUUGUUUCAGAAAUUCGGGAACUACUAUUUCCGGAAACCAAAUAUAUCGUUUGGAAAAAAAUAGAAGACCAAAGGCUUAUUCUUCUUUUUGUUCUUGAACCAAACGCUAUCUAGUAUUUGGGUAUAAAUUGGGGGUUAAGGAAUAACCCUUUAACACCAAUCAAACGGUGGCUUAAAGUAGGAAUUUUAUAAUUUAGCCAAAAAUGGGUUGUAUGUACCGUAACUCUCAAGUUUUUUCUCGCGUAGUACAACUGUGUCCAAAACCUGGCAUAGUGUACGGCACACGCACGGUCACAUCACUGCGUGGCUGUUAAUCCCAUCUCCCUCCCUCUCUCUCUCUCUCUCUCUCUCUCUCUCUCUCUCUCUCUCUAUACCUUCACAUCUCCAUUAAUGGAGCAUCAUAACGCCUCCGCCGGAUCUCGCAGCUACACUGACCGGCGUCUUUUCCGAGCUCCUCCUACCCCACCUCAUCAUCAUCAUCAUUCCGUUGUUUCCAUCACAUCAUGCCCAAAAUUGUGCCCAAAAGUGCAUAAACCCAUCGACACUGGAUCACUGAUUCACUGCACCCGUAAAGAAAAAAAAAAUCAAAACAAAAAACAAAAUAGUACUUGCGAGUGUUAUUGUCUUACUAAUGCAACCGAAAAAGAAUAAAAAAUUUUAGCAUUUCUUGCAUAAAAAAAUAGAAAGAAAUAAUAUUUAGCAUUUCACACACACACUGGCACACACAAUAUAUAUAUAUAUAUAUAUAUAUAUAUAUAUAUAUAUAUAUAUAUAUAUAUAUAUAUAUAUAUAUAUAUAUAUAUAUAUAUAUAUAUAUAUAUAUAUAUAUAUAUAUAUAUAUAUAUGAGUUGAGUUAGGAUACUUUUACAAGUAUCACCCCACUGGUGCUAUUAGGUUUUUAACUAUUGGAUCUACUUCUUGAUUACUAAUAGUUCUUGGAUCAAAUACUAUUCUACCUACCACCAUCUACCACCAUCAUCUCAACCUCACAUCUCUUCAUCCAAGGGCUAAAAAUACUAAAGCACCAUGGGGGUGAUACUUGUAAAAGUAUUCUAGCUCCACUAUAUAUAUAUAUAUAUAUAUAUAUAUAUAUAUAUAUAGUUGAGCUAGAAUACUAUCGAUAGCAAACGGGCUCCGUUGCCACCCAUUUAUUUUCGAUGAUCGAGCCUCCAAAUCGACGAUCGGUACCGUUGAACAUGAUCUAUACCACUUGAGAUGUUUAGAAAUCAAAUUUCAAAUCUUUUCAAUAUCAUUUGCGUAAUGAUCAAAGGGUUUUAAAAUUUGUAAUUUUAAAGGUCGAUAUGAGGCAUUUUCUUGUUUAACCGUGUAAAGAUAUCCAAAUCAAUUGAAUUUUUGUUAGAAAAUUCUUUAAACUAUUUAAAACAAGAUCUAUACAAUUGAUCUUGAAUACAAGACUUAUAUCAUUAUUUUUUAAAGAAUAUUUAUUUUCAGCCGUUCAUUUUUGCGUCCACUCGAUGAAAUAAGAGAAGAAUAUCGAAAAUGUAUGAAAUUUGAUUUCUAAACACUUCUUUUUCUUUUUCUUUUUCUUCGUUCUUUCUUUUCUCUCCGACCUUUAUCACCUCCACCACCUUCGCAGCCCUCAACGACGAUAACAAGAGCGGCGCAACCUUUUCUUCCUCCAUCUCCUCCUUUGCCGGCGUUGGCGGCCCUCGGCGACAGUAAUGAGGCAGCGCCGCCUCCUCUUCCUCCAUCUCCACCUUUGCCGACGUCGGAGAAGGAGAAGGAGAAGGAAACCUCAGAGCGGGCCCAAGUGAGGCGGAGCGAACAGAGGCGAUGAAAUCGUUUUUAUGUUUUGAGACUCCGAUGCGACGCGCGGAGUAGAGAGGCUUGCGUUUGUGAGGAUGGAAGUCGGAUCAAAAAGGAGGGCAAGGGAAGAGGAAGAAGAAGAAAAUAAUGAGGCGAUGAGGGUUGAAAAAUAGUGCAAUUUUUUUUUUUCUGAAAUAGUAUAAUUUUCGUCGAAAGAAUAUAACUUUUUAUUUCAAAGAGCGUAAUUUUUUUCUUAAAGAGUGCAACGUUCAUAUUAAACAGUUGAUUUUUUUGUAAAACAUAUGCAAUUUAACAGUACAAUCUUCAUCUUCUUUUCUUUUCUUUGAUUCUUGCACUUUUCGAUAGUAGUAACAAUAUAUAAUAAUUUUUUUAAAAAAAUUUAUUUAUUUUACUUUAUAUUUUUAUUUUUUUCUACCCUCUACAUUUUUGUUCGUCUCUUAGAGAUGGACACGUUUUUUUUGCCUCACCCUCACAAGCGACGAGCACGUUUUUAAUAACGACCUCAUUGUCUCCGUCCGCUCGGCACUCACCCAAGCCCGUUUUAAGUUCUUCUCCGGCGUCGGUGGAGGCGAAGAAAGAAAAAGCGUAAGAGUUAUGUAAUGAGUGUCAGAGAUAGAAUGAGUGUCAGAGAUAGAAGAUGGAAAAAGAGAUGACGCCGCCCUCAUUACGUCGGUGAGGCCGCAAAGACGGUGAAGAAGGUAAUGAGUGUCAGAGAUAAAAAAAAAUAUAAGAAAAGAUGAAAAAAUAAAAAUACUGUGAAUCAGUUGGCUAAAAAUUCAAUCCAAAUCUAAAAAAAAAAAAAAAAAAAAAAAAAAAAAAAAAANAAAAAGGCCCCAAAAGCUAAAUUUUUAUACAAAUUGGCCAACAAAUAACUUACUACUUUUUUAAAAAAGAUUUUUUUUAAAAACCACGGGAACAUUAAUUUGAGGUGCAUAAAGAGCCCAUCCCUUCCUAAAAUUGUAAACGCACCAGCAGCAGUACAGCAGCCUCUUGCACAAGGCUAACGUCUAACGUAUGACGCAACAUUCCUUCAAAACUAUCUCAGUGAUGGAUAAUACAAAACGUUGCCCAUGCCAUGCUCACUCUCAACUGUUCUAAUUCAUACACGUACAACUCAAAACCCUAGCAUGGUGUACGGCCCAAGCAAGGUCAAAUCACCACUCCCUCCCUCUCUCUCUCUCUCUCUCUCUCUCCUGUAUUAAUAAGCCAUAAAAGCAAAAGAGGCCAUGUUCAUUCCUUCACAUCCCCAUUAAUGGUAAUGGUAAUGGUAAUAGUAAUGUCCCAACAAAAUAAAGCGCCGGAUCACGGUGCUACACUGGAACAGCACCUUUUCCAAGCCCGAUCAUUCCUUCCACUCCCAUCAAAUCGAAACCACCGCAUACAAAACAACAGUGUGCAUAAAGUGCGAGCAAAUAUCAUAGAGAAGAUACAACAAGUCACUACAAUAACACUACAUAUGCAUAGUACAUUCUAGUAUGUAUAACACUGGUUAUAUAGCAAGCUAGGAAGCGUUGGUGAAGUUCGUAACUUAUACUAUCAUAAUAUUACACACUCUCAUAGGAAGCGUUAGUUUAGUUCAUAACUUAUAUAUCUAAUAUUACAACAUAGGGUUAAACUCUCUAUUAAAUAUAUCCAACCUUUCUCCCCUUCUAUCCAUCCAUCUCUCUCUCUCUAUAGUUGGAUAGAAAGGUAGAUAGGAGGAGAUGGCGUCGCUAACAAAGACCAAGUAUGCAUAUCCUAACUAUUCUUCACCCUUUUUCCUCCCUUUAAGGCCUGCAGGAGGCAGCGACGUGGGCGAAAGCCGCUUGCCAAUGAACUGCUGCUCCGGCCGACGGACGCCGUCGCGAGGAGGGUCGAAGGAGACAGGAAGGAACUCAUCGUAGCCGCAGAUGAAAACCGAGUUCUUGAAGUGCCUCAGAAGAGCCUCCAGGCCCUGGCAAACAUGAAAAAUUAACCACUACAAAUUUGAUGCACUUAUAGAGAAAUGCAAACUAGUACGAACAAUUUUGAACCGUUUGAAUCGAAACAAUACCUUAGAAGCACUCUCAAUACCAUUACUCCGCUGAAACAAAUAUUCACUCUCAAAGCCUAAAAUUUGCGAUCUAGCAUGAACUGAUCAUUCAAAUUCAACACUCGCACUCACUGUUUUUGAACUAGAAAAGAACUGUUAACCUCAAAAGGUCAUUUGAACUUGAAAAGAACUGUUAAACUCAAAAGGUCAAAUUAAGCUACACAAUUACAUAAAACCUAACUUCAGUUCGAGCACUACUCGUGAAAACACAAACGCGAGAAAAAAACAAAAUAAAAAAAACGAAUUCCCAACCACUGAAUGAACCGCGUGUCAAAACACAGCAUUUUAAUCAUUUACGUCCGCUUAUAGUGUACUCAACACCUCGAUUAUCAAUAACUUGUAACAAAUGAGAGAUCACUUUGAAUCUAUUACACGCCGAGAACACGCGUACGUUGAACACCCAAAACUACGAACUAAAUAGACCCCCUAAAAACAAGCACGGAAUUAGGAUUCCUUUUGAACAGUGCACGUACCUGAAUCCGAGCGUAGGUCACCUCGCACACCUUGCGGGAUCCGUGGAGCUUCCACUCGUAGUUGUGAAGGAACCUAUGCAACCUCCACGCCGCGGCGGGGGUGGUGAAGUUCACAAACGCGUACCCCAAGUUGCUCCCACUCCUAUUUCAACAAAUAUCGAGCACGAAUUUCAACGCAAGCAACGUAACGCGCGGAAGGAAUUAUUGGGUUUUUUUUGUCAUUAAUUGCUACACCUGAAGUCGAUUGGGAGGUAGAAAAAGUCGAACUCGCUGGAGUCGUUUUCCAGCGACCCUUCGCCGUCUUCCCCGCGCUUUAAAUAUCGCGACUUCUGGUUUUCCUCCACACAGUGCUGGUCCAGUAUGCAAAUCAACUUCUCCUUCCUUCAAUUUUUUUUUUUUUUUUUAAGAACCCACGGUUUAUUACAAAUGAAACUAUGUAGAGAGAUUAAUAUAAACAUCAAAAAUAAAUACUCUUACGUGAAUUUGUUGGGCAGGUUCUUGAUCAUGACCGUGGUCUUGUUCUCUUCAUUACAACCGAACUCGAAUUCUGCGCACGCCCUCCUCUUCUGCAACAGUGGCACGGAUGAAUGCAGCAGCUGCGGCGGAGAAGCCGAAGAAGGCUUCCGCCGGCUCUUCGGCUUCGGCUUCGGCGCGAAGAUCUUCUUGCGCCCGAAGCACCCGUAGCUCCUCACUCUCACAUCCUCCUCCGCUGCGUUGGCGGUGGCGGUGGCGUUGUCGCCUGCUGUGGUUUGAUGAUCCCUUUCCUUGAACUCUUCGAUAAUGGCUCUCUGGCCAGGGAACGAUAGGGGGGGUGAGGUGAAGUGGUGGUGGUAGUAGCAGGAGUAGAGGGUUUGGGGGAGCGGGUGGUAGUAGUAGAAGGGUUGAGGGGGCGGAGAGGAGGCGUAGAGGAGGGAGGUGUGGGAGGGGGUUUGGUGGUACUCGAAGUAGAAGGGUUGUUGUUGCUGUUGUUGUUGUUGUUGUUGUUGUUGUUGUUCAUGGAAAGAAGGGUUUGGGAGGAGGAGAAGGGGUUGGGAAGAGUACAAAGAGGAAGGUGGGUUGUAGAGCUCUAGCGUAGUAGGAUGGUAGAGAAGCGGCGAGGGGUAGUAAACUGGGGCGUUAGGGUUUAGUGAUGCAGUAGCCAUGGUUGUGUAGAGAAAGAGAGAGAGACAGAGCGAGAGGGAGAGGAGAACAGACAACGAGAAAAAGGAAACAACACAACGAGAAAAAGGGAACAACUGAAGAGGGAUAUUUAUAAAGAAGGGUUUAAUAUACAGAAGGAGAAGGAUUAUGAGAGAGAGAGGGGGGGGGUGGGAGAGCGAUUGGAGGGGGGGAGGGGGGGUGGGGGAUGGUUGGAAAGGGGGGUGGGGUGGGGGAGGGAUUGGAAAGGGGGCGCAAGUCUCAUUAGCAUGUUUUAAUGCAUGGAUUCGGGCUCGGAGAUCAUGCGCAUGUUAGCCUAGCUCUCCUAAGGGAAAAUUUUUUUUUCUUUUUUUUUUCUUUUUUCUUUAACUUUUUUUUAAAAUUUUUGGGUGUAGUUUAAUAUAGUAGUAGUACCUGUCCUAUAAUCUCAUACAAUUAUUGGUAAAAAUAAAUAAAAUUUGUUUUAAUUAUAAAUUAUUUUUAAUUAAUUAUCUAUUUUUUUAAAAAAAAAUUUAAUUUUAUUAUUUAGUUUUUCAAUAUGCUUGAUUUAACCCGGUUAAUAAUAUUAUAAUAAUACUCUAAUUUCAAAUUUUAAAUACGUUGUAUAUCAUAACAGAUUAGCUAGUAUAUAUACAUUGUAUAAUUUUUUCAACUAUAAAUUCUUUAUAGUAGGUAUUUUACUUAAAUUUUGAAGUGAAAAUCACAUUGGCUAACUCAAAUCAAAUAAAUUUAAAAGUUAAAAAUAAAAGCACAAUUUUAAAAGAUUUAAUAGCAGAUUCAAAAUGGUCACUAGUUCAGAUAAAUUAUGUACAUUUUUACUUAUAUUAUUUUAAAAGUAAUACUAUUUGUACAUUUUUAUAAUAUAUAAAUAUAAAUUUUAUAAUUUUGUCUCUUAAAAAUUCAUAUUUAUUUAUUUAUUUAUCUUUUCAAUCUCUUUUUACUCUUUUUUUUUUUUGAAAAAAUAUUUAACUCUUAUAUGAUAAUAUAAGUAUUAAAUAUAACUAUUAAACUAUCUAAAAGGUUUAUAUAAAUGUUUUAUAGUAAUGUUGUCUUUAUUUACAUUUCUUGACAGGGUAUAAAUUAUACACCCCACUCCUCCAAAAGACUUUUUUUUAUUUUUAUCAACUAUUUUUUUACUAAAAUUUAUAUAAAUUAUUGUGAAUUCUAGAAUAUAAAGAAUGUAAAAUGUAUAUCUAUAUUUACAUUUAUGGAGAGUAUUUUUUAAUUUCUUAUAUCGUGAUCAUGUGGAUUGAAUAAUGGCUCUUAAAGAAAAUUCUAUAUUAUUAAUUUUUUUUGUAAUCUUGAUAUUUUGGAAAUAUAUUCUUCUAAAAAAGAGUAGAUUAUCUUUUGAAUAGGUAAAAAAUUAUUAUAUAUGACAAAAUUUAGAAAUUAAAAUGAUGCGGUGACAAGAACGUGUUCCAAUUUGCAAUAGGUAUAUAGAUUGUCGAAAGACCACCGUUGCAAUAUUUACCGACCGUCCUUAGUGUAAGUAAAAAUGAACUUGUUGAUUGAUACCCGAGAUCCCAAGUUUGAAUUCUAAUUGAUUUAUAUUUCCAGCUAAGUUUAUUUCUAAAUGAAUAAAUAAAACGAGUAGCAUGCUACUUAUCUCUCUCAAAGAAAUAUAUAUAUAGAACUAGGCUACUAUACUAUCGGUAGCACGGAGCGCUUCGUGCUACCAAGUUGUUUUCGAUGAUGCGGUUUCCAAAUCGACGAUCGGCUUCGUUAGACUUGAUCUACACUAUUGAAAGUAUUUAGAAACUAAAUUUCAUAAUUUUUCGAUAUCAUUUACCUAUCAAACAAGUAGUCUAAAAUUGAACGGCUGAAAAUAAAAAUCUCAUGAAAAAUGAUGAUAAAAGAUUUAAAUUCAAGAUCAGAUAUACUGAUCUUACUCUAAAUAGUGAAAAGAAUUUUCUAUACAAUUUUCAUCGCAUUUGGAUUGUUUUACACCGUUAAACUCACAAACACACCACAUCGGCCAUUAAAAUUGUCAAUUUUGAGAUCUUUUGAUCACUAGUCAAAUGAUGUCGAAAAAAUCUGAAAUUUAGUUUCCAAAUACUUUCAAUAGUGUAGAUCAAGACUAACGGAGCCGAUCGUCGAUUUGGAAGCUGCAUCAUCGAAAACAACUUGGUAGCACGGAGCGCUCCGUGCUACCGAUAGCAUAGUAGCCGGACUCUAUAUAUAUAUAUAUAUUUUUUUUCUUUAUUUUUGGCAUGUUUUUUGGAGCCUAUUUUUUUUUUCUUUAAAGGAGAACCUUUUUUUUUUUUUUUUUUUUUUUUUUUUUUUUUUUUGGCGUCGUGCUUUGUUUCACAACUCUUGCAAUAAAAAGAGAACUCGGUUAGAAGGGAUUGGGUGGUGAAGGGGUGUUUGCGAUCUCCUCUGAUUCUGAUUUGCUGCUGCCUCUUCAAGUGCUUUUCUUUAAAAGCAGUUGAGUCCAUUGAAGGUGGACCAGCGAAAAUAAGGGGAUAUUGUUAAUGUUGCUGUUACUUUUUUUGUAUUUUCCAAUCAUGUAACAUUAAUGAAAAUUCCAAUUUCUUAGGACUCAAUAAUUGAAUUGCUAAAAAUAGGAAUUGCGACUACGAAGCUCUUUAUGAAAUUAAGAUUAAAAAACAGAAAAGAAUUAAAAAAAAAGAUCAAAAGAAGAAAUAAAUAUAAAUAACAUCAUGAAGUUUAUAUUGAUAUGAUAUACUAAAUAAAUAAGUAAGUUUGAUUUUCUCUUUUGUACAAUUCAUUUCUUCUUUUUGAUAAUGUAGAUUUAUCAAACUUUUUUGAUAAUGUAGAUUUAUCAAACUUUUUAAAUAAUAAUUAAGAGAGAAAAAUAAAACAAAAGAAAUCUGCUCAUAUAAGGUAAAAUUUAGUUUCUUACAUUAUUCUUUCAUUUAUCUGGAAAAGCAAAAAAAAAAAAAAAAAAUUAUAAAUCUGGAUGAGGCUAAGAAUAAUUUGUAUUUUGAUUUUUUUUUUAUUUUUGAUGAUUAUACUAUUUUUUUGGGGGGUCCAUAAAGAAUUUUAAAAAAUGAGAUAUUGAAAAUUAAAAAUUUAGGCCCAAUUUGAAUGUAUAAAUAUUUUAUUCAGUAUAUCUUAUUAAUUUAAUUAAGAAAUAGAUUUAGUAGAUGAGAAGUAUCUAGAAUUGAAUAUAUAUUUAGCUUUCAAAAUAUUUAAUUAUCCUAUUAAAUUAUAUUUAUUAAAAUCUUUAAAAGAAUAUAAAUCAAACUUAUUUUUUACAAUUAUACUAAAAAUUUCUUAUAAGGAAUAAAUUAUUCCUGAAUGCAUUAAUAUCUUAUUCUUAAUUGAUAAAAAUAUGAUCAAAUAUUUUAAAUAGAAUAAUAUAUUGGGUCUUUUAAGUCAUUUUUCGAUUGAAAUAUUUAUUAUCUUAUAAGUAAAAUAUAUUAUUUUACCAAAUAAUAAAUAUUAAAAUUGUUAGAUUAUAAGGUUUUUUUUUUUAUGAAAGGUUGUGUACUAUAUGAAAGAAUUUGUCCUUUCGUAAGGUUAUAUUUCUUAGUUUAAGAUUGCGUCUCUUAGCUUAGAGUCGUCCUUUAGUAGAAAAAUUCUUGUUUUAUUGAAGAGUUGUGUUAUUUCGUACUCUAUAAAUAAUGAGUACGUUAAUUGUUGGAGUUAUGUAGAUUAAGUUAUAUUAAUAAAUUUUUGUGUAUUAAAAUUUAGAUAUAUUUAAUAAAGUUUGUUGUUUUAGUAUUAAAUACUUUUAUAUUUUUUAAAUAAUUUAUUUAAUAAUUGAUUAAUAAAAAUAUUUAAAAAUAAAAAUAUUUUUUUAUAAUAUUAAAAAAUUUUAUACCAAAUAAACUAUUCUCAUUCAGCCUAUGCAACCAAUUAUUACUGCUCAAAAUUGAUGAUUCGAAAUUCUCGUAAAAGGGACUGUUAAUUAAUAUUAUCUAAUACAUUUAUUACAUAGCCAUUUUUACUCCCGCGUACAAGUGAAACGACUUGUCCAUGAGAUAUAUAGGUAGAGAGAUCCAAACGAGUACGUGCAUGCGCAAGGAAACAAAGAGCUCUCUUGCGUGUCACUCUCGGUCUCCUUUUUUGUGUGAUCUCACUCGAUUGUUUCCAACUUACGAGAUGGGGAAGCUCGAGAAACAAAAUGAGUUUAGAUUUUGUAUAAAUAGAGAGAGAGAGAGAGAGAGAGGUGAGAUGAAAAGUUAUCAUCAGCUGACGAAUUUCCUCAUAAUCUAUUUAUAUUUUUAUGAUUGAGUAUCCGAACAUAAUAUAUACUAUUUAAAAUAUGUAAAAAUUAAAUUACAAAUCUUGUUGACAUCAUUGAUGUUAUGAUCAAAGAGUUUCUAACUUUAUAAUUUUAAUAAUUAUAUGAGGCGUUUUCUUGUUAACGUGGCGCAUAAAGAUAUACAAAACAUUUGAAGUUUAAUUACAAAAUUUUUUAAACUAUUUAAAAUAAAAUCUAUAUUCUAAAUUUUGAUUACAAAAUUCAUAUCAUCACUUUUUGAGAAAUAUUUAUUUUCAAUCGUUCAUUUUGGUAUCCAUUUGAUAGAGUAGACAACAAUAUCGAAAAAAUACGACAUUUAGUUUAUAGAUGUUUCAAGUGAUAUAGAUAAUAUCUAAUAAUGCCGAUCAUCGAUUUGGAGGCUCCAUCAUUGAAAAUAAAUAGAUGACAACGAAACUUAUUGGCUACAAGCAUUUCGGCUCAACUCUAUAUAUAGAGAGAGAAAGAGAGAGUUAUAUUUCUAUAAUAUCUAUAAUGUGCGUGCUCUAGCACUAUUAAAUAUAAAAAUAAAAAGAUAUCAUUUUUUACUAGUUUAAGUUUUCAGUGUUCGGUUGAAGGAUAAAGUGGGAAUAGACCAUUUUAUCCCUCUAAUUCAUCUAAAUACUAGAGGGGGGAAUAGGUUUAUUUAAUCCCCUCUUAACGAAAUAAUCUGAUAAGAGGGAGAAAUUAUUGUUCCACCAUUUUGGGGAAUAACGAUUUCUUUUUUUUAUACCUCUACUAAUUAAAUAAUAAAAUACUAUUUGUUAAUAGAUUAUAUAUUAUUUUAUUAAUUAUUAAUUAUCUAAAUUAAUAAUUAACUAAUUUAAUAAUAAAAUAUCAGGCAAAUUAAUAAUUACUAGUGUAGAGACCCGCGCGAUGUGGCGGAUAAAAAUAUUUUAGUAAAAAUUUAUAGAUUUAAUAAACAUAUUAAAAUGUGAAAAAAAUUUAAUAAUAUGAAAAACACAGAAAAACUUUCAGAACGAAAUUACAAUCUCACGAAAAAUAAUGUAAGAAACAAAAAAAAAAGUAAAAAGUAUAGGAGUAAAAAAAUAAUUAUAUAAAUAGCCUGAAGAGAUAUUUAGAAUAUUGUAAAAAAAUAUAACAAAUAAUAAAAGAUAAACUGAAGAGGCUCAAAUUUAUAUUUAACUACUCAUAUAAAAAGAUUUAUCUAUCCUAUUCUCUUUCUUACCUAAAAUCAGAUUUCUUUUAAACACCAACUAUUAUUGCGUUUAUUUGUGAACAUCAAAAUUUCAAUGCCACUAUAGAAUUAGUACAGAAUGCAAGGGAAUCGAAGAAAAAGUAGUAAGAAAUAUAUGACAGCCAUGUAAAUAAAUUUUAAAAAUAAUAAUAGUUAGUUUUAACUAUCUAAAUUGUAAAGAUCCAUUUUUAUACAUCCAUGAACCAAAUAACCUAUAUAUUAUUUUAGUCUGUCGAUACAAUAGGACAAUUUAAUCAAUGCUCUUAUUAAUUUUACUUUGUCAAUUUUUAUAUAACUCAAAUAACUUAUUUAUGAAUGGUAGUGUACAAUAAAAAAAAACUUAAGGAAUAAAUUCUUCUUUCUUUAAUUAUCACUUAUUAUGAGGCAACGCUUCGUAAAAAAUAAAAAUUAAUGAGCCAGUAAGCCGAAGAGGUAAUGAUUUUACGGAGGAGACGAACGGGCACACUGUGGAGAAGCGAACAAAGAGCAAAGUGAUUAGAGCAUAACAUUUAAUAAGGGGGAAGUCGAAAAGGCAACGAUGCUACGGGGAAGAUGAGCGGACACACUGUCGUGGAGCGAACGAAGAGUAAAGCGAUUGAAGAGUAGAAAUCGAGAAAGGGAGAGACUCUGGAUGUGAGUCCCAUGGGCAAAACUUAAGGAAAGCAAGCCACGUGGAUUAAGAUUAUGGAGAUUAAUAGUGUUUUAUAGAUAUGAGGCAACGUUUCGUAAAAAAUAGAAAUUAAUGAGCCAGUAAGCCGAAGAGGUAACGAUUUUACGGAGGAGACGAACGGGCACACUGUGGAGAAGCGAACAAAGAGCAAAGUGAUUGGAGCAUAACAAUUUAAUAAGGGGGAAGCCGAAGAGGCAACGAUGCUACGGAGAAGGCGAGCAGAUACACUGUGGUGGAGCGGACAAAGAGCAAAGCGACUGAAGAGUAGAAAUCGAGAAAGGGAGAGACUCUGGAGGUGAGUCCUAUGGGCAAAACUUAAGAAAGGCAAGCCACGUGGAUUAAGAUUAUGGAGAUUAAUAGUAUUUUAUAGAUUUAGUGUGCUUAUACAAUAACUAAUAUCUAUAUUGAUUAGUCAAUUAAUAUUUUAACCAAUAUAACUAAUUAAAUAAAAGUGCUUAAUUAAUUUCUUACUUUAUUGAUAUAUUAAUUUAUUAGCUUAGUUUGUUAACUUAUCAAAUUAUUUAUAGUUAGUUAAUUUAUUAAUUAAUAUUACUCGUGAUUAAUUAAUUAAUGAUUAAUUAAUGUCCUAAUUAAUUUAUUAAUUAACAUUUAUGACUAUCUAAUAAUAUUCAUGAUAAAUUAAUUAAUUAAUUAAUUUAUUAAAUAUCAUUUACUUAAUAUUUUGUUGCCGAUUAAUUAUAUACAAUAUUAUUAUUUAACUAUUAUAAUUACUCUUAUUUCUAUUAUUUCUAUCUAACUAUUCAAACACAAUUUUUCUUAUUCUCGAAAAUAACCACUUUUGAGCCAAAUAUAAAUUAAAUUGAUCUUUAACAACUAUAUAUUCAUAUAUUUCAAUGAAAGGUUAAUUCAGGGAUAUGCGCGCAUUAUGCAUGGACUUAAAAAAAAAAAAAAAAAUCCCCAAACCAAGUGAUACCUCAUACCUCCCACGUUGAUUCCAUUCGCAGAUACGUGAUAUAUCAUAUUCUGGAACUUAUAUGGGCCUGCUUUGGACCUAUAACUCUCUAACAAAACUGUUGUUUGUUUUGAUGUCCUCAGGCUUCACCCAAUCAGUCGUCGAGCCUAGGUAAUCCGGCCCAAAAAGACUUCUUAAUUCCUUACCUUCUGGUGAGUCCGGCUGGGAUACUAUCGAUAACACCAAUGGUUUGAUAUUAGCGAGUUUUCAACCGUUAGAUUUAACUCUUUAAUUAUUUUUACCAGUUAGAUUAUACUAUUCAACCAACCAUCCACUCAACCCUAGUGGCUCCAUAUCAUCCUAAUCGCACAUUUCUUAAUCCAAGAGCUAAAAAACUAAUAGCACCAAUAGCUUGGUGCUAUUAAUAGUAUUCCAGCUUAGUUCCUAGACCUGGCAAUCUUGACCCAAACUCGCAGAUACCCACGGGUUACCCACAAAUUUGCGGGUAUGAGUAUCAAUUUUUCCAACCCAAAAAAUUAUGGAUAAAACGGGUGGGUACCCAUUAAGCAGUGGGCAUUUUGGGUAACCCGUGGGUACCUACGGGUACCCGCACAUAUAUUUUUUAAUUACAAAAUAUAUUUUCUUAAUUAAUAUAUAUUUUUUAUUUAUCCAUCCUAAAAAUUUUAAUCCUAGUUUCUUAUUACGUGUCUUUUAUAUUAUGAAAUAUUUUUGUUUUAAAAUUUUAAAUAUUUUUACUGUAUGUUAUAAUAUUUUAAACAAUGAGUUAUAUUACGCUUUUAAAACUUAUAUAUAUGUGUUUUGCAUUUAAAAAAUAUAAGAGCCAAAAAAAAAAUUUGCGGGUAACCCCCAUACCUACCCGCCCACCCGCGGGCGGGUAUGGGUAAAGAUGUUGACUACCAAAAAAUUUAUGGAUAAAUUUUAUCCAUGCCCAAGUAAACCGCGAGUACAAUAACCCGCCCGCGGGUUAUCCAACCUGCCCGUUUGCCAGAUCUAUUAGUUCCCUUCUAGUUGAACUUCAACGGGUAUUCACUAAAAUAUUUUAUCCUACUAUGUUCAAACACACGGUGAGUAUAAGUUUUUCACUAUAACAAAAACAGUAUACAGCGAUACUUUUAAAUAUCGGUAUAUGUCAAAAAAAACACUGUUGGCUAAAUUACCGACACUUUUUAAAAGUGUUGCUACAUAUGCAGUUGCUAUAUAUGGGGUCACCUUGAUGUCUGGCACCUAGCGAGCUCGGUGGAGUUGGUUGAAUAGAGAAACUUUUUAUUUUUUGUUGGAUUGGAGUUUAUAUUUAAUUAGAGUUUAGUAGUUUUUGUUUAAAAAAUUUGGCAUAAAUGAAACAUUUACAUAAAAGUGUCCAAAAAAUGUAUCCCUAUAAUCUAAUUCUGUUCUAGUAAUUGACAAGUUUGGCCGAGUUACUAAGUGUUGAGUACAAAUGCAUUUAAAUGAGAGAAAUAUAGUAUACUAUCUGUUCCGUUCUUUUUUUUUUAGAAAAAUAAACUCAAUGUAAAGCAAUUAUAUUUGGAAAUUGAAAAAAUCCUAUACCAACUACCAAUUGAUGAAUGUGUUCAAAUGUUACUUGCUAAUAGUUUUAGGUUUUUGAGACAAAAAUUUUACUUUAUAUAUUGUUAGAGUAACAAAUCGUUGGUUCGUUUCAUUUUGGAAUUGUCUCAACUAAUUUUCUUCAUUUAUUUCAGAAAUUUACAUGCAUGAGUGAGAGUAGGGUGGCAAUCCAACUCGCAGUUUGUAAUCUAGUUUGCAGUUUGCGAGUCAGCUCAUAUUCAACUCGAAAUGAGUUUGAAAUCGAAUUGAUCGUUUAGUAAACAAACUGAAUACGAGCUUAAUUGUGUUUGGCUCUUUAAUAAACGAGCCAAGCACGAGUUGAAUUUUUCGGCUCGAUAUUUUAAUGAGACAGCUAGUUUUCUCCACAAUAUUUGCUUAAUAAUCGAGUGGUUUCAAAAUUAAUCGUUUUUUGUCACACAUGGAUGUAUAAACAUCUUAUCUNUUAAAAAAUACAUCCCAUGAUCCGCCCCGCCUCGUAACCUGCCUCCCGCCGGCGCUCCGAAUCCGCCUCGCCAACUAAUAUUUUUUAUAAAAUUAUAAUAUUAUUAAUAUUUUGUAAAAUAUAAAUUAAUAAUUUUUAAUACUAUUAUAUAUAUAAUUUAACAAUAUUAAUUAUAAAAAUAAAAAUUAUCAAUCACAAUUCAAAACAAAAUUCAAAAGUUUCAAAUACAUUAGAAAUGAGAGUACUAAGUUAUUUGUAUUUUGAACUUUUUUGUAAAUAAAUUAUUUUUUAGGAAUAUUUUUUUAAAAUAUAAAUGAUUUUCGGGGCGGAUUCGGGCCGGGUCAAAAUUUCUCCCGUUUCGUGUCCCAAAUCCGUCUCGAAUCGUAAAAUUUACCCCGUUUUCCAUCCCGAAUCCGUUUAUUUUCUCCCAUUUACUACUCCGUCAGGGCAGAUCGGGGCGGGAGCUCCACCAACCCGGAUCCGUUUGCAUCCCUAAAUACGAGCCGGUCCAAGCUCGCUCGCUGGUUGAUGCCCCCAGUGGAGAGCUUCUGAUCAAAAUUUUGAUGGCUUUAUAUAUACUGAGCCCCUUAACGUGACAUAUCUCACUGGAAGCGUUCCAACCAAAAAAGAUCUAAGCCUCUAGCUUGUAAGUUAUCAACAUAUACCAAUUAUGUAAUAAUCCUUCAAUUAUUAGUCUCACAUACAAAUUUUAAAUAGGGGAAGUGCUAAAGUUGAACAAAAUGGCCUUUUUUUUUUGAGAAUACAGAAGUUGUUUUAUAUGUAGUUUCCAAACGACUCUUUUGAGAACAUAAAAUAAUAGAUUUGAUCAGCAACAUCUAAAAUAUAUCUAUAAUUUAUAAAAAGAAAAAUUGUAGAAACUUAUUAUUUAGACACUAAAAUAAGCUUUAAUCAUUUAGAUAUUAAAUUGUUGGAUUAUAUAAAGUCAUGUUCCGAGUCGAUAUCACGGUGGAAACGUCGAAGAUUUGAGGUUUCUGGAUGUUGGGUACUGGUACUUGAAGUUUUAGUACCGGUACUAUUGAGUACCUCAGCAGUUACUCAAAAUUUGAAAGCUGAAAAACUAUUUUUUGUAUUGAAUACCGAUACGCAACUUUGAGUACGGUACACAAUUCCGCGAUGGGUCGGAUAUGUAGAGUUUGACUCUAAUUAGAUAUAAUCUUGUUCCAAAAGAUUCGGAAUGGUAAAAGUGGUUUCUUAGAGGAUAUCGACGAUUAGAUGUGAAUCAGAGACUCGGAUGGAAGGCGGAGAUCGUUUCCUACUAAAAUUAGAAUUUUAGGGUUAUAUUAACUCUUGUAAUUAAUCUUUUAGGUUAUGGACUUCAUUAAAGACACCUCAAUUGAGAGGAAAACUUGGAGAGCUUCUGAGAGAGAGUUUCUUGUAAUCCAAUUUACUUCUUUGUACUUUUGUGUCGUAGAUUAAUUGAAGAAAGCAUUGAGGAUGGUAUACCAUGGACGUAGGUUGACUCAUCGUUGGCUGAACCACAUAGAUUUUGUGUUCUUGUGAUCUUUUACUUUCUUUAUUGCUUUGCUAUCUUCCUGCUUAUUUUUCUACCAUCAUUAUUGUCUCUUACGUUUAUGAAAGAUUCUGUUUCUGCUACGCUCAUGUGUUGUAUGGAUUUGAGUUGUGCUUGGUAACCCAACGGACGUUCCCUUCAUAAAUCUAUAUCUAUACUAUAUAUAAAAACAGAUAGAAAAUUUUCAAUUGACAAUCGAAUUUCUAGAUAUAAUAAUACAAUGUUCCAUAUACAAAAGGAAAGAAAAUUUUAAGUAAUUAACUAGCUAAUUAAAAAUAAAUAGGUUUGAAAAAUAGAAGGAUUUAAAAUAGACCUAUCAAAUCAAGAAUUUUUUAAAUUCAAAUAAUGCAUUUAAAAUUAAAUUCAAAUUUUGAGUUUGAUAAAUAACUUUAAUUUAUAUUUUAAAAUUAAAUUCGAAAUUUUAAUUUUUGAGUAUAUAUAAUAAAAUUGUAUGUUAUGGAGUACAUAUAAAUAAUAUUUACAGUGUAACUAAAUUAAAAACAUACUUAAAAAAAAAAAAUCAGAUUUACAAAAUAAAUCAAUUGAAAAAUAUACUGUGCCACCUAUAACCAUUUAAAUUCAAAAUUCAGGUCAAAAUUUAUUUUCAAUUAAAAUUCAUAUUUAAAUUAAAUUAAUUUAAUUUAUAAAUGUGAUGUCCAUCAUACGAAUUCUAUAACUAGUAAUCCUAAUAAAGUUGAAGGUGUAGGAAAAAACCCCUAUCUGUAACAUUAAAAAGAAGUAUGGAAAAUUUAUGAAUUUUGAUAUAUAGUGCCUAGAAUGUGCAGGUCACAUCAAAUUAUUAUCAUUAAAAUUUUAACUUAUGAUAAUCUUCAAAAAAAAAAGUAGUUCGUUAGGCGAACAACUCUGUAUCUUUUAUGGGAAUGAACCUGAAAUAUGUGAUCACUUGUAGUAUGUCAAUGAGUACAAAUAUCUGCGAUCUUAAUUACUUGAACUUCAACGCGAAUAUGAUUGUGUUUAACUGAUGCUAAAUGGAUAUAUUUUUAAUAAUAGGUAUAAAAAAGUUGACAGAUAUGGGAUCAAAUAUGAUUUUAUCUGUAUCCGACUCGAACCUAAACAAAAAUGCCAAGGAUUCAACUAAUUCGGAUUUCAAUAGUCCGGUUUGCAUUCAAAGUUUUAAAAAUCUCUUCCGAAUCUGAUCCGUUGGCAUCUCUAAGCACUUGUACGCAAGGAGUACAUAUACAUAUGGUUUAUACUCUCAUCUGCUGAGACAAAGACUAUCAUAUGCCAGAGAACACAAAAGAAGUGCAAGAACUAUGGAAAAGUUGACCUUAUAAAGAGAAGUAUAUAAUCAAAAAGAGCCCCACUACAUUAACGGCCACUUAACAUGUGAUUUAGUUAAAAGGGAACCAAGGGGCCAGCAUUCUGCUCUGUGGCAGUCAGACUGGAACGAGUUACGUUCGCAAGGGCGUAAGACUGAUUCGGCCGAAUUACAAUCGAGAUCCGUAAAAACUGUAUCUAUAUCCUUAAGUGAAUUGAUUGCAUUUUUUUAACAGCUCAAGCUUUUAGGACUAAUGAUUAGCGCCAAUGAUCCAACAGAUAAUUUAAUUACUAUAUUAAUUCUCUCAAAAUUCGAUUUUCUAUUUCAUGUAAGAUACACAGAAAAGUUGUAACUAGCCACCACAUGCAUAUCCACACAUAUGAAAACAGUGGUUUCUAGAUUUUUCAAGGUCUACAUUCUCGAAUUUUAGAUGAGGAAUCCAUGAUGGACCCGGUCCAUGCAAUAAUUCACAGCAUAAGUGGGUGAUGAGCAUGUGACACCUCUCAAGUACCACAACCCCAUUAUCACAACCCCCACUCUAAUGGCCUAAAAUUAUUCCCAAAGAAAGCCUACGUUCCUUAGGCUCUUCCAUUCCUUUAUAAAUUUUCCCUCUAUCAUGGAUGGACGAGGACAAAGAAAGAACAAAGAGAUGGAACCCUAGAGACCCUACGUGUCUAUUAGCAUUAGCAUAAAGUAUGAUGUAGGUUUGUUAGGAUUGCAUUUUUUUUUAUUUUUUUUAUUUCUUAAUAUCAUCUUUUCCACCUUAGGGAGUGUAAAUAGCUGCAUAUGGUUUGCAACAGUGUGAUCUUAAGUGGUCCACAAAAUCUAAAGUUCCCACAUAUAUACAUUAUAUAUUUUAGAAUCCUUUCCCCAUGGUCCUGAGCUCUAUUAUUAACAAUCACCAAUUGCACACAAAACAGCAAAAAGCAUAACUCAGGUAGUCAUUUUUUAUACUAUAAGCGAUUCCGAGACGAUAUGAGACUACACGGGACUUGGACAUAUCACGAACAAAAUAAUUUGCCAAUUUUGAAAAAAUAAAAAAAAAAAAGAAUUUGAACACGAAAGAAACACAGCAUUUUGAUGUCAUAAAUGAUACAUGCAUUCUCAUUUUCUUCUAACAAAUAAUGUUCUAACUAUUGUUCUAUAGCGUCCAAAGAGCACUUGAUCUUCUUCCAUAAUCAACAGACAAUAAAAUUAAACAUUUAUAUUCAUUUAUUUAAAACAUAUCAAUCUCAGUUAAGAUUUAGCCAUGGAAUGUAAAGUAACACAAAAUUAAUUUAUAUGAUCACAUAAAACACUAUGUAUACAAAAUUUAUAUACAUGUAUAAUAUAAAUAUAUAUAUUUUUUGCAUGUACUGCAUACAAAAUAUAUCUACAAGUAAAACCCAAUGCAUACAAUGCAAAUGCUGUUGCACUAAUGGUAAUGAAAGAAAGACACUAUAGGAGAUUGUUUGUGCACAAAUACGAUACUGGGAAAACUUUAAAAAACAGCAUUUUUUUUUAUCUAAAUGACAUUUUACUUAAAUGUAUCCACUACAACAGAAUUAGGUUAUAAAAACAUAUUUUUGAAACAUUUUUUAUAUAAAUUACCCAUUUAUGCUAAAACUUUAAAAAAAUUCUACUAAGGCCUAAAUAGAAAGCCCAAUCCAACCAAAAAUAAAAAAUUACUCUACUCAACCCACCCCACCCAACCCACCCCACCCAGCCCAGCCCAUUUGUCCCGAUUACAAGCAAAAAAGAAAAAAAAAAAAUAUAUCGAUCACCAUCUCCUCUUUCCCCCUCACUCAAUCCACUAAAACUCUAGAUGAAAAGCCCCUUGCUCUCCUCCUCCGCGCUGCAGUCGAUACUAAAUGCUAAAUGCUUAAAUAAGUGUUGGUAAAUUAGUAUCAUUCUUUUUCAAUUAUACCGACACUCUUAAACUGUUACUAUAUGCCUAGCGACCCCAUAUAUAGCAAUACUUUCUAAAAGUGUCGGUAAUUUAGCUAGCAGCAUUUUUUUUUAUCUGUAUCGACAUUUAAAAUGUUGCUACAUACCGUUUUUGUUGUAGUGAUCCAUCUCAAUUCUGCCAAUAUUGUACUUCAUCAAUCUAUUUAUUUAACUUAAUCUAAGAAAAUUUAAAGUGACAAACAAGUAACCAAACCAUUAAACAAAACAAAAUCAUCUCAACAUCUUACCAUACAAAUGUAUCAAUUUUGAUCAGUAAAAACUAUGCAUCAACUUCUCUUUUCUGAUAGUUUUUGUAAAAUGUGCAGUUACCAAUAGUAUAUAUAACAAAUAAAAUCAUUUCACAUAAUCACAGAUCAAAUCAUCAGUUUCCCGUUAAGUAAAGCUAGAACUGAUGAUUUUAUAAUACUAAAACAACCAGGAUUAAUAGCAGUCCACAUACACAUUAUCAAGCUUCCAGGGAAAAAACAUACAGAUAUACCUUUCCAUUGUGCUGCUAGCAUAUAGUAAUUUUCAAUUUCAAUAAUUGUGAAACAUAAAUGAUCGACGCUAAACAUUCGAUUAACAUUGUUAUUUUGAUAACAAAGAGACAAUGCAUAUAUCCAUUGCAAUGUUAGUAAUCACAAAAGGAAAUUAGAGGAGAAUACUACACUCGAAGUUUUAACUUGUUGGGCAUGAGUUUUCACCAAAGGUGGCUUGUAAUAAAACACGCCAAAAACAAUUGCAGAGCUAUUUGCAUAUUACCUUCUACGAAGACCUAUAUCUUGAUAAACAUAUAUACAAGAGAACGACAAGAAUAACGAUCAAAGUACGAAGGCUUUCGUUGCCUUAAAGGACACAUCAUUGAAUGUAUUAUAGAGAGAAUAUUAAUUGUUUGAGUCGGAACUGUUUUUAUGCAUCAUGAAAUAAUAAGGUAGUACUACACGUUGAACCCAAACCAACAACUUGAAAACUCAUAGAUGCAAUGUUCCACCUAUAAUACAUAUUGAGGACUUUCUCAGCAGUUGGACAUAGCCCUUUGCCCUUUAUAUUCUAGCAUAUGUAGAAAGUUUGACAUGAUAUCCAUUCGGAAAUUUACUGAUCACAAAGGUAUUGACGUUACACAAUGAUAAUAUGUUUACAGUGCCUAAUAAUAGAACUUAGUGCAAUCUAUGUACUAUAUGAUUACAAAUAGCAAACAAAUCGUGGCGCAUGCUAAUUUCAAUCCUGUGCUUUUACUGUGUUAAACAGCUUGGGACGUACAAACAACUCGCAGCAGUAAGACGACAUUCAUAAUUUGUAUGGUGAAAUGUCAUAUAAUAACAAGGGACCAAUCAAAAACUUUAAUGGUGAAAUGUCAUAUAAAAACAAGGGACCGAUCAAAAACUUUAAUUAAUCAAACAGACACAUACUAGGGUACCACAUACACACACUGAGCCACCCGAAAUUAAUGACUUUGAAUACAUCCAUCUCCUCCGUACUUCAUGACUUCUGAAGGAAAAAACUAUCUGGCAUGAUAAUUUUAAUAAUCGCUACCGAGACUUGUGCUAUAUGAAAUGGAAAAUUGAAAGUUUUCAAAAUCAUUUCGGCGAAAAAUGAAAAGAACAUUAGCUCUAAAAGAAAUCUCAUUAUUGGUAAAGAGGAGAAGUAGAAAACUAAAUGCAAGGGCUCUAGCUAUUCUCGCAAAUUACAACAAUGUUGAAAUUUUGUUUUAUUGUUUUUCUCUUGUGCAAGUAAUGUACAGCACAAAGUUGUGUUAGUCAGAAACUUACAUGACAGACAUGGAACCCUCCUCCAUUUGCAAGCACUAACCAAAAAUUGAACUUAUAAUGGACAGUAAUAUAUACAAGAUUAAUACAAGAUGAACUUUCCAAACAUAUAUAGUUGUAGCAAGUUUAAUUGACUUCGCAUAUAGUUAACUUCGGAUAUCAUUUUUUCGCAUACUGAUUAUUGAACAAAAAAUCAGUUUCAAACAAUCCACAGAAAUUCACUUAUUAGUGAGUGGAACAACAAAAAGAUCUGUCAUUAAAAGCCACAAAAUGUUUUUGUCACAGAAACCAUAAAUUUUUUUACUCAUGAUGACUACUAUACACUAUGUAGACUAGGGCUCAAUUGUUUCCAUUAAUCUAUGAGCCCUCAAAUUAUUAUCCCUACAUAUCCGUUACAAAUAGACACAUACCAAUUUGCUGAAUAGUAAACUAUUAUUUAAAAUAACGAAACUAGGUUUUUGAUCCGUUCAAGCUCUAUAUAACAGCUAAUUCACCAUCAUUAUUAAUUUCAAUAGUUUUACUUAGAUUUGUUAUAUCCAUGAUAUGGUACAAUAAUACAUGUCUCUCUAGCACACAACAUGUGACAGAAAGAGGUGCACAAAUAAUUUAAGCUCUAUUUUGGAUGCUGUCUGAAGAAUAUAUAUAUAUAUAUAUAUAUAUAUAUAUAUAUAUAUAUAUAUAUAUAUAUAUUCUGACUAUAGAAUGUAUGGAAGAAAUGUGCAUAAAAUAUAUUUACACCAAAGCUUGACAACUCAUUCCUGACUUAAUUUUGUCACAAGAAACAAUCCAUCUGCAAAACAGCUAAAACCACAAACAUAUAUUAAAAUAUGCAAAGCAUAAAGAUUACUUAUAUCUAUUAAUAUGUAUUAAAUGUGUCUCCAUGAAAACAAGCGACAGUUACCUAGAAAAGUAGGAACAGUAUCAUGACAAACACUCAGUAGAGAGAGAGAGAGAGAGAGAGAGAGAGAGGAGGCACGACAUUUCAAGGGCCAGGGAAACAAACCGUAGGCAGGCACUGAGGAGAUGUGAUAUAUGUGGUAUUAAUCACGUCCUACAGUAUGAGGAUUUGACAAAUUUCAAUUUUGUUUUUCCUUAAACAAUAAUAGGAAAAACACAAUAAAAUAAGUUGAAAAGGAACACAAAUUAGACUUACUACUGAUGAACAAACAAACCCAGUUGUUUUCUUCCCCUAGACAUGUAAUACGCCAAAACAAGAGAGAGAAAAAACAAAAAAAAAAAAGGCCGAGUCAUAUAUUAAGCAUGUGAUACAAAGUCACAAGUGUAGAUGAGAAACACUGCAUGAGAUGUUUGAGUCUCUCUCUCUCUUAAAACUGCUAUAGAGCUAAUACCCAUUCGAAAAAGAAAGAAACCAUUUUUUCAGGCGAGGAACAGAAUUUAAAGGAAAAAAAAAAAAAAACAAACUUAUAUACUAAAGAGUAUGAUCUGAGUAGUUAGAUUCGCUUUAUAAAUUUGUAAGACUCAUAGGAAUGAUGAGAUUAUAAUAAUCUUUUAGUUGUAUAGUAAUUCAAUUCGUUGGUUCCAUAAACAUGUUUGAAGAAGUAUAAAUUAUUAGUCAUAGAAUAAUCAAAAGAACGCAUUGGCACCGAGAAAAAGGAACGCUAUCUGUCAGGUUAUUCAUUGCCGAAUGAAAGAUGAGAAAGAUGCGGCAGUUACUAACUUACUAUCCCCUCUGUCUCGGUUCAAAAGAUCACAUUCGGAACGAGUCUAAUUAAGUUAAGAAAAAAAAUAAUAAUAAUAGUAGUAGUAGUAGUAGUAAUAAUAAUAAUAACGGUGCACGAAUUCAUGAAAAGCAUGAAAAUAUACUGUAAAAGCCUAAUUAAAGAGAAAGCUCAGCGAGAAAUUAAAAUGAACCGAUCUGAGUUGUUUUCAGGAUCUUGGGUGGUGGUGGUGGUGGUGGUGGUGUUGCUGAGGGAAAAACUGCGUCCCCGCCGCGAACGCGCUCAGCGGAGUCGGGUAGGGGUCCAUCACCGCCGCCGGCGCCGCCGCUGCGGAAGCCGACGUUAUUGCGGCCUCCGCAGAAGCUGCUGCGGCAGCGGCAGCGGCAGCGGCGGAAGAAGAGGACUCCCCGGGUUGCGGUGGUUGGGUAUGGUAAUGGUAACCCGAAUACGAAUAUGAAGAAAGGUCGGGGCCUUGGUCGCGCAGGAUGCCCUUGAACACGUGGCCGCCGAUGCUGACCGUGGCUUGGUAGGCGUACUCGUCUUCCGCCUCGUCGACGGGCCCGAUGCGGACGCAGCGGAACACCGCCUCCGAGCUCACCUCCGCCGGGAACCGCGCUUCCACUGCACCCGCCCCUAGGCCUCCUCCUCCUCCUCCUCCUACACACCAGCAGCGCAAACGAAUUACGAGAGACAGAUAAAGGGGAUCGAACAGCAGCAGCAGCAGGUAGCUAGCUAGCUUGUUCUCCAUCCUCAUCGAAACACGCAAAUGAUUUGCGGCAACAGUAGCGAGAUGAGAUAGUGAACAGUGGUAGUAGUUAGUAGUAGUGGUGGGUGCAGUGAUGAUGAUGAUGAUUGAUGAUGAUGAUAAUAAUUGUAGCAGUAGUAUAGUAGUGGUGGUGGUGGUGGUGGUGGUGGUAUAGUAGCUAGUACGUACCGGAGGUAGAGGGAGGGGGGAGGGAGGAGCGGCGGUCCCUAGGGCGGCGCUUGGAGGGGUCGGCGGGGGAGGAGGAGGAGGGGAGGGCGGCGAGCUGGAGCUGGUGCUGAUGCUGGCGAUCGCGGCGCCUGGCGGCGGGGACCCACGUGCUCUUGACGUGCGUCGCGCAGUGGAACCCCCGGCUCUUGCAGCACGUGCGGCACCGCUGGUGCGCGCAGUCUUUCUUCGCCUGGUUCCCGCAGUCCUGGCAGCUCACCCCACUCCCGCCCCCGCCUCCGUAUCUUCCGCCCGACUGCCCCGACCCCGACGCCGACGCCUCAUGAGAGAAGCUCAGAAUCGCGCCGCUCGAAGAAUAGAAUUGCGCCUGCUGCUGCUGCUGCUGCUGCUGCUGCUGUUGCUGUUGCUGUUGCUGCUGCCAUAGCUGAAAACCGCUGGUGCCGGUGCCGCCGGCGCGGGCGUAGAGGAAGAAGGUGUCGGGCGGUAGCGGAUUCUGAUCGUCUCGACUCGUCGGGAUAUGGCCGCUGCUCCCUCCUCCUCCUAGAGGGAACCCAGCCAUUCCCCCCAAUCCAUAGACCUAUUCUCCUCUCCCCCCCUCCCCUCCUACUCGCAUCAGAUCUCAAUAAUAACAAUACCCCCAAAAACAAUCCUACCUAGUCCUCUUCUCUUCUUCUUCUUCUUCUUCUUCUUCUUCUUCUUCUUGAAUUUUGUUGUUUCUUUUUUCUUUUCUUUUUUUUUUUCCUUUUCGGCUCUUUUAUUUUGCCCCUUAUUGGUUUAUAGUAGCAGCAGCAGCAGCAGCAGCAGCAGCAGUAGCAAUACUAGUAGUAACUCGUCUCUGCCCCUUCAUAAAAUUCCCCCCCCUCUCUCUCAUUCUCAAAAGAGCACAGCUCUAGAUACAUAUAUAAAUAUAAUAUAUAUAUAUAACAUACAAGAAGCCAAGAGGAUCAGGGACCGCCACGCCGCCAUGGAGCACGGCUAACGCUCGCAAUUCCAUUUAUUACUACUACUCCUCCCCCCACAACCAUCUUACUUAAUCCACCCCUUAACGUCCCCCCCACACCCCACACCCCCACAAGAAGGCAAAAAAAAAAAAAAAACCCUACCCAAUCAAGAAGGAGAAGGAGAAGAAGAUUAAAUAAAAAAGAAAAUAAAUAAAAGGAGACAUUAAAAAAAAAAAAGAAAAGAAGAGAAAAGGAGGAGGAGAAGAAGGAUAAACGAAGGGAAUGGGAGAAAUAAAGGCGCGUGUCUUUCUGCGGCUUCUGCUGUGAACCUUUACGGCUAGAAAUCUAACAUUAACCUUUUCUUCGCGAGGUCCUGUACGCGGGGCGAUCGUGGCCGUCCGUGGAUGGUCGGACGGCGGAUGGGGGGGGGAUGGGGUGGGGGUGGCUCAGCAUCCGUCACCGUCUUCGACCGCCAAAAACCGCCUGCUUUUUCGUGAACCCUCCCUACUUAAUGUCGCUGUUCCUGCCACGUUCAAAGUCGUCGAACCAAUAUUAUGCGUGCGCCGGUAUAUAGACCCGUUUUACGUGCAGCACCGAAAACUCUCUCUCCCUCUUUUUUCUUUUUUCUUUUUUUUUUUUUCGGUAUCAUUGAAGGGAAAUAGCUUAGAUCAUUUGUUUUCUAAUGGUAAAACAAAACUAUCUUUUAAAAAAAAAAAAAGGUUGUGUAAAAGUUCUGAGUUUGAGUUUAAAUAAGAAGGCUCUGGUAACAUCGUAAAAAGUCAAAUUCUUCAUUCUCAAAAAAAAAAAAAAACAAUUGCUCCCACUACAACAUAUUACAUGAAAUUUAUACCUAACCAAAUCUAUUUAACCAUGUGAAAAUGGUAAAGAAUAUCACUAGGAAUAUCUGUGUAAAAUAAAUAACUAAAAUUAAAGCAAUUAUUUAAACCUAAUUAAUACAACACUUAGAUUUCAAGUUUUAAGAAGAUUAAUUUUUCAAAACCCUUGUAAAAGGGUGUAGUUUCAUAUAUGGCCCACCAAAUUAGAAAGUAUCGUUAACAAUAGUUUUAUAUGUUUAGAAAAAUAUUGAUAAUAUUUAGAUUCUUGAGGGGUAUCUAUGAUAUUUUAAAGUUUUUAGAGAAACGGGUUUGAAAUUGCCCCAAUUAAGAAUGACCUUAUUCUAUUAAGAUAAAUAGUCAAUUUAUGUUUAAUUUUUGUUUCUGUUUACUAUCUAGAUAAUAAAAUUUAAUACAUAUUCAUGUCAAGUUUGGGAAUUAAAGACAAUUCACAUCAAGUUGUUUAUAUUUAAAUUUUUAGGCUUCUAAUUUAAAGUUUUCAAGAUAAAAUUGUCUAUGCAACUGCCACUUUUAAAACAUUUAAUUUGAAAAAGACUACUUAUACUUUUUAUACACCUAGUAAUAAAAUAUAAGAUUUAUACUCCGUGUUUCAGAAAGUAUAAAUAAUCUUUUANAAGACUACUUAUACUUUUUAUACACCUAGUAAUAAAAUAUAAGAUUUAUACUCCGUGUUUCAGAAAGUAUAAAUAAUCUUUUAAAUUUUUAGUAUUAAAAAAUUAAUAAUAAAAUUAUAUAUAUUUUUUUUGAGAGAAAGAUAGUACGUUACCCGCUUCAUUCAUUUAACAAAUAAAUUUAGCUACAGGGGUUGAGACAAUGCGGUCUCGAAAAAUAUUGAAGGCAACCAAAACAAAAAAGAUAAAUAAAAACUAAAAUAAAAAACUAUAAAAAAUUGAUAUUUGUACUCCUGACUCAAAACUAAGAUAUUAAGAGCUACAAAACUCAGUUUAUUUUCUGCUCACGUUUCGUAUUCGUCUAAUAGUUUAAAAAAGAUGGAAUGAUUGGCUUGUAGAUUAGCACGGUGUAAGAUUCAUAAACCCUACAACGUACAUGUUGCACCAAUCCUUUUUAGUUUUUAAUAGGAUUAAACGUUAAUUUCGGUCUAUGGACCUGGUCGAGGAAAUAUAUUCUUGUGUGAGAGGGUUAGAGAAAACAAGGGUCUUUUUCUCUCUCAUUCACCCAAAAGUAGAUACGCGUAUUGAAUAGGACGUGUACGAUACUACGAUCUCCUUAUGCUAAUCUUUCAUUUCCAUUUUAAUUUGAUGGGAUAAUUUUAUUUGUAUCCUUGAGAAGUUCAAAAUUAUUGUAAACGCCUCUACAAAAGUUGUAAUAUCAAAAUUAUCCCCGCAAAUAUCUAUUUAGUUAAUCUUAAUUAUAUUAUAGUAUAAUGAAGGUUAAGAAUGAAAUUAUCCACUUUAACAUGGUAAGGGGCAUAUAUAUUGAUGUAUGUGGCCCACUUCUUUUUUUUCUUUAAUUUUUAUCCAUUCAAAUUUCAUUUAUUUUGAUCUCAAAUAUUAUAAUUAGUUAAACAAAAAAUUUAAUUAAUAGGUUAAUUAGCUAUUAAUAAUUAACUAUUAAAUGAAUUUAUGCUAGUUUCAACUCAAAAUUAAUUAGUCAAGGAUAUUAAAUUUAAUAGAAUAGUUAUCUUACCUUGUGAAAUUUUUAUCUUUUCAAUUUAUUAUUUAAAAUUAUUAUUUUCAUGCAAAGUCCAUUGAUUACGAGAAUUUAGUUUGUCUUUUCAUAAUGCAACUAAUUUUUUUAUUUGAUUUCAGAUCUUAUACUAAUGUUGUUCUUAGUUAUAAUAUAUUCAUAACAACAAAUUUUCUCUACACUAAGUAGUCAAAUAAAAGUUGUUUAUUACUUUACAAUCGGUGCAGCAAAAAACUAAAUAACUAAAAUGAAUUAUCCUGUCAUUCUGACAAUAAAGCAAAAUAAAAUUUAAUUUAAGAACAAUUUAUUCCAAAUAGAAAAUUUUAUUUAAUUGAAAUGAAUAUAUUUUUUUCAACUAAAAUCAAUUGAAAUUUACUAAAUUUUUAGUCUAUAUAAAGUUUAAUUACUUUUGAAAUAUAAGGGAGGAUAUUUAUGAAAUAAAAUUAGUAAUUGAUCAGGGAUAAAGUUGAAAUAUAAAUACUAUUAACUUUAAUAUAGAUGAUCACUUAAUGGCAGGGUUAUUGUUGAAAGUUUCUUAAAUUUGAGGGGUUACAAAUGAUAUUUUAAUUUUAAAAGGGGUUCUUAUAAAAUUUGAUGUUUUUAGAAGGGUAUAGGGAAAAUUUUCCCUAAUUUGAAUAUAUAUAUAUAUAUAUAUAUCCAGUGAGAUGAGAACGGGAAACAGUGUGGAGUAGUACCCACGGUGUUGUGCACCCACUAAUUUCUUUAGUACGGAAUUUUGCAUACUAAUAAAACCGAAUUAAAUUGAUUAAUUGUUCGAGGGUUCAAUAAUCAACAACCAAGUUUCUAACAAUGUUAAAUAUAAAUAUUUAAAAAUACCGUCAUCUCAUAACUUAGAUUUUUUAAAAAAAUAAUAAUUUUUUAUUAUUUAAUAUGAUAGGAGAAUAGAAAAUUAUGAUUUUGAAUCGCGUUGGUUUUCCAACAAAAUUAAUUUUUUCUUAUUUAAUUUAAAUCUAUGUCAUAGGCCAGCUAAAAAUAUUGUUCUUUUUUAUCUUAGGCUUUUAGAAAAAAAAUGAUCAUUUCAUUUAAUUUACUACUAAGAAGAAAUAAAUUUUUUGCGUAAUAUAUGGAGAUUUUUUUCACCAUACACAUUAAUAAUAAUAAUAAUAAUAAUAAUAAUAACCAUAAUUUCAUGCGCAUAGGAUCAGUUGUAAUUAUCUAUUUGACUCGGCUUUUGACAUUGCGGUGUUACCCACAAUAGUGAGAUAGAAAAUUAAGCUCCGAAUUUGCAGGUUCAUGUAAUAGAAAAAAUGUGUUACGCUAGAAGGCAAGUAAAAUAGGUUUAUAUAUAGGCCUAGUUGUCUCGACCUUUCAUGCAAUUACUGCAUAUGCUUAUAACGCAAAUAAGACAUUUUACCUCCGAAUUUGAAUUACAGGGUUGGUUUACUGUUACAAAUUAAAUACUACGUACAUUUCGUCACAGCACCUCAUGAUAUGGUGUCUUUACUCUCUCUCUCUCUCUCUCUCUCUCUCUCUCUCUCUCUCUCUCUCUCUCUCUCUCUCUCUCUAUAUAUAUAUAUAUAUAUAUAGAGAGAGAGAGAGAGAGAGAGAGAGUCCGGCUAAUAUGCUUUUUAUGAAUAUAUUUUUUUGUAUUCAUAAUUUUCGACCGUUAGGUCUACUCGUUUGACCAUUUUCAUUCGUGAAAUUAUACUAUUCAACGAACCACCCGCUAAAUCCUAUGAAAUCAUUAUCAUUUCAAUCGGGGACCACUAUCAUCCAAAUUGCACAUCUUUUCAUUGAAUGAUCGAAAAUUCAUGAGUAUCGAUCGAUAGUAUCAAACACUUUGUACUAUCGAGUUUUCCGCCGUUAAAUCUAUUCUUUUGACUAUUUUCAUCCGUUGGAUCAUGCUAAUCAACCAACUAUCCGCUCAACCUUAAGGGGAAACACUAUCAUCCUAAUUGCACAUCCCUUUAUCCAAGGGUCGAAAACCUAACAGCACAAAGUGCCUGAUACCAUCAAUAGUAUAGUAGCCUUAAGAUAUGGUCGGGGUGCUGAAUUUAAACUUACCAGAUUAACUUUUGGAUACUAAUUAAGUAGACCUGUAUUAACAGUUUUGGAAGAAUAAAAUUAACAGUUUUAAUCACUUCAUAAUAAAAUAAAAUUACUGAUAAUAUCUAAUUAAACUUUUUAAUUUAAUAAAACUUUAACAUAUACUCCUAGAAUGACUCAAACAAAAAAAAUAAAGUUAAAAGAGGUUUAAAUUAAGAAAAAAGGCGGAAUGUGUUUCAGAGACGUCUAUAGUUGAGAGGUAUCCAUAUAUUUUUACCUAACUUUUAAUAAUGCGAGGGAAUGAUACGAACAAAUUAGAGCGCAUUUGGUUCAAGUUAUAUAAUAUUACAGAGUGUUCCGAUAUAUCCAUAUUUUUUAAAUUUCUAAAUGAGAUUAUUAUUAAUGCUGCAUUAGCGUAUUUGAUUUAAUACAGUAAUUAAUAUAAUGCUAGAUUGAAAUAUUUAUACUGGAUGAACUAAACGCAAUAAUUCUAUCAGAAUUACUUGUAAUCCUGUCAGGAUAAUUCGAAUCAAACGCAUCCUGUUGUACAAGGGGUGGCCAUAAUAAUAAGUUAAUGUUCCAAAUAAAAAGUAACACGUACAUUUUGUUACUCAAGCGAUAAGAUUUUUUAAGUGGGAACUGUGUAUAAUGAUUUUCACAGUAGUUGCAUUUUGGGAAUCUUGUCCUGUCCAUUUAUCUGAACGAAAAAGCAACAUGCAUAUGCUAGGACUCUCCAGCUGCAGAUCAUUUGUACAUAAGAUCCCCGAAAUCUAGGUUAGGAAAUUUUGUCAGGUUCAUUAACCAAAACCAGAUUCAUAAAUUUUAAUAUAUAAAAUUUAAGAUUAAUUGAAUGUACGGAUCCUUAAUUUUAGCGCAUGCAAGCUGGAAUUUGAUUUCAGCUUCCAGUUGUCUAAUCACCAAGCUACUGAACUAUUUGAUAGAUAGCAAAAUUGGUUCAAUAACUUAAGUUGGAAGUAAUACUACGAAGAGCAUUCUGUUGGUUUAAAGGAGUCAGUGUUUUGCCCGGCUGUGAGAGAUGAGAUUAGGCCGAGUCACGUUCGAAGUUUGAAAUAUAUGGAGAUCGGAUUGGCUCGAGUCAUGUUCAAAGCGGCAUGAGGCUAGAUGGUUCGAGUCAUAAUCGAAAUUCGUGAGUGCUGUAUUUAUAUGCUUUAAAAUUAAUUGAUUGUAUCUUAAUUUGUAAAAGUUUGAGCUUUUGAAAUUAAUAGUUAGCGUCGACGAUCCGGCGCAUUCAACUUCUCAAUAAGAAUAGAAAAUAUAAUUGGAUUGCAUUAGAAUGGAAAAUAAAAUGACAAUCAUUAAAAAAUAUUUUGUUCAUUAUUAGAAUAGAAAUCAGAUUGGACAUCUAGAAUUUUGAGAGAAAAUUUUGAAGAGAGAGAGAAAAGUGAUGAAAGGAGAGAAGAGAGAGGUAUUUGUGCGAGAGGAUUUUGAGUAAUUUACUUUGAGAUGGCAAAUCCAAAAUUCAAAUUCGAAUUGGGUCACAAAUAGAUUUAGGUCAUUCCUAUACUAGAGUGGAAUGAGAAGCAAAAUCCAGUUAUCAUAAAACAAACAGCAAUCAUCGGAAUAAAGGAAUCUCAUUUCAAUUCCACAAUCUAAGAUAAGUGAACCACACGAAUUCUUAAUAUCUUCCAAGAAAAGAAUUUUAUACAUUUUAUUUUUAUGUCACCUCAAAUGCUAACAGUGAAUCAAGAAAUUGAGAGAAAAACCAAGAAAUUGAGAGAAAAAAUAAAACAAAUAAAUAAUUUAUGUUGUUCAGCUAGUAACCUUCGUCCACCGAAAUAGAUGGAGCGAAAAUUUCUAUUAUUAGAGUACAAAAGAAUGGAUCUAGCUUUAACAUACAUCAAAUGCUCCUGCUCCUCCAAAAUACUACACAAUAUUAUACAUGGCAAAUUUAAAAGAGAAGAGCUAUAUUUAUAGAAAUAGCCAAGUGCAACUAGAAACCAAUUCCAAUUGGGUCACAUAAGAUAGAAAAGUAAGCUGAAUUCAUAAUCCAGUUAUUCUUAACUUUUGUUUCAUCGGACACAAAAUAUAUUUUGAACCAUCAGAACGUACUGUCAUUACCAAUACUAACCUCUACAAGUUUUUCCAUCACGAAUUAUGGGAACUAUCAUUAGCAACACUAAUCUCUACAAGUUUUAUUUUUUCCUGCUCUUACUGUUCUUCUUUUUUUUUUCUCUUUAACUUGAAACAUUCAGAUUUGAUAUGUUCUUUCUUCUUAUAAUAAUUAAUAAAUCAAAUCCUUGUGUUGUGACUUCGAUUUUAAUCUCUAUCAACUAGUGUCAAAAUCCCUAUAUUUGGGUCUCUCUUUCGCAAUAAGGCCCUUUGCAAUACCUUCACUCACAUUAUUAUUAAUUUGCUUAUCAAUCCUUUUUUUACAAAGAAGAGAUGACUUGAUAUCUUUAAUAGGUAGGGUCCUUUUACCAAAGAGAAAAAUUUCUCUAAGGAGCUUAUAUGAGGAAGCUAAAGAAUAUAACAAUAGAAAGGACAUCAUUUUCAUCCUCAAUCUUUACAUUUAUGGACUAUAGGUCUAUAAUAAUAAAAUUACAUUCAUCAAGAUAAAAUUUAAUGUAAUAUAUGUAUCUUUAGAAAUGCGUAGAAUAAACAAUUGGUGCUUCACGUAUAGCUUAUUUAUGGGAGACUAUUCAUCAUAUAAGGGGGACUCAGAGUUUCAACCUAAAGUCUCAGUAGCCUUUUAUUGAGCAUUUCACGUAAAGUGUCACUAAAGAGACACAAUUGAAACGCUAUAAGAGCUCUAGAAUCCAUAUCUUCUUUUGCUCCUCCGUCAAAAGUGUUGAACAUCAUUUUUUUUUUUUUUCUUUUUCCCCAAAACCUCUUUCUACAACCCCUAUUACGCUAAAAUGGUACACAUCAUAUACACAUCAUAACUUGCUACAUAGUAACUGCGCGCUUGAGUAAUUAAUCAAGCUUUUUGAUCUCAAAUUUCGUUGAUAUUUUACAUACCCAAAGUAAACUCCCAGGCCAAUAAUAGUUGUUAGGACAAAUGUCGAAAAGAUUUAAUUUUGUUGGGUGAUAAAAAAUAAAAGAAAAUCUAAAAAGAGAGAAGAAAAAUAAAUGGCACAGAUAAGUAAUAUAAUUCAACCACUGGCCUAUAUAUAUCCAUGCGCACAAAAAUAGAACAAAAACCUUAGUUAUAACUAAAGUGGAGUACAAUAGAAUGCUUCUCUCAGAAUAACCUAGCUAGUCCCAAAAUGCAUCAGAUACUCUUUCUCCUCCAAUAUGCUAUAAUAUGUUACACUACUAUACUACACACCAAAUUUAAGAGAGAAGAGCAAUAUUUAUAAAAGUGGCUAAGUUUCAAUUGGACUAGAGUGGAUUUUAGUUUAAGACUAGGAAUAAUUCUACUUUAUCUAAAAUCCCACUGGGGCUAAAAUUAUUUCCAAAAUGAUUAGACAUAUCUAAUUCCUAUGAUACUAAAAUCCAAUGGGAUUAGGAAUAAUCGCAGAUUAAAUAAAUAUGUUGGCCAAAAUAGAAUAUAAUUAAAAAAUCUUUGGACUUCAAAACUCAAGAUACAUUUAACAGUCUCCAUUGAAACUGUUGCAUCUAUUCGCAUCAAGAAGACAAGGAGGUGAACUAAUGAUCAGUUUCUUUCGCUUUUUUCUCGACUGCUACUUAAGAAACUCUUCUAUAAAAUCUCCAAUUGAGCCAAACAAGAACAGUACCUGCAAACACUGGACAUGAUGAUACAAUAUUAAUUCCUACUUGUUGAGAAUUGGACAAUUACUGAUUCUUUGUCAAUAAUUGUUUGAUCUCCAAAGCAAAUUAAAUCAUCUUAAUUAGUAUCCUUCUUGCCCUAUUUUAAAUAUUUCUUGUGCAACCAAAUUGACAAGAAUGAUUUCUCUUUUCUACUUUGGAAAGAAAGUGAUAUUUUUGGAGGCUAUACCUAUCUUUUCAAGUGAAAGAACACAACCAACACUGUAAGGGCCAAGUUGUGACCUUGGCAAUCCGGGACCUGCUCAUAAUGGAAUUGUCACUGUAGCCCCCCAAAUUCAAUGUCUUGCUCCAUUCAUGCUCAACUUGGAUUUUAAUACUCAACAAUUAAUGCCAAAAACAUUAUUAGUGUGUAAGAAAAAAAACUCUAAAUAUAGGAAAAAAUUAAAGCUUGACUAGCUAGCUACCAUCAUCUGCAAAGAGCAUGGUCGAUCGGAAACCAACACAAAAUUAAGGUCUCGUUUGUUAUCAUUGUUGUUUCUUUAUUUUUAAAACAUUAAAUAUUAUGUAAUUUAAUAUAUGGGGAAUUAAACUUUCUUUUAUUGUUAUUAUUGACUAGAUUAUAAUACAUUCUGACCAAGUAACGGUAGAUGGCAACUUCUAUGAAAAUUUUAGAAAAAAAAAAAUUUACCUCCAAAGUUUUAUAUUUUAUUGUCCAAUAAAUAGAAUAGAUAUAAGAGUUGCAAACAGUACUCUACUGUCCUCGUCUACACUGCUAAGAACUAUAUAUCUUAAAAAACAAAAAAAAACAGACAAUAAUGCCAUGCAAGGCCUACACUUCUUUGGGUCUUGUCUAGUCCUAUCAUUAAUAUCUUCUAUUUUAAGGUAUAGUUACUUCUAUUUAAAGGUAUAUAUAGUUCGUUGUUUUCAAAUGUGUAAAAAUAAAAAGAAAAUUUUACUAUGAUUAGUUUUUUUUCUCUAUGCGAAAGCUAUAUAGAUAUAUACACACACACUAUCAUAAAGACUUUUUUUAACAAAGAGAAAGAUAGUAAAUUAUUCGUUUUAUUUUUUAAAAAAAAAUUAAAUUUGAAAUAUAAAAUAAUUAGGCUUGAAAUUUAGGACUUGAAUAUCAAUUAUUAAGGUCUUAGCUAAUUACGUCAGGGACAAUCAAUAUCAUAAAAAUUUGAUACAAUACAUGUCUUAACAACAGUAUCACUUAAAUGGUACUAUAUCAAACAUAAUCGUAUCCUUUACUGUACAUAUAGUAAAGUAACUUCUAAUUGAGCCAAAAAAUUAAAAAGAUAUACAUGAUAUUUGACAUUCUUAUAAUUAAAAGACCUGCCCCCCAGAUUGAUCACCUAAUCAUAGGUUUAAUUUUUCUUCUAUAUUCAGUCUUGGGCUAUAGAAGAAACAAGCAAAGAUAAAUCUAUUUAUUUAUCUAUCUAUCUAUCUAUCUACAUUCAUAUUUUGACUAAUAAGGAACUCUCAGGAUCUUUCUAAACACUAAUAAAAGGAGGAAUCUUUAACUCCUAGAUUAACAAAUGUAGAAAUUGGAUUGAAACAUUAUAAACAGUAGUGAUUAGGUGCAUACAUAAAUAUAUAUAUAAUUGGGCUUUGAUUCUUCUGCUUGAACAUGGAUAGCUUAUGUAGGUAUUUGUAAACCAUGUAUACGUCAUGAUUCCAGGGGUUGCCAUUCAUCAUCUUAAGCAUAAAAAAUAUGUAAAAAAAAACCAAAUAUAUACAAUUAUGGUAGCUGUGCGAACAACAAUAGGACAAGGACCUAAAAGUUUGUUACGUUUUUAAUGGCCUAAAAUUCUUGUUGUCUAACGAAUAUAUUUCUCUCUCAAAAUGUAUUAUAUAAAAAUUAACUGAGUCAAAGGAGUCGAAUUAAUAUGAUGAUGCCACGUACGUGGUGUGUCCAUUCCUCAAUUUUGUUGGGUUUGUUGAUGUUUUUUCGGUGUUUUAGUUAUCCAAAUUUAUCUACAAAAGGAAAAAAAAAGCUCACAUAAAAAUAGAGUAAAACUAUUCAUCCACCCCAUCUAGUGGUGAAUGAAUAGCAUAUUUAUAUAAUUUAUGUGACUAUAAAUUUAUUAAAAUAAAUAAUUAGUUUAAAUUUUAUAUCUAAAAUUUUUUUAAAUUAUUUAAAUUAAAUAAAUUAAAAGAUGGAAUCAAAAUUAUCUAUAAUUCAGAUAAGUUUUAUAUAUCGUUACAAAAAAAAUAUGUUGGAAAAAUAAAAGAAGAGAGAGAAGAAACAUCUUUUAUUAUUUUGCUCUUAACAAUUAUUGCUGCAAUGGGAGGAUUUUUGGACGGUCCUCACUUACUUUAACUUGUUUUGUUACAUUUUGGCAGGUUUUAGUUGAGAGUAUCCAUCGAUUUUUUUUUUUUUUAUUAUUUUUUUUUUGGGAGGCUUUGAUUCUCAAGAUUAAUUGCCUCGCUUCUGUAACUUAGAUCAUAUUCGUUAUAAAUAAAGCAAAUAAUAUGCCGUUUUUUCCUUAAAAAAAAUUAAUAAUAAUAAUUUUUGCUGCUGCAGGACGAUCAGCUCUCUUUUUGUUUUCAAAUGGUAUUUGCUGCAAAGACCAAAACAAACCUUAGUAUGAAGAAUAUAUACACAAUAAAAGAGAAAUAUGCUUAGGAUUUUGUGUGGGUAUGGGGGGGAGUCCCAAUAAUUGAGCCCUCUAGGGUCAUUCUCGAGCCCUGUGUCAGUACCCGAGUUGACUCUUCUUUCCCUCCUUUCAGUCUCUUCCUGUCUCCCUCCCCACCCUUUCUCUCUCAUGCUCUCUCUCUCUCUCUCUCUCUCUCUCUCCUUCUCUAUUUUUUUUCUCUCAAUAACUCAUGCAUUAUCAUAUUCUUUUUAAUUAAUUUUUUUUUACUAUUUGGCAAUAAAUAUUUUAAAACCUAGAUUCACUAUAAGGACACAUAUUUAGAAUAUUUUUGUGUAAGUGUCCUAUUUAUGCCAAAAUAUAAAAAAAAAUCUACUAAUACUUAAAUAUAAAGCCCAAUCAAACUAAAAAUAAAAUAUUACUCUACUCAACCCACCCCAUCCAGCCCAUUCGGCUCGAUUACAAAAAGAAAAGAAAGAAAAAGAAAAAUCGAUUACCGUCUCCCUUUCUCCUCUAACUCAAUCUACUGAAAUCCUAGACGAAGAGCCCUUCCCUCUCGUCCUCUUCUGCCACCGCAGCCAACGAAGUAGAGUUCCGACGGUUGCUAAAUGUUUAAAUAAGUGUUGGUAAAUUAGCAGCACUCUUUUUAGGUUAUAGCGACACUCUUUAACUGUCACCAUAUAUCCAGUGACCCCACAUAUAGCAAUACUUUUUAAAAGUGUCGGUAAUUUUGCCAGCAGCACUUCUUUUGACCUGUACCGACGUUUAAAAGUAUCGCUAUAGACCGUUUUUAUUGUAGUGAUUGAAUAGGACUUAUCGCACAAUGACCUAAUAUCAAAAGAUUUGUUUCAAUAAAUAAAGAUAGGACUGACUUUCUCUCACUUUUUCUCUCUAACUUAUGUAUUAUUAUAUUAUUUCUACGAGUUGAGCUGGAAUACUGUCGGUAACAAACGGACUUCAUUGCCACUCAUUUGUUUUCGAUAAUGGAGCCCCCAAAUCGACGAUCAGCACCGUUGAAAAUAAUCUAUACUAGAAAUCAAAUUUCAUAUUUUUUCGAUAUUGUUUUCUUGUCCAUCAAGUGGGCGUAAAAAUGAACGACUGAAAAUGAAUAUCCUCUAAAAAGUGAUGAUAGAAAUUUUAUAAUUAAGAUUAAGAGUAUAGAUCUUGUUCUGAAUAGUUUAAAGAAUUUUAUAAUGAAAAUUCAAUUGAUUUGGAUAGUUUUACACCGUUAAACGAAAAAAUGCCUCAUAUCUAUCAUUAAAAUUAUAAAUUUGGAACCCUUUGAUCAUUAACCUAAUGAUGUCGAAAAGAUUUGAAAUUUGAUUUCUAAACACUUUAAGUGGUACAGAUCAUGUUCAACGGUGUCGAUCGUCGAUUUGAAGGCUCCAUCAUCAAAAACAAAUGAGUCGCAACAGAGCCCAUUUGCUACUGAUAGCAUUCCAGCUCAACUCUUAUUUCUACUUAGAUUUUUAGUUAAUUUACAUAAAAAUUAUUAGUUUUUAGUUUUUACAAAAGUAUGCCAUUUUUUAAAUUAUGCAGUUUCUGACCGAAUUUUCAGAAAACUGAACAAAAUAUUAUUAUUCCCUUUUCUCUCUCUCUCUUUUUUUUUCUCUCGUUCUGUUUUUUCUUUCUCUCCGAAGAGGGCGACAGAGGCGGAGGCGUCCGCCUUGUCUUUGUCCCACGCGACCUCGUCCUCGCCCUCUCCCACGCACUCUCCUUCCGCCUUCUUCGCCUCCGAUCAGCUGAGGCCACACCGCAAGCCUCUUUUUUUUUUUUCCUUUCUGACCCAUCUCCACCAUCUUCCCGGCUCUUUACAAUAAUAAAAAGGGCAACGUCACGUCCUCUUUCUUUCAUUUUUUCUCUUGUUCUUUGUUUUUUCUCUUCGACCCUACUCUAUCGCUUCUACGACGCUCCACGACAAUACCAAGGACAGUGUCGUAUCCUUUUCCCCUCCUUCACCGGUGUAGGCAUUGACGCCGGUGCCGGAAAAGAAGAACUCGGAGAGAGUGCUAGUGAGAGCGAAGUCGAGAAAAAAAAAUAUGCAGAAAAUAAAAAAAUAAAAAGAAUAAAAUAUAAAAUAUAAAAAAAUACUUUUCUCUAUAAGAAAAAUGAAGAAUUAGAGAAAGAAGAACAUGAUAAAGUUACACUAUUUCAGGAGAAUGUUGAACUGUUUCAGGAGGACGUACGUUGCAAUAUUUUAGAGAAAAUUUAUACUCUUUGAGAGAAAAACUAUACUUUUUGGAUGAAAGUUGCACUCUUUAAACUAAAAUUGUACUAUUUGAGCAAAAAUUACAUUGUUUCUCCUCCUCCUCUUUCUUCUCCUUCCUUUUCAUCUUUGUGUGUUUCUUAUGUGCCUAUCUCUUCAUCGCCCUCCACCUCCGUCGGCAGAUCCUCCAUUCUCGCCUUUGCCCUGUGCGCCCUCGCCCGUGCCCGCGCACCCCUCGCCCUCGUCGCCUCCAAUCCCAUCUAGGCCGCACCGCAACCUUCUUUUUUUUUUCCUCUUCGACCUUCCUCCACUGCUGGAGAGGAAAAAAAAAAAAGAGAUGGUCAGAGAGAGAUUGGUAGAGGAUCUGCCGAUGAAGGUGGAGGGCAAAGAAGAGACAGGCGCAGAAGAAAUACACGAGAACAAAGAGGAAGAAGAAGAAAUAAGAGGAUGAGGGAAAAUAGUGUAAUUUUUGUCCAAAAAGUGCAAAUUUCGUUCAAACAGUGUAACUUUCAACCAAAAAAGUAUAAUUUUUCUCUCAAAAAGUGUAUGUUUUCUCUAAAACAGUGCAACGUUCUCCUGAAAUAGUGCAAUUUCAUCAUCUUCUUUUUCUCUCUCUGAUUCUUUAUUUUUUUGUAGAAAAACGUAUUUUUUAUGUUUUAUUCUUUAUUUUUUAUUUUUUAUGUUCUGUAUAUUUCUUUCUCGGCUCCACUCACCCAUUUUUAACUCACUUUGAGAGUCCUUCUUCUCCGGCGCCGACGUCAGUGCCUGCGCCAGCGAAAGCGAAGAAAGAGAAUGCGGCGAUGUCUUUGUUAUUGUCGUCGAGGAUCGUGGAGGAUCGCGGAGGCGGUGUAGGGGGGUUGAAGAGAGAAAAAAAAAACUACAGAAAAAAAGAGAAGAAGAUAUGUGACGCUGCUGGCCUCUUCACUGUUGUAAAGAGCCGAGGAGACGAUGGAUAAGGAUUGGAGAGAAAACAAAGGUCCUGGCGCAAUCUCGGCGGGGUCGGAGGUAAGAAAGGCGGGGGGAGGGUGCGCUGGUAAAGUUGAAGGCGAGGUCGUGCUGGAGAGAGGCGAGGCGGGCCACCUCCGCCUCCGCUGUCACCGCCCUCUUUGAAGAGAGAAAAAAAAAAGAAUGAGAAAAAAAAAGAGAGAGAAAAAAGAAGGAGGCCUCCGCCGCCCUCUUCGGAGAGAGAAAAAAAAAAGACGAGAAAAAAAAAGAAAGAAAAAAGAAUAAGAGUAUUUUGAUCAGUUUUCUGAAAAUCCGACCUGAUUAUGUAAAAUUCAGAAAGGUGGCCUAUUUUUACAAAAGCUUAAAAAUAAUAAAUUUUAUGCAAAUUGGCGUAGAUUUUUUUUAUUACUUGCCAAUUUUUUAAUACCUGGAUCGACUUUAUCAAUCCAAGUGAUCGGAUAGUGACCUAAUACUCAAAUCGAUUCAGUUCAAUCCAUAAGAUCGAACUAAUUUAAAAUCUACUUUGAAACGUUCAGAUCGAUAGUUCAAUUACUCAAAUUUUUUAUUUUAUAUUUCGAUAAUUAGUUAAAAAAAAUGCAUUGGUUUUAAAUAAUUUAUGCUUUGAUAUACAUUAAUUAUAUAUAAUAUAAUAAAUUUUAAAAAUAAUAUAGAAUACCAUACUUCGUAUAUGUUGAUACCAAAAUUAAGCCGACCUAACCCACGUACGAGCCAAUAAGGACACGUGGUACAUCAGGAGUCGGCAAUAAGGCGCCUGAAGGACAAAAAGGCGGGAACGGUUGAAGAUUGGGGCGUAACUUCCAUGAGGAGUUAGCGUAAUUUCCAUGAGGAGUUAGUAUAACUUCCACGAUCAUGGUUACAACCACUCCCCCCAACUACUUUCAACCAACUAAUAAUGUGGGCUAUAAAUAGUAACUUUGAAGCUUGCAAUAGGGGUCUUUGCCCUUGCGCACAAAAGACCACCAUUAUUUUCUCUGCAUUUUAUCGCUUUUCUAGGAGUAGUCUAAAUGUAAUCUUUUUCUUUUCCGCAUUUACUGCUUUCCUAGGAGUAGUUCUUGUAACUUAGAUCUUUGGAGUCUGUCUGCCCUAUGGGCAUCACUCCUUUAUAGAAUUGGAGUAUGUCUGCCCCAUGGGCAUCACUCCCUUAUAAAAUAUACUUGGAGUCUGUCUGCCCCACGGGCAUCACUCCCCUGUUCUUGUACUUUUUCAUUUUCUAUUCAAUAGAAAGUCACGUUCGGCUAUUCAGGCCGACCAGAUUUUGUGUUGUGCUAGCCAUUCAACUCAUCUCUCAGUCGAAUUCUGGGCUUCCCCUCUUCAUUCGGCUCAUCCUACCGAAGCGAAUUUACUGCGGAGGUUUUCGAACCCGGCUCAUUCGAUCCCUCAUCGGCCUAAUCGCUUGAUCCUCUGUGGGCGCAUACUGCGAGGGUCAUAAUCCGCAGCCGUCUCGUAGCCCGACGAUCUUCCCAAGGAGAAUUGUUGACUGGGUCAAGAGUCGGGUCGUUCGGCACGCAACAAUUUUUGGCACGCCCGGUAGGACACAUUUUUGGUAAAUUUAUAUUUUAUAUAAAUUAUGGCUGAUGAUCUACGUAAUAGGGUUGUUCCUAAAAAUUUUGGGAGUGAUCAACCUAGUGAUUCAGACAAUGCUGGCGAAUGUCAAGCAGUUUUGCCAGUUGAAGGAGAAACUAGUGGACAGUCGGCUCAUCAAGAGCCGAGUCUAACUCAGGCACUCGGCCAGAUGAGCCGAGUCCUGCAAACUUUAGAUUAAAAUAUCCAUCAAAGUACCGCUCGACUAGACGCGGUGCUGGCCGCUAUCACGGCCUAUAAUAAAAAUAUUGCACGAAUAGGGCAAUUAUUGACUCGAAAUGAGCAACCAAUGACAGGCUUACAAAGGCCUAUGAUGACACCAGUGUUGCAAAAUCCUGCGACACCAGUAAAUGGACAGCCCCAAUACCAGGGGGCACCAUUCCAAGCGGCUUACAGACCGGCCAUCGUCAAUACCGGUCAACAGCUGGAAAUUACAUGGGGAUUGCCACUACCUCCGUCGAUGGCAGCAUACCAGCCCCAAAAUGUAGGGGUUAGAGCUGGGGGGCAGGCCCCUAAUGAUAUGCAAGGAGCGAACCCUGCAAUACAGAAUUCUGGAGUUCCUCAAGGGCCAAAUUCGGCUCAAGCACAAGCUCCGCUGUAUGCUCAGAUUGAGGAAGUCAUUCGGAAUACCUUCGGAGUAGGGGCUAGGCCGGCUAUGCGGCCUAUUUUUUGAUCCCCGUAUCCAGCAAACAUAGAUACAGAGCAUCCGUAUCCGGCAAACUGGAAAAUGCCGAAGUUCGACAAGUUCUCGGGCGAUGAGACCGAGAAUACGGUCGAGCAUAUAGCCCGGUUCACGGCCCAAUGUAGAAAAGCGGCCGCUGACUCAUUUUUGAAACUUCGAUUAUUUAACACGUCGUUAAAUAAAACGGCGUUUACUUGGUAUACGAGUUUAUCAGCCAAUUCCGUCCAAGAUUGGGACGAAUUGGAAAGAAAAUUUCAUGAGCGAUUCUAUAGAUCGGAGCCACAAUUAUCGGUCGCCGACUUGGCUUUAUACCGACAAAUGUCAGGUGAAACGGUCGAAGAGUAUUUGGACCGUUUCAAAAUAGCCAAAACCCGGUGCUUUAUGAGAAUGCCGGAAUCAGAGUUCGCCAAAAUGGAAUUAAAUGGUCUGCAUUUUAAGAUAAAAGACCAUUUUGAAGAUAAGUAUUUUUCUAACCUAUUUGAUCUAGGUGUUCGAGUUGCCCAAUACGAGCAAUUUCAGAAGAAAAGUGAGGACGAUCGGCUGCAAUGGAGCCGAUAUAAAAAUCAAAGCAAAGGCAAAGAGAAAUCCUUGCUAGAAGAACAGUCGGUUCAAGAAGAGCCGAGCAAAUCGAGUGAAAGUAAAGAAUCGGCUGAUGAAGCCAAGAUAUAGCCACUUUCUUUAAGAAAAAUUUCUUGAUAGAAAAGCAUUCGGUUCAAGAAGAGCCGAACUAAUCGAAUAAAAGUAAAGAAUCGGCUGAUGAAGCAGAGAUAUAUGUGGCUGGGAUGAUAAAGCGUCGUUUUCCUAAAGCCGACUAUGACCAGCGAAACUAAAGCUUGGGUCUUGGCUGUGCUUUUGAACAGUCGAUUUGACACCAAUAGUCAUCCGAAUGUUCAUUUGAAAGACUAUUGGGGGGCAUUGUUGAUACCAAAAUUGAGCCGACCUAACCCACGUACGAGCCAAUAAGGACACGUGGUACACCAAGAGUCGGCAGUAAGGCGCCUGAAGGACAAGAAGGCGGGAACGGUUGAAGAUUGGGGCGUAACUUCCAUGAGGAGUUAGCGUAACUUCCAUGAGGAGUUAGUAUAACUUUCACGAUCAUGGUUACAACCACUCCCCCAACUACUUUCAACCAACUAAUAAUGUGGGCUAUAAAUAGUAACUUUGAAGCCUGCAAUUGGGGUCUUUGCCCCUGCGCACAAAAGACUACCCUUAUUUCCUCUGCAUUUUAUCGCUUUUCUAGGAGUAGUCUAAAUGUAAUCUUUUUCUUUUUCGCAUUUACUGCUCUCCUAGGAGUAGUUCUUGUAACUUAGAUCUUUGGAGUCUGUCUGCCCUAUGGGCAUCACUCCCUUACAGUAUUGGAGUCUGUCUGCCCCAUGGGCAUCACUCCCUUGUAGAAUAUACUUGGAGUCUGUCUGCCCCACGGGCAUCACUCCCCUAUUCUUGUACUUUUCCAUUUUCUAUUCAAUAGAAAGUCACGUUCGGCUAUUCAGGCCGACCAAAUUUUGUGUUGUGCUAGCCAUUCGGCUCAUCUCUCAGUCGAAUUCUGGGCUUUCCCUCUUCAUUCGGCUCAUCCUGCCGAAGCGAAUUUACUGCGGAGGUUUUCGAACCCGGCUGAUUCGAUCCCUCAUCGGCCUAAUCGCUUGAUCCUCUGUGGGCGCAUACUUUGAGGGUCAUAAUCCUCAGCCGUCUGGCAGCCCGACAACCUUCCCAAGGAGAAUUGUUGACCGGGUCAAGAGUCGGGUCGUUCGGCAUGCAACAGUAUAUAUAUAAUUUUUAUUAUACAAGCAUAAAAAGUAAUAGUUCUGGAGUUAUGACAUUAUACUGAUUUCAUUCAAUUCAGCGGUCGAACUGCUAGUUGAAUCAGUGAUCUGUAAUUCUGCAAUAUUUUUAUCUAGUAAAUGAUUUCAAAUUUUAAAAUAUUGGUGGACAUAAUAUAAUGAGAUUAGAACUUGUUUUAUGUAGCUAGGAACAAUUGCUUAUAUAUUUCUAAAAAGUUUCAGAUUUUCUUAUUUACUCCGUUUAGAAGGCUAAUAUAAAAGAGUAAUGCUUCUAUACUUUUUUUUUUUUUUUUGUUACCGUUCAUUCAUGCGUAUUCAACGGCUCAGAUUUAAUUUUUUUAAAAUUGUGACCUGCAAUACCAGGUCAUUUUGGGAGAGGUAUCGGUUACCAGGUAUCUCAAAAAAGGGCAUUUUUGGCUUUUAAUAUAUGGGCAAUUUAGUCAUUUUACCUUUACUAUAGUUUACCUCAAAUUUUUUAUUUUUUCUUUAUUUCCUUUUUCUCUCUUUAUCUUUCCUUUCAUAAUUUGGCAUUUCAUAUAAGAAAAUUUUCAAAUGAUUUGACAAUACGAUCUUUUAAUUUUUCUUUUCUCUUUGUUUAUUUGUUUAAUAUUGCAAAUCAAUUUAAUUUUAAGAAACUAUGCAUUAAAAUUUAUUUCCAUACCUAUUGCUUUCUAAAUUUUUUAAUAAAAUAAAAUGAAAUUUAGAUUAUUUUGUGAUUUAAUUUGUAGUUAAUUUUUUUCUAGUUCGAUCUGCGAAUUUUCAAAUUUUAUCAUAUUGUAGGAUAUUAAUUUUGUUUAGUUUGAUAGUAAUAACUUGUUGAAAUUUGCAUGGCUAAUGGAUCAGAAAACAAUAUUCCGAUGGAAAAGGUGGUGGCAUUAUAAACUUAAAAUUGAAUUAUAACAUAUAAAUUUAUUUAUUGAUAAGUUUAAACUGUACUACAUUAUUUAGAUUUAUUGAAGAUUUCUCUAUACUUUUUAGGUUCUAAACUUUAAAUUUAUUUUGUUUCGGCUUAUAUUUUAAAUUACAAUACAUGAUCUUAUUAUUUUUAAAAAUUAAUUUUUACGACCAAAAUUUAAUUAAUUUUGUCUAUACAAUUCUAUUAUAAAAAUAAAUUUAAAUUAUACCCUUACCCUAAUAUUCUAAUCAAUUAUCUGCAUAAAUUUUUUAAAUAGUGAUAAAGAUUACUAUCUAAUAAGAAAAAUUAUUAAAUUUUUUUAAACAUAUUAAUAUGCUGAAUUUAAAUAUUGCCCACAUUUAAUUUUUUAAAAUUAGUAUACAAAAUUAAUGAUUAAGAUGAAUUCCUAAUUUUGUUAAACGUAUUAAAUAUGUUAAAUUUAAUAAUUACCAACAUUACGAAUGUUUUUAAAUAGUCAUACAAAAUUAAUAUCUAAAGUAGAACAAUUCUAAAUUUUUUUUAACUUAUUAAAUACAUUUAAAUUAUAAAUAUUUUAACCUACAUUCAAAAUUUUUUAAAUAAAUGAUACAAAAUUAAUGUCUAAACUAUAGGAAUUUAAAAGUUCUUAAACAUAUUAAAUAUGUUGAAUUUAAAUAUUUACCAACAUUACAAUUUUUUAAAUAGUAAUAUAAAAUUCCUCUAAUUUUAAUUACACUUUAAAAUUUUAAAUAUUUAUAUAAAAAUUAAAUUCAUAGUAUUUAGAAAUAGAACUAUUUCUAAAAUUCCUAUAAUUUAAAUUAAUGCAUAAUUUUAGAAACACUAAAACAUUUAAAGUAGAUGCCUAAAUUAAUGCCUAAUUAAUGCAUAACUUUGGUUAAUCAAUUAAUUUUCUAAAUUAGUGCAAAUUAAUGCGUAAAUUUAGGACCUCAAUUAAAAGUUUCUUUAAAUGUUGUAUUGUUUAAUUACCAAACUAAUCUUGAAUAAAAUAAUCCUUUUACCUGCUAAGUAGUAAAAUUACAUUUUUACCCUCUAUUAAUCAAUGGUUAAGAUUUUUUUAAUUUUUUUUAAAAAAAGUACCGAAUCAUUUCUCAACAUAAAAAAAUACUCUUUUAACAUUCCAAGUUCUUUCAUAUAUAUCACUAGAGUUAAAUUUUGUUAGUGAACUGUUAAGAAUAGUCAUUAUUUAUAUAAAAUUACUAUUUUGCCAUUUUAAGUCACCGAUUUUUUUUAUUUGUUUUUAAGUAAGUGACAAAAGAGGCAUUUUUCCUUAUUUUUCUUUCAAAUAUAUUCUUCUACCGUCGCUAACUUUUUGUACUGUCCUUAAGUUAAAAGCAAAACAUAUAUUUUGACUUAUUUUAACUCGACUUAAAAUUUAACUUGUAUUUAGCUUGAGAUGACUGAAUCGAUAUUAACAACAAAUUAUUUAAUGAGAAAUAUACAAUGGGUAUGUAUAUUUGAAACGAAAGUAAAAAUAUAUAAAAUAUUUUAAAAUUUUUGGGAGGCAUAAUUAUUAUGCGUUAUAAACUUAUAUAAUGGUUUAAAAAGUUUUUUUUUUUUUUUUUGGCAAGAGAAACAAAGAAAUAGGAAAGAGAGAGAGAGAGAGAGGAUGAAGUAUUUUCAAUGGGUGGGACUUUCGAUGCUUAACGAACUGAGUCUGAGCACUUGCCCGCUUUAAAUUUCGGGUCACGAGCGCAACAUGUGAAGAGGAGACUAGUAAAAAGUAGUAGUAAUAGUAGUAAUAGUAGGCGCGCGUGGGGAGGCGCGCUUCGUUUGUUGUUUGGUGCUCGAUCCCCCGCACUGGGAAUUAGAUUAUGCUGUGCGGGGUGGGGGGUGAAAAUGUUACGUAUAAGUCCCUCUACUAUCCUGAUAUUGCCUCUCAGUACGUCUCUGCACUUUUUAUUCCAACAUUAUUAUUUUAAUUAGUCUUUGAACUUAAUUUCUAAUUUACCCCAUUAUAAUCUCUAAUAUAUAUAUAUAUAUUAAAAAAAAAAGGUAGAUUACACUAUAGUUGCUCAAACUAUGGGGCACGUGACACUUUGAUACUCAAAUUUUUAAUUUGUUGUAAUUUCUAACUUAGUUUUUUUUGAAUCAUUAUAAUAUAACUCAAUUUGUUUGACUAAGUAUAAAUAAAUUAUUGAUAUAAAAGUGAUCGAUAUAGUAUUUAAAUUGUUAUCGCAUCGUGAAUCACCAUACUUUCACAUUUCUUCUAUAUCAAUAAUUUGCCAAUAUAGGUCGUGAGACUUGAUUGCAAUAAUUUAUAAAUUUCGAAUAAAAAACUAUAACAAAUUAAAGUUUGGAGAUCAAAGUGUCACUUGCCUCACAGUAUGAGGAUCAAAAGUGUAAUUUAUCCCAAAAAAAACAUAAUAAGAAAUUGUUUCGCUUCUUCCUUUAUUAUAUCUCUCUUAGUUAAUUAGUUUGCCCAAAUGAGUGCCAAUUUAGUACCUCUUCUAAUUCUGAAGUCAGUAGUGUUGAACAUACAAUAUUUGACACCAUUCCUGGCAGCUUAAGCUUUUGGUGACCCUUUUUUUUUUUUUUUUUUUCAAACUAGUAUCAGAUCAUGCGGUCUUGAAUUCCAGUCUCACCAAACACCUUGCCUUGUUUAGUUUUUUUUAAUCUAAUUGAAGUCCAAGUUUUUAGCUUAUUAAACUAUCUUACGUCUAGGCGUGGUGAAAAAUAUAGAAUAAUAUAAUAUUAAAUACUAUUCUCUGUCCUGUUUGGUUGGGGAACAAUGGGAGAAUAAAGGGUUAUCUCCUUCUUGUUUUCCAAACACUAAUUUUUAAAGGUGAGAAUAGCUGUUUCCACCCCUGCAUGGAACAACACUAUAUCCACCCUCUUCCUCUCUCCCAUCUUUUAUAAUAAAUUUUACAUUUUAUAAUUUAUAAUUUAAAUUUUAAAUUUUAAAUUUUAAAUUUUAAAUUUUAAAUUUUAAAAAUUUAAAAAUUUAUAAUUUAUUAUUUUAAAACUAAAAAUUAUAAUUUUAAAUUUUAAAUUUUAAAUUUGAUAUUUUAAAUUUUAAAAUUUAAAUUUAGUCUUAAAUUUAAAAUUUAACAUUUUAAAUUUUAAAAUUUAAAAUUGGAGAUUUAAAAUAUAAAUUUUAAAAUUUAAAAUUUAAAAAUUCAAAUGUAAAAUUCAAAAUUCAAAAUUAAAAUUUAAUGAGAGGAAUAAUAUUGUUAUUUUAUAUUUAUAACUACCGCCUAUUUUUUUUAUUCCAUCUUAUCUUUUCAAACAUUAUUUUUUUUGUUCUUGAAAAUAAUCUAAUUUUUAUUCAGGCGUAAAAUUAAUCUAAUUCUUACUGAUACCUGAACUUAUAUUUAUUUCUGAAAUAAACAGUUCUAAUAUAUACCUGAGUUUACCAAAGCGAAGCCUAGUUUAAACUUUUGAAGACAACAACUGUCUCACAUCUUUUAUUGAGUAGUAGCUUGUCUAAUAAAAUACUGGUUAAACAAAGAGGUAUGGAGGUACGAAACUUCUAUUACCAUGAAAAUUAAUAAAUGUAUGCGUUACAAACUUAUGAGCAGAGCUUUAUUUUGAUGCUUCUAAUUUAUAGAAAGGAGUUGUACACAGAAAUGUCAAUGGGUAUGGAUACUCAAAAUUUUAUCAGAAUUUGAAUCCGAAUGAAACGGAUAUAUCCGAUGUUAAAUGGAUAUAGAUUAAUUUGGAUAUGGAUAUCAAAAAUAGAAAUCCGACGGAUAAGGAUUUGGAUAUGGAUUUUGACUGUACCGAACCCGAACCCGACCCGAACACGAAUUUAUUUUGUAUUAUAUAUAUAUAGUCCGGCUGCUAUGCUAUCGAUAGCACCAAGUACUUUGUGCUAUCAAGUUUUCCGCCGUUAGAUUAAUCCCUUUAAUUAUUUUUAUCCGUUAGAUUAUACUAUUCAACCAACCACCCAUUUAACUCAACUUUAGGGGGUCCGAAUCAUCCUAACCGUAUAUUUCUCAAUCCAAGGGCUAAAAAUUCAAUAGCACCAAUAACUUGGUAGUAUUGAUAGUAUUCCAGCCUAAUUUUAUAUAUAUAUAUAUAUAUAUAUAGAGUUGGAUUGGGCUACUAUUAGUAGCAAAAUUUUAUUGUUGCUACUAGUUUUUUAGCCUUUGGAUCAACUCUUUUUAUUAUUUCUAACCAUUGGAUUAAAUACUAUAACUCAGUGGGGACCACUCAACCCUAGAGGGACCACUCAACUCUAACCAACUAAUAUCAUCCUGAUCUUACAAUUUUUCAUCCAAAGGUUAAAAACUUGAUAGCAAAAAGAGUGUUUUACUAUUAAUAGUAUUCCAGCCUAAUUCUAUAUAUAUAUAUAUAUAUAUAUAUAUGAGUUGAGCUAUGAUACUUUUACAAGUAUCACCAUCAUGGUGCUAUUAGGUUUUAAGCCAUUGGAUCUACUUUUUGAUUAUUAAUAGCACNUAUAUAUAUAUAUAUAUUAGAUGUUAUAUUUGAAUUUGUAUUUUAAAAAUUUAGAUUUAAUAAAAUAUAUUUUGAAAUAUUUAAAAAAAAAUAAUUGUUUCGGGUUCAAAUUUUUGGGUUCGGAUUCGGGUUCGGGCUUCGAAUUUUUGGUCAGGUUCGGAUUUGGAUAUGGAUUUUUAAAAUCCGUCCGGUUUGGGUUCGGGUCUCGGGUUUGAAGUCGGGUUCGGGUUUGGGUUUGUAAAACUCCACCCCGAAUCCGACCCAUUGACAUCCCUAGUUGUACGAGGAAUAUAUGAAUAUUACGUUUUCUAAAUAUACCACCAGCACUAUAUUUAUAGCAGAGCUAAAUAUAUAGAUCUUAUUAUUAAAAAUAUUAUUAACAAUGAAUGUCAGCAAAUAUCAUUAUUGUUUUUUAAUAAUUAUGGACUGUUGAUAAGUAAUCUAAUAUUUUUGAUAAGUUUAUAUUUAUUUCUGUCAAGUUUAUCUCUUAAUAUUUUGUUGGUUAGACAUAAGAGAUAAGUUUAAAUCUAGUUCAAUUAUUAUUAUUAGGAUUUUGAUUUAUGUCUAUAUAUAAACUGCUGUAAAUAUGUGAAAAAUUAUCCACCAGCGAAAUUUAGUUUAAAAAUAUUUAAUAAAGUUUUAGUUUUAUACUCCUCUCCUUUCAACAAAUGGUAUCAGAGCAAGAAAAUACUAUGUGAUUUAUAAACCAGAUGACAACAUAUUCGAAAUGAACAUAGUCCUAAUAGACCGGAUAGCUACGUUAAAGUCAAGUGACUCGUAAUUGAUUAACGAAGGUGAAGUUCAGGUGAAACCAAAGCUACGAAAUCGUUUUGAAGAAAUUGGCCUCCGCACAAUAAACGACAGCAGGAGGUUGUGACACUUGACGAAAAGAGAGUAAGGAGAGCCCAUGAAGAGAUCCAAGAAGAUUUGACCAGAUAACCAAGAGGGCUAGGCAAGCAAGCCAAAAUACAAAAAAUUUGGCAAAAUCUCGAUGAACUAAGAACGUCAUCUAAACAGAAGGUACAAAUCUGAAAAUUUUUUUUCGGAUUUUCAAGUUUUGUUAUGGAUUUAGAUAAUUAGUUUAUUCAACCUGGCUUACCAAAGUUCGAUGGAACGAAGUUUAAACGAUGGAAAACUAUCAUUCGAUAUUUUUUUAAAAUCCCAAGAUUUGUGGGAUGUGGUGGAAAAUAAAAAUUAUGAAAAAGAAUUAUGUAAAGACGAAUUUAAAAAGAGAGAUAGAGAAGUUCUAUCAUAUAUUUUUUAAGCAGUGGAUUUAUUGUUGGUUGGAAAAAUUUCAAUGAUAAAGACGACACGAGAAGCGUGGAGAAUGCUAUCGAAAAUUGGAGAAGAUUUGUAGGGAGAGAAUGAAAUUCAAGAAGAAGAAAUUCAAUCCAACAGCGAAAAUACAGAAGGCCCAAUUUGGAAAGAAAAUUUUGAUCAAAAUCAUAAAGAAGAUCAGAUUCGUGAAGAAUAUGUUGAUCAGCAGAUAUAUGGAAAAGCCGACUCAGAUGCAUCUACAAGUAGUAAAGCGUAUUUUACGUUAUAUAAAAGGAACGGUCAACUAUGGUAUUUUUUACGCUUACGGUGGCAAAUCCGAACUCAUCGGAUUCACCGAUAGCGAUUGGGCCGGCGACGUAGAAGAACGGAAAAGCACAUCAGACAACCUAUUUUUUCUUGGAAGCGGCGCAUUCACAUGGUUGUCGAAGAAAUAGGAUAUCGUGGCUCUCUCGACAGCAGAAGCCGAAUACGUGGUGGCAUCAGCAAGCGCUACACAAACAAUUUGGCUUAGAAGAGUUUUUGAAGAAUUUGAUGAAAGUCAAAAGGCACCUGCAAAAAUAUUUUGUGAUAAUAGCUCGGCUACAGCAAUCGCAAAAAAUUUAAUUUUUCAUGAAAGGUGUAAAUAUAUUGAAGUCCGUUAUCAUUAUAUUCGAGAACUUGUGAAGAAGAACGAGAUCGCGCGAACUACACUUUUGCAGAAGCGAGAAUCAAAUCGCCGAUAUAUUUACGAAGCCGUUGACAUCGGAAAAUUUCGUGAAACUACGAAAGCUACUCGGAAUGCGAAAAAUUGGAUUAAGGAAGAAUGUUGAUAAGUAAACCAAUAUUUAUGAUAAAUUUAAAUUUAUUUCUAUCAAGUUUAUCUCUUAAUAUUUUGUUAGUUAGACAUAAGAGAUAAGUUUAAAUCUAGUUCAAUUCUUGUUAUUAGGAUUUUGAUUUAUAUUUAUAUAUAGACUGCUGUAUAUAAAUGUAUGAAAAAUUACCCAUCAUCAAAAUUUAGUUCAAGAAUAUUUAAUAAAAUUUUAGUUUUAUACCCCUCUCCUUUCAACAGGGACUAAAGUGUAUACAUAAGCAAUGGUUCAAGGACUACAGAGCCACGAAAUUGGAAUAGUACAAGGACUAUUCAUACAUUUUACCCAAUUAUAUUAUAGGGUGGUAAACUUGGGGUUCACCAGUAGAUUAAGAAUCCAAAUCUUACUUAUUAAUCACAGAGCGCCUCCACAAAUGCGGAGUAUUUUACUCGGAAUCCUCUUCAAUUAUUGGAUCACUCAUAGAUGUUAAGUAUUUUAUAGUCAACAUAAAUUAUUUCAGGUCAAUUAGAUAAAAUAUAUCUGUAACUUAAAACAAUUGAGAGAUUGCCCUCUCAGUGGCUCAUGGCUAUAUCAAUUAUCAACACUAAUUGGGUCGUGUUAAUAUAUAUUUUGAGGCAUGUUUUCAACUAGAUCGAAUCUUUAGAUAAUAUGGUAUCAGAGCUAAUUCUAAAUACUUUCAUUCUGUGAGAUUGUAAAUUUAAUCCUCACAUUUAUUAUUUUGCAGGUUAAAUUUCUGCAUUACGUAAUAGGUUAAAUCUCCCUCCUAUUCCGUACUAUAUAAUAAGUUAAAUUUUUUCUCUUACCUUGUCUUUCAUAUCUAUCAUACAUGGAAGUAGAGAUGUUAAUUAUAAAAAAUUGAGUUGAGCAGAGCUGAUAAGGUUAGAUUUAUUCUAGCUCUGUAAAAAUCCGUCUCUUAUCUUUUUCUUAUGUUGGUUUUUUUAAAAAAACUUAUUACCUUUUCUUUUGUUUCCUCAAUGAAUUUUGUAGGCUUCACAAUGUCCUCCUCUUAACUAGAUUUCUUGUUGAAUAAAAAUAGGUUAAAUUACAGAAAACUACCAGUAAAUACCUUUUUACUUAAUUUUUCUCUUUGGCUUUCAAAAACCUAUAUUUUGCUCCUCUUAAAAUUUCAGAAAUAUUUUCAGGAGGGUAUAACGUUAAUGAAGAAGGCAAAAUGAUCAAAUUAUCCUCAUUUCUUUUAUAAGAAAAAAAAUAUUUUUUUAAUAUAUUUCUAUCAUUUUGAAGGAUAUUUUCGAUAUAAAUUAUAAGAAAUGGAUGGAAUAAUAAUGAAACUCUAAUGAAGGAAUGCUAAAUGCAAUAAAUUAAAAUAUUGAGGGAGUAAAAUAUAAAUUUUUAAAAAUCAUGAAGGGAAAAUAAAAAAUACAAAUAUUUAUAAAACAUUUUCUAUAAUUUAGCUUUGAAAUUAAAAGUAGAUGUGCAAUAUCCAGCCUAGUUUUUCCAUGAUACUUAAAACCAAGUAGAGGGCACAAAAGGAAUUAUUGAGUACAUGCAUGGACCAACAGUUGGUAAUCACCUUUGAGUCUUGUCCUCAUCAUGCAUGUCUGCCCCAACUAUUCAAUAAUAAAUCACUGUACAUUCUCUACAGGAAAACCAUUAUAUAUAUAGAGAGAGAGAUGGUAAGCUCCAACAAUGAAAUAUUACUUAAAUUAUUUUAAAAAAAUUUUAAUGAUGUUAAGUCAAAAUUUUGAUUUAACUUUGGCUGUUAAAUAUAAAAAUAUUUAAAUACUGUUCUCUAACAGCUUAAACUUUUAGAGUACAACGGUUGUUUCACAUGGUAUCAGAGAACGGUGUUUAAAUAUUUUUAUAUUUAACACCCCCCCUCACGUCUGGGCUCGAAACUUUUUGCAAGAUCCCUAACAAGGACUUGAAUUAAAUGGUAGGAAAUUAAUUAUGCUAGGACCUGACAUGACUUGAACUCAAGAUCUCCUACUCUGAUAUCAUGUGAAACAACCGUUGUACUCUAAUAGCUUAAGCUAAGCUAUUAAAGUACAACGGUUGAGUACAACGGUUGUUUCACAUUGGCCAAUCAAUUAAUUAACUAUUAGCCGAUUAAUAUUGCUUUAGCUUUUAUUACUGCAUGCUAAGUGAUUAAAGUAUUAAAGUCUUAUAUAACAGAUAAAUUCAAUAAAACCUUCAAAUUAAUUAACUAAAAUCGCUCAAAAAAUUUUAGAAUAAGCUCUAUAUAUAUAUAUAUAUAUAUAUAUUAUUACCUUAUAUUUACUAGGAUAUCACAACUCACAAGCAAACUCUUUCUCUCGUAUUAUUCUACUCAAUCAGUGACAUCACUGCAACAUACAUUAUUCGUGACAAGAGAGAAUGGAAUAGGAGAGUUGAUAGGCUGGGCCAGCAUUCACGUGGCAUUUUCACCAACUUUUAAUUAACUCUUAAAUAAAUAAACAAAAGCUUUUCUCAACACGUAUUCACGUACGUAUCCAUGUCAAAAUCUAAUGGCCAUUCUAUAUGGUCGAUAGCUAGGUUGAUUUUUUUUCUUUUUGUUUUGUUUUUUUGUUUUUUUGGUUCUGUGUUGGUUUGGUUAGAGCCGCAACAAGAAAAGAAGGGUGAAGUCUUUACUCUCACUAUCAUUGUUAAUGAAGGCAUCGAAGUUAGGGCUGCCAAUGAGGUAGGUAACACAUGAGCUAGCUGGGGCGACUUGUGUUCGCCCAUAUGUUAAAUAAGUCAAAUAAAUAUGAGCUUAUUUGUUAAAAUAUUAAACUAAAUAAUUUAGCUCGUAUUUGACUUAUUUAUUAACAAGCCAAAUACGAACUUGCUUGUGAAUAACAAAUUAGAUUGCCAACGCUAUUACUGAAUGAAAAGUUUUUAAAAAAAUUACAAAAAAUUAAAAUUUUAAUCUAAUAAUUGAAAUCUACAAAAUAUAAGUCUCUUUGCAUUUGGAUUAGCCUAAAAUCCAAAUACUAAAAUUAUAUAUAUAUAUAUAUAUAUAUAUAUAUAUAGAGAGAGAGAGAGAGAGAGAGAGAGAGAGAGAGAGAGAGAGAGAGAGAGAGAGAGUUGGGCUGGAAUACUAUUGAUAGCAAAAUAUUCUUUUUACUAUCAAAUUUUUAACCCUUGGAUGAGAAAUUGUAGGGUUAUGAUGAUAUUAGUCAGUUAGGGUUGAGUGGUCCCCUAGGGUUGAGUGGUCUUCACUGGGUUAUAAUAUUUAAUCCAAUGGUUAGAAAUGAUAAAAGGAGUUGAUCAAAGCCUAAAAACUUGAUAGCAAAAAGGACAUUUUGCUUUUAAUAUUAUUCUAGCCCAACUCUCUCUCUCUCUCUAUAUAUAUAUAUAUAUAUAUAGUAUAGGGCUAUUAUACUCUUAUGAAUAUAAACUUCUUAAUUUAUACUCAUAAAUUUUUUGUCGUUGGAUGAAGGGAUGUAUGGCUAAGAUAAUAAUGAUUCCCGAGUAGAACGAUAGUAAUCCCCUAGGGUUGAGCGGGUGGUUGAUUGAAUAAUAUGAUCUAAUUGGUGGAAGCGAUCAAAAGGAUAAAUUUAACGGCCAAAAAUUUACGAGUACAAAGUAAUUUAUACUCAUAAAAGUAUAAUAGCUGGAUUAUAUAUUGAGCCGAACACGAGCAACUGAUCUUAACUCAUGUUCGGCUCAUUAAAAUUUCAAGCUAAAAAAUUCAGCUCGUUUAUUAAACGGGUGAUCAGUUCGAACUCAUUUCAAGUUGAACACGAGCUGGCUCGCAAAUAGCGAACUGGAUUGUUAGUCCUAAUUAAUUGUAGUGUUGAGCAUAAAUUUUAAAAAAAAUUUUCAUUCUCACUUUGAUAACUUAAACAUUUGGAAAACAACAAUUAUUUUAAAUUACUUUAACAUGAUAUAAGAGCAGCAUUUGCUGACUGAUUUGAAUGAAAAAGAUGUAAAGUUUACGCACUUUUGAGUGUACGUAUAAGUAGUAUUGCUCUGUAUUCAAAUUGUCCGAGAGAAAGAGAGGAAAUACAUUAAAUGGAAGGAAGGGUCAUAUAUAUGGUUAAUAAUUGAAACAAAUUAAACUAUUACCAAAUAUAGAACUAACAAUUUUAAUUGAAUUAGGAUAUGUGUUAUGAUAUAUCCUAUAACACUUAUCUUAUCCUCUACCAGCAUUUGCUCCAAAACUCUCUAUUUUGCAAAAUUCAAACUUUUGUACACACUUUUUACACUCACUCUUUUGUGAAUGGAAUUUAGAAGUACUUCAAAGGAUGUUUUUAUUUUCUUCUUUUCUUGUUUAAAAUAUUACUGUAAUUACCAAAACAGAGUGGUAUACAUUAAUUUUUAAACAUUAUAGAAUAAACUCUCUCUCUCUUUAUUUGCAUUACUAAUUUUCCAAUUUUAAUCUAGACUUGUCAGAGGGGAAUAAGUAAGAUCAUUAUUGUGUUGGCCAUCACACCUUUUCCCCUUUUUUCAAGCCAUAUGUAUAAAUAGUUCUUAUGUAUAAUUGGGUUUAAAAAAUUAUUGGUGUGGACCUUGUCCUACUCUUGAGCCUAAUGAUUAAAAUGGUGCCUCCUCUCAACCAGCAGUAGAAUCAUAACUCCUUGAUUUUGAUGAUCUGCUUAUAUUGUAUUGUUUCAAUAACAGUACAUCUUAUGUUUUGGUGCAUUCCCAUUUCUAAAUUAUUAUUAUUAUCAUCAUCAUUGUUAUUAUUCUGCCUACUCUAUGCCAGUGAUUGAGUCCUCUCAUACUAAAUAAAUGGCCAAUUACAUAAAGCACACGCCCUUAAGAUUAUGUGUCCGUUUUUCUCUGCUAAAAAAUAUAGAAGUUUCUAGAAACCAAACGGUUGGGGGAAAACAAGUUCAGAGUUAAGAUUUUUUGUGUUUGAAAAACUGUUACUAUUUUUUUUAAAUAACUCUAUCAAACAACACUUCUACAUAAACAUGCUGGUCAACUAGUCUCUAUAUACACAUAAAUCAAUACAAGUUUCAAAAAAACAUUUAGUGAGGGUGUCAUGGGGAAAACAAAGGCCACUAUUCUAGAUGUAUGGACCCCCAAAAAAAAAAGGCUAGGGUUCAUAUGAAUCUCUUAAAAUCCAAAUGGUGAAGAACAUGUGAGUCCCUCGCACAAGAAUAUGUCCCAGUUGUUGGAAUCAACUGGGACCAUCUUUACUUUCAACCCCUUUCUCUCUUUUAUAUUUCUCUAUUAGUUUCCAACUGUGAAGCCUAUGAACUGUGAAGCAUAUGCUCUCUCUCUCUCUCUCUCUCUCUCUCUCUCUCUCUCUCUCUCUCUCUCUCUGCCCCUCUUAACUGGAACAUGGCAGCAUCCUAGGUAACCUACCAUAACUAGAACAAGUUGGAAUCCUAGAUUAGGGUUGUGAAAGCAUGCAUUAGUUUACCAUAAAGUAGUUUUUUUUUUUUAAUCUUUACCCUCCUUUUCUUCUGCUUUAUUGGAUUCUGGUGACAAGCCUUGUGUCUAAACUAAUCAAAGGUUUCAUAAAUAACUCUGAUAUGUUUUAAGUUGAUGAUUCUUCACUUACUAUAAUUGUUACCACUAUUCUAUUUUGCAACAAAUCAGUUUUUUUAAGGUUGUCCUAAACCUUGGUUCCAGGAGGAAGAGGUUGUUAUCUCCCUGCGGUAAGAAGCAACGAACUGAUUCAACUUCUAAGUAAAUAGCAUGUUUGGAUCUUAGGGGCUGUUGGUUGAUGUAGUUGCGACCGUACUACAGUCGCAACUACAAAGAGAUUCAAAUUUGAAAGUGUAUGAAACUAUAUUAAUAGGCUUAACUAUCAAAGUUGAAACUACUCCCAAAUCACCCAUAGUUCCAACUACAUCAGUUUGAACCAAAAAAUAAAACUUACCUCCCUAGUAACUUGUGAAAAAAAAAAAAAAAAAAAAAAAAAAAAAAACUACAAUGAAGGUAAUCUCACUAGUACAGAUAUAAAGUAAUAAAAUUUUAAAAAUGCAAUUCUUAAUAGAAUACAACCAAACAAAUUAUUUAUUAUUACAACACUUUCUACUACAUCCAACCAAAUAAGAUACAUAUAGUUACAACUACCGUACGCUAAGUGCAUGCAUAUCUAACUAUAUUGUAUUUGUAAUUACAUCCAUUCAAACGACCUCUUGGAGUUGGAUCAAGUAGCUAAUUGGAUUGGAUUAAGCAAAGAGCUUUAGAUUGUACAACAAUUUAUUUAUCCAAAAUAGAAAUAGUAUCAUAAAUAUGAUGAGCACCAAAUAGAUUAUCAUGGUUGUAUUUAUGCCUUAGUAAUGCCCACUAGCACUCCUACUAUAAUAAGGCUUUCAACUGGGAUGUCAAGAAGAAUGCAAUUUCAGAAGUACAAAACCACAUUUACUGACUGCCAUAUAUACAAAACAGACUCAUCGAUACUAUUUUGAGGUAUAUUGAAUCGACAAAGCAUUACUCUACUUCUUAUGUUUUCGUUAGUUCAAAAGAUGGGACCACGAGUUACAAACUCAGAUUGUAUUAAUAUCGAAAGCGAGCCUGCGGAGGUUCUUCAGAAGAGUUACCACCGCUUCCUGCUCCAUUCAUCAGGGAAAUGAGUAAGCGAAGAACAAGUGAGAUAGCUGGACCUCAAAAACAAAAAGUUACAAAGACCAAAAGGAGCAGCAAUAAUAGGAAAAGAAAACAAGAAGUCCAAAAGUCGCAAGAACAGGGGCAAAAAACCAUCAAUCCCCAGCCAUCAAUUGUAGGUUUAAGUCGCAGCUUGUAUCAUGGCACAACUCUUUUUGAACUGCUGUGUUUCAUAUUCGGAUUUUGUCUCGCUCCACUCGAUCCGAGAUUGAGAAGUCAUCACUACCAGAAUCACUCUUGUCAUGCAUCUACAGCCUUCAUGCUUGUUGCUGCUAAGGGCACGGACCCAAAAAGAGAAAUCAAGUCACUGAGACAUUUAUUCCUACCCUGUUCACGAAUCUUAAAGGCUGUCAUGUCGUAUCUGCCGAUCUCAUUCAUCUUGCCUGUUAGAAGUUGGAAAGACAAAUACAAUAUCAUACCACUGACAAAAUGUGAUCCGAUUUCAUUGUUUUCAAAUUGCAGCUCUAAAGUAGAUCCAAAUAAGUAAACAUAUAAAUCUAAAGUAAGAUGCAACUAAAGGUAAGGUCUUUUACAACCACGAAAAUCUAAAGCAAUAAACACCAGGAAGUGUAGAAUUGAUAACAUGUGAAUUGCCUUUUCACUUGGAUUGGGAAGCCCAAAAACUUUUGAGAAAAAAGGCAGUACUUCAAAAAAAUUAGGCCUUUGAUCUCUGCUAACCCUUCGGACAAUCAAUAUCUGUUUACCUUUCGGUACAAUGUGUACAUAACUUACAUCAACUAAAUAUCAAUUCCAAAAAUCUGGACAUAAAUAGCAGUCAUUAUCUGUUCCGGUUAAAUAUUAUAAAAGUAUGUCUACAUAUAUAUGGACCAAUUAAAUUCUUGCGUUAUGUAAUAUGCAUGAUGCAACUAUAUAUAAAACCUAUUUCAACUAAAAAGAUUAAAAAGAUAUACUACCUUGAAGCUAUUUAAAUUAUAGUGAUGAUUCUUUGAUAUAAUUAUGCUUAUGUAGGGAAGCAUAGUCAACCCAGAAAUGACAGUUGAUUUGCUUUGUUAGUCCUUCAAAAGUGAAUCAUCCAAAGUUCAUCAAAGAGUUGGUAUAACCAUAAGAUUAACUUUUUAUUUGAGUAGAAAAGUAGCUUCUCGGUUUGCCUUAGAAGGUACUAGAGAAAUUCACAAACCAAGUUCUCAGAAAUUGAACGUCAGUAUUAUCUUCAGGGCCAUGGAUAGUUUUCUAAUGCCAAAUGCAAGGCUAUGAGUAAGCUUCUAGUAUUAUCAAAAUGUUGAAGAACGCAAAAUGGAUAGAUUUGAUUUUCUGCCCUUCAGCAACAGAUUGUGUUCCUCAUGUGUAAAUGAUUUGUGGCACUUCUUUGGGAAAAACAAAUGAAAAGAAAAUAACCAACAUAAACGAAUCAGCUAAUCAAAAUGAGCCUAACAAUUCAGAAUUAAUGCUAAAUCUCAACAGUAUCAGUUAGUGUGACACCAUCAGAGUUUAAAAUAUUCGAAUAUAUAAGGUAUAGGAGGACUAAACCUCUUAACCUGGCUAUAAUAUUUUGGACAGUGGUUAGGCCUAAAAAGUUAAGAGGAUUACGCGAGCCUAGGACUAGAGUAGUUCUAGGUUGGGUGACUCCCUGUGAGGCAGAGCAUCACAGUAAGCGGCUGCAGUGUCAUUUUCAUGCUUCACUAUGUAAAUCAACAGCAAUAUCUGAAUGAUUAAGACAACAUAACUGCAGGUUAUUUUAAUAGUUAACUGUGAUUUGCUUUUCACCAGAAGAAAGAAACAGCUGAUCCAGACUUCAUCAAAUUUCAGUGCUGUUGACAAUGGCUUCUUCAGAUGCCCCGGAUACUACUAAAAAAUUCCAUAGAUACUACCUGAAGGGAAUGGAAUUUUUGGCAAAUGGAGUCAGGAUCCACUAAAGGACUAGCUAGUAAACAAUCGUCAGCAUAACACAAUAUGCCAGGCAAUAAUAUAGGAAACACAAAAAGGCAAUAUUUGCAGUCUGAAAGCCACCAUAGAGAAUUAAUCAGUAAAUUCGAGUCACCAGUGUAUCAUGCUAAAAGAGGGCAAUAGCUUAAUAGCUGCACCUGAGUGCAGCAACAAAUGUUGUCACAAUAAGAUAUUACACCCUCAAUCUUGAUAAGAUGACAUUAUCAAUCUGCUUAAUAUUCACGCAGUAGGUUCAGCAUAUAAUAUAGAUUCAUCGAACAGUGCAUACAGCCAUCUGAAGCUAUAAAAAUGUGUCAUGCAGACUUAGCCAUUUAUCUUUGAUCCAGAUUGGAGGAGCUCCUGUAGCAUUAGCACUGAGGAACGACAUUGCAAGGUCUUCACAAUUCCGACAACAAGAAAAUACUUGAGCAAAUGACAGCAAGACCAAAGAAAUGUGCUUAGAAUUCCAAACAGAAUGUCACAAACCUUUCCUGGGCAACAGAGUCAUGAAUAGAUGAUGGCAUAUGUAUAUUGCUCCAAAUACUUUUUGUAGAAAAAUGCUUCUUUUGGUAGAACCAUACUAUAGGGUAUGCAUCCACCAAACUGACCACCACCCUCCAUAUUUAUAUUGUUGCAAACCAUUCUCCUGUUAUGGGCAAAAUUAUGCAACUCUUAGAAACAGUAUUCUAGUACCAAAACAAACAACAUAUAGAGAUUAGAAGACUAUACUGUGUUGUUGCAAAAUGCAUGCCUACUGAUAGGGCAUUUGCAUCACUUUGCAUCAUUUGGAUAUAGAAGUAUUUGAAUUCUCUAAGUAUAGAAGCAACAGAUAUAGCAAAGAAAUAUACAACUGAAGCAGUCGUGACAACUGAUACAUAAUUUUAGUAAGGGCAUCGUUGUCCCGCUAACAAAUUUUCAAAUAGAACAGGAUCAAAAGCUUCCCGCUAUAGCAGAAGCAGAAGCAGAAGCUUCUACUAGGUUUCUACCUUUAAAAUCCAAAAGCACAUUUUGGGUUUCCGCAGCAAAAAGGCUCCAGAUUCUUUAUUUGCUAUAUGCUUGGUUUUGCCAAGCAAGAAUAGGUCACAAAAUGAACAGUUAUCUUUCAGUACUUACCCUAUCACUAUAGCAUGCAUGGUAAACAGAAAGGGGGAAAAAAAAUAUUUGGUUCCAAUAAAAUAUAAAUAAAUGUACAUUAUCAGAGAAGAGUCUUAUCACAUGAUCUGGCCAAUGCACGCGGGGAACAAACCCCACUACAAUCUCCGGUGCACUUGCCAUACUGCGAAUGCAAAAUCCAAGGCAGCACAAGGGACAAUUACAUCAUCAUCAACUGAAAAGAUUGUGCCGCUAUUAAGGUCCUCGAUUGGCUUGAAUCUAUUAUUCAAAAUCUAUUAUUCAAAUUAUCUUCCGCAUUCAACCCAAAUCUGAAUUCAGUGUUACAUUGAGACCAUGAGAAUACAAUGUCUCGAAUAUAUUCAAUAAGACUAGCUGGCGUUGGGUUCUUUGCAUCGCAAACUACAUGUAUUAGAUUAGCGUGAGUACAAGAUGCAUAAUCAGUGGCAUGUUACGGACAAAAUGUUUUCCGCUGACUUCUCCUUGAUAGUAGCCCAAUCUCCAAAAGAGCGUUCUGUCAGAGGUUCUGCUGGGGUGUUCUAGAAGCUUCUACGUGGAUCUCAAGACUGAUGGUGCGGAUGCUGAAAGGUCAAGAGUCCCUUAGAGCUUCUAGGUGGGAAAUAAUUGUAGUCUCUUAGGAGCUUGUAGCCUCCCUCUUUGUCUUGUAAUUAUGCGCCACUUGUCGCCUUUUCAUUUGUAGCCUGGGUGACGAGUGGCCUAUAUAAGGUUGUGGCCUCCACCCCCUCUCUUAGGAAAUCAGUUGCACUCUCAACUUUUAUCAAUACACAACAUUCCUCAAACUCUCUCUCUCUUGUACUUAGUCUAGGGCGAGUAGGUCCUAACUUAGCAAGUAGAAAGGUAGACUUGCUCAUUUCGCAAAGGAAGGCGAGUGUCGCAUGGGCUAAACAAACGAUUUAGCUUAUGUCCGUGACAGUUGGUAUCAGAGCGAGUUCAUUGCUGAAAAGCCAUGUCUUCGUCGGAAGCUACCGUCGGUGACGUUGUGCCUAACGACCAAGCGCGGCAAAAGCAAGAAGCCACGGACUCUGGCUAGAGAGUCCGCCUCGCUCGAGGACCGCAUGAGCAUGCUAGAGGACUCUGCUGCAAAAACAGAGGAGCACUACUCCGUCCUAUCCCAACAUGUGAGGAUAAUGGAGGAUGGACUGAAUGCUAUGAAGGAUAACGUUGCGGCUGCCAUGGCAACUUUCCGCCAUUAGCUCGAGGAAUUCCACAGGGACCUCGCCCGUCGCGAGGACGAGCGGAAGAUGCUGGUGGAGGACUUUGCCACCAGGGUCGACGAGGUCGAGGACCUUAAGAUACGGGUGACCAUAAUUAAGAAGGCGGUGGCUCGUGGCAUCGAUAUGCAAAACGAGGACACCCCAAAGAUCCGCGUCCCUAAACCCCAAUGCUUCAAGGGCAUGCGCGAUGAGAAGGAGAUAGACAAUUUCCUAUGGCACAGGGAACGCUACCUCAAGGUGCUGCGGUUGGAGGACGAGGGCGAUAAGGUCCAAACAACUUCCAUGUACCUCGCCGACGACGCAAUGUUAUGGUGGCGACGGCAUUCGGCAAAGACCACGAAGGGCCAAUGCGAGCUAAAGACUUGAGAAGACUUCAUGCGCGAGUUGAAGGCACAGUUCUACCCUGAACAUGUCACAUAUCUUGCACGGAGGCAACUUCGAUGACUCAAACAUCGAGGCACACUCAAGGAGUAUGUCCAAGAGUACUCAAAACUCAUGUUGGCGAUCUCCAACAUGGCCGAUGAGGAUCGGCUAUUGUUCUUCCUAGAUGGCCUUCAGUCGUGGGUGAACAAGGAGCUCAUGGCGCGAGACGUGAAGGACUUAAACUCCGCGAUCGCUUUGGCGGAGAAGUUGCCUGAGCAGGAGCGAACCGAGGGCGAUCGAAGUAAACCACCAAAGGCGAGGAAGGCCAAAGGUAGGGGAGGGCACCGCGAUCCAGGGGGCGCGAAGGGGCACAAGCUAAACCGUGAUGCGAGGAGGCAGCAAUAGAAUCCCGCCCUGCCACCUACAAAGAUCUCUUGCUAUGUUUGUGGCGAGAACCAUUGGGCGCGGGACUUCCCAAAGAGGGGCAACCACAAAAGAAAGCAGGUUACUGCGGUCCAAGAUGAGCAGGGCGUGGUCGAGUUGUCGAGGAUGGGCGCGCUAAGGCUCGUCAACGCAGUCCGCAGUCAGCCAAGCGGCAACAAGCUCCGAGAAGGGAGCUCAUGUUCGUCGAUGUGAUCCUCAAUGGAAGGACCAUGCGAGGCGAUGAUCAACAUCGGCGCGAAGCACAACUUUGUCACGAAGGCGGAGGCCAAGCAGUUAGACCUCACACUCAAAAAGGAUGCGAGCCGCAUCAAGACGGUCAACUGUGAACCGCAGCCAAUCGCAGGAGUUGCCAAAGGCAUGGAGAUAGCCAUCGGCCCAUGGAGGGGCAAGGUUAAUCUUAUUGUUGGGCCGCUCGACGACUUUGGAGUAAUCCUUGGGAUGGACUUCCUUAUUUCGUCCAAAGCGGCACCAAUGCCACACUUGUGGGUGCUGAGCUUCCUGGACGAGUCAGCACCGUGCAUGGUUUCGAUGUGUUGGGGCGAGUCGACGAAGGACCAAACUCUGAUAGCCCUGCAACUUUACGAGGAAGUGAAGUGCAGGAAAGCUAAGGAACUCGCAGAGGAAGACCUGAGCAGCGGCGAGACUGUCAAGUCUCAUGAGGUGCUGAAGCAGUAGCGCCCAAUCAAGGUGCAAGUCAUUCUAUCAAGGAACCCGCGGGGACCAAGGGGCGUUCUGCGGCUUGGCGGAGUGCGCGUGCGUGUCACGAAGGACAUGCACACUUGGCGGAUUCUUUGCAUAGCGGGCUCACUGGUGCACAUGCUCAGAGGGGCAAGGCACUAGGAGCUGGUGCGGGGGCAAAGGCGAACUGUGGUAGCAAGGCAUGAGGCCGAUCGAGCGCGAAGGCAUGACAGACUGUGCGGAAGGCUACGCGGACCAGGAGCAGCUCAGCGCAUGACGAGGGCAUCUGUUCGUUAGGUGGGGGAGGUUGUCACGGACAAAAUGUUUUCCGCUGACUUCUCCUUGAUAAUAGCCCAAUCUCCAAAAGAGCGUUCUGUUGGAAGUUUUGCUGGGGCAUUCUAGAAGCUUCUACAUGAAUCUCAAGACUGAUGGUGCGGAUGCCGAAGGAUCAAAAGUCCCUUAGAAUUUCUAGGUGGGCAAUAAUUGUAGUCUCUUGGGAGUUUGUAGCCUCCCUCUUUGCCUUGUAAUUAUGUGCCACUUGGCGCUUUUUCAUUUAUAGCCUGGAUAGUGAGUGACCUAUAUACGGUUGUAGCCUCCACCCCUCUUCUUAGGAAAUCAAUUGUACUCUCAACUUUUAACAAUACACAACAUUCCUCAAACUCUCUCUCUUGUACUUAGUCUAGGGUGAAUAGGUUCUAACUUAGCAAGUAGAGAGGUAGGCUUGCUCACUUCACGAAGAAAGACGAGCGCCGCAUGGGCUAAACAAAUGAUUUAGCUUAAGUCCGUGACAGACAGCUCUCUUGAGAAGAGAAUGGUACUUCCGAGAGUUAAUCAACACCGUGUAGCCAUUCCUAGAAGCAUAGGUGAAAGUUUUAAACAGUAUAAUAAUAAGAUGUAGAUAGAAAAGAAAAGCUACAAUAUGAUAAUACGACAUAAGAUCUACUUUACAGCCACUUUGGACUAUUGGGAAAGACAUCAUCCCCAUAAUGAGGUAUCAAAAAUCAACUUAUAUUUCAUAACAAAAUCUAUUAGGUGAGGAACAACCACAAGUUUAAGUGAUCCUUAAAAAUCUAUCAAUUAACUAAAAGUUGAUUCAUAUCACUCUAACAAUUCACUGUCAAGUUGACCAAUAUAUCUGCAUCAAAGAUGGCAAAGAGGAUUAAAAAACUUAUGUCAGCAGAAUGAACCUAUGCAAUACUCAGAUUUGAAAUAUCAUGUCAACAUAAGUUUCAACGUCUUUAAAGCCUGCAAAACGGAGAUGAGCAAAUUAGUAUAACUGAGGUAUGUCACAUCUCAUAGCCCAAGAAUUUCUAGAGAGGUAUAUCUCAUGUGUCAUGUAUCAUUCCUUACCAACUCUGUUUUCGGAUCAACUAAAUGCGCCAAAGGCACUGCAAUACGCAGGGAGGACUGAAGAAUGCAAGGUAAACUCAUGUAUUACUCCUUUACCAAUUCAUAUAUCAUUGCAUAUCCCAAGUGUUCGUAGAAAGCUAAACCGUUUAACUAAGGAAGUUCCAGAUUUGAACUUCUAAAAUUGCUUGGAAAGUCUUCUUUCAACACAAGAAACUGAAGAAUUCGAUUGAACCACAAACUGUGUAAUCAAGCGCAUCAGUAGAGGAGUAGAAGUACAUGGAAGAAAACCCUAAUGGAGGCACGCGAACCAUUCUGCAAAUGGACAAAAAAGUCCUAGUUAUACGUAGUCACGUUUCCUAGAAAGAUUUCAAAGGUCAUAUAUUUGCCUAAGCCUCCAUGGUUUGAAAGAUUCCGAAGAUCAUAUAUAUGCCUAAGCCUCCUUUGUUUGAAAAUUGAGAUGUUCGAUGGUUAUAUGAACUAUCAACAGCAAGAAUAACCUUCAUAGAUCUAAAAAGAACUCGUGAAUUUCUAUCUCAAGGCCCCUCUUCUGAGCAUUCAACAAGAAUAACCUUCAUAGAUAAUAACAUUAUUUAAUUCUGAUAGUAUAAACACCUUCGAACCAAAAACAAACCCAUAAAUGUUCCAAAAGAUAAAACCUGCUCCAUCAUCCCCUUUAAUUAGUUCAAAAAUCUGUAAAUGCAUACUUUGAUCCAGUCCAUGUGAGGCAAUUUCUAACUGCAUAUGUUGAAAAAUAUCUUUACAUAUCUCCUCUAAAGGAUACUACUGAUUCAACUCCAUUGAAAAAUAUGGCCUCCGAAUAGCCUUCAGUUAAUUACUCCUCUUUGUUUCCUUUGGCCACAAAACACCCUCUAGUUAGCUAACAAACAGAGAGAUGGCCACCUUCGAAGCAACUACACCCAAUCAUAAAAGCAGAGUUGACUACAUUGUACCUCUCACAGAGUUGGGGCUAAAACAAAGAUCAAAAUUAAGAGAAACUGAAUUAGGAUUUUGAUAAGAACAACACUUGAAUAGUAACAUAACAAACAUAAGACAAAAAUUAUAAAAAAUAUCUUUAUGCUUGAGCCGUCGUAUCAUUGAAAAUGCUGUACAAAAAGAAAUAUCACAAUAUUUUUCUCAUUUACCCCUUAUAUACAAGAUCUUUGAAUAGUAAUAUGACAAACAUAAGACAAAAUUACAAAAAAGAAGUCCUUCACACUUUAGCUCAUGGCCUUGAAUAUGCAGCUCGAAAUGAAAUGUUACAAUAUCUGUUCUCAUUAACCUAUACAAACAAGAUUUCAUCAAUUUCAACCUUGACUCAAGAAAAUUUAGAAAUGGUUUAAUCCGAAUGCACGACUUCACAGUAAUGAGUUGGUCGAUGGCUAGCGUUAUUUAAUCAAGUAGCAUCAGAUAAAUAUAAAUAAAUUUUCCAACCAACUGCCGAUUCUGGCAACUCAAGUGAGGUCAAAGAUCUCUUUUAUCUGGUUUUAGAUCUCCUGUUCAACUUGCAAGUUAGAUAGAUGUUCAGAUAUAGAACAAACUUAAUAGGUCAACUUAUUUCAGUCUAGUUUUGCAUCCAAAUUCAAAUAUCAUCCUAAAUGCUGGGGUUUAAAUGAGGCAAGGUGAAAUGCAGAGUUGAAAUUAAUAAGAGCUUUUAUUAUAGACACAUACAAAAGUGCAGAGGUUUCUAAUUGAAUAAUAUUGCGCUUAUAUAUAUCACACUUCCAUUGGUGGCAGUGGAGAUGGCGAACUAGUCCUGAAUGUCAUCCUACUAUAAAAUUAGGAAAAUGCUUUUGUCCACUUAGUUUUACAACUUUUUACUCAAAACUCACGUGGCAGUUUCCUGAUAGUUCUCUUUCUUAUUAUAAUUACCAUUCUGCCUAUAAAUUAAACCACUUUUCUCGUGAAUCGUAGCAGCCAUCCAAGUGAAGUUCUCCAAGACAGCAUAUCAGUCAAAUGUUGUAAAAUGUGUAUGUACAAAAUUAUAUCGACUCCUAAAUGACAUAGUUCAUCUGCUUUUUGAAUUCGUAGGCCUUGUUAGGAUGUCAAUAUAAGUUAUUCGCCGAUAACUUACUCAGCAUGAAGAUUUCUUAUGUAAUUGGAAGGUAGGAGUCAGAUUUUUGAUCCGUGAAAGCUUCGGCGUCCAUGAUUUGGUAUGAUAGUAUAUUUCACCUACGAUAAAAUUUAUCUUUUUUCCAAACAAAAAGAUAAAACUUGAAGGUCAAACAUACUAUUUUAUUUUAGAUAUUUGACCACACUCCUAACUUCUAAUCAUGCUAAAAAUUCUCAUACUCAGUAGGAUAUCAUUGGAUAACUUAACUUAUUUUGAUGUCCAAAUAGGGACAAGUUAUUCUUAGUCAUUAAAAUUGAUAAAAACAUACAAAACUUACCUGAACUAUGGACCAUUUUGAGUUAGCUACCCAACCUAUCAAAAUUUUAAAUUUACUAUCCAACAUUUGACUUUAUUUGAUUUGAGUCGUCGAACGGUACUUUGACUUCAAAUUUUGAAUACAUUAUUUAUCUUUACAGGUUUAGCCGGUAUACUGCAUACAAUUCUCACAAGUAUAAAUUUAUUAAAGUAAGUAAUUAGUUUAAAUUAAUUAGAGAUAAGUUUAAAUCUUUUAUUUGAUUAUGAUUAGGAUAUGUAAUUAUUCAAAGUAAAAUUGGAUUUAUCAUCUGUUAUGAUUUGAUGGUUAUAUAUAGUUAGGCAUGGGUUAAUUAGAUGAAUAAGGCAUAGUAGACAUGGCUGCAUAGGUGUUGCCCACAAUGUAAUCAAUUGCUUUUUAUUAAUAAAGCAUUAAUUUAGUUAUCUUCUUCCCCCUCCAAUAUCUCUUCUCCAUAUUAUUUUGUUCUAUUUUAGAUCUCGGGUUAUAUAAUCAACAUCAGCACAAAUACUGAUUCCAACAAUUGGAAUUAGAGAAAAUCACACUUCCAAUAAGUGAUCAGAGCAAAUCACGCUCCCAACAAGUGGUAUCAAAGCCGGAAAGUAUCAUAUGACUUAUAAACCAUAUGAUAGCAUAUUCGAAAAGAACAUAGAUCCAAUGUACCGGAUAGCUCCAUCAAAGUCAAACAACUCGUAGCUGAUCGACGAAGGUGACGUUCAGGUGAAACCAAAGCGAAGGAAUCGCUUUGAAGAAGUUGCCCUCCGCACAACAAACGACAGCAGGUGGUUGUGACGCUUGAAGAAAAGAGAGCGAGGAGAGACCCUGAAGAGAUCCAAGAAGACUUGACCAAAUAGCCAGGAGGGCUAGGCAAGCAAGUCGAAGUACAGAAAAUUUGGCGAGAUCUCGAUGAACUAAGGACGUCAUCCAAACAGAAAGGUACAAAUCUGAAACUUAUUUUUCAGAUUAUCAAGUUUUUGUUAUGGAUUUAGAUAAUUGGUUUAUUCAAUCUUGCUUACCAAAAUUUGAUGGAACGAACAUUAAACGAUGGAAAAUCAUCAUUCGAUGUUUUUUAGAAUCCCAAGAUUUGUGGAAUGUAGUGGAGAAUAGAAAUUAUUAAAAAGAAUUUGAUAAAGAAUUUAGAAAAAGAGAUAGAGAAGUUCUAUCAUAUAUUUUUCAAGUAGUGGAUCUAUCGUUGGUUGAAAAAAUUUCAAUGAUAAAGACGGCACCAGAAGCGUGGAGAAUGCUAUCGAAAAUUGGAAGAGAAGAUUUGCAGGAAGAGAAUGAAAUUCAAGAAGAAAAAAAAAAAAUUCAACCCAACAACGAAAAUACAAAAGUCCCACUUUGAAAAGAAAAAUCUGAGCGAAAUCAUGAAGAAGAUCAUAUUCGUGAAGAGUAUAUUGAUGAUCAAAACGGUGCAACUCAAAUCGACGAGAAAGUUUACAAUAAUGAUGUAAUUAAAGAAUUUUCUACCGAUGAAGUAGUUAUGCAUAAGUCAAAGAGGAAGUUGAGUAUUUUUCUAAUGUUAGUGAAGAAAUUUUCAUAUAUCAGAAUGUGGAUGAAGAAAAGAAAAAGGCACACAAAAACAUAGAUUUAAAAAUACAGACUUUUGACAUAGUACAAAACGUACACAUUGAAACCAAGGAAUCCAAAAUAUCAAAUUCAGAUAUUUGUAGGAACCCGCAGAUCUUUAAGGAUGAUGUGGAUAACCACAACUACAGGCGGCAAAGAUUUUGUGCAUGGCAACAUCAUUGGACAGGCGUCAUGCUGCACAAUUCGAACACGACGACAACGACAGCAACGGAGAUUGCAAAAUCAAAGUGCACGUUUCAUGAAGUUCACAGCUUGAAGAUAAAGUUUGAAUUAAGGGAGGAUGUUGGAAUAAUAAUUCAAACUUAAUUAAAAUAUAAUUAGAGAUUAAUUUAAAUCUUUUAUUUGAUUAUGAUUAGAAUAUAUAAUUAUCCAAAGUAAAAUUAAAUUUAUCAUAUGGCUAUUUAUAGUUAGGCAUGGGUUAAUUAGAUGAAUAAGACAUAGUAGACAUGGCUACAUAGGUGUUUCCCAGAAUAUAAUUAAUUGCUUCUUAUUAAUAAAGUAUUAGUUUAGUUAUCUUCUUCCUCCUCCAAUAUCUAUUCUCCAUAUUAUUUUGUACUAUUUUAGAUAUUGGGUUAUAUAAUCGAUAUUAGCACAAAUACCGCUUCCAAUAAAUGGUACCAGAGCAAAUCACGCUUCCAACAACCGAUUCAAAAUAGUUCAUAGUUCAGGUGAGUUAUGCAUGUUCUUACCAUUAAAAUUUAACCCCAAAACCUAGAAGGGGACCGAGGAGGAGGGGCAGGGAAUUUGCGGUCCCACCGGAUCAACGGCCCGACGCGGCCGGAGAUGAUGACGAGGAGGAAGAGAGCGAUGGCGGCGGCGGAGACGACGAUCCAGGCCUUCGCGGGCCCGGCAAGCUGUCGGAGGCAGAGGGGGAGGAAAGACGGCGGGCCAGAACGAAGGGCGUUUAUUUUUGUAAAACAUUAGUAUUUGGUUUUUUUUUUUGAAUAUUUUAAAAAGAUAAAAAAUUGAUUUUUUUUUUUUUUUUUUUGAGAGAGAGAGAGAAAGGAAGGACACGACCUCAUACUAUUUGCUUUAUUUCUUAGAUGAAUAAAUUUAGCCAUAUAAUAAAGUAAAACAGUAAAAACCUCAAAAAGACAAAAAAUCGAAGGAAAAAAAAACUGAAAAGAAAACAGAGUUGAAGCGGAAACAAAGAGAGUAACAAACCCCGAUGUCAUUCAACUCUACAAAAGUCGGCUCAUUCCUCGCCAGCAAACCAAUAUGAUGAACAUUUCAGAUAGCGUUAGUAGGGAAGUUUUUAUAAAUAUUGUUACCUCUUUCGUUCAGAUCAUUCACCACAUGACCGCCGCAAGUAUUUGAGUCUUCAAAAAAUCAGGCUGUGAUCCCUUUCCAGCAAUCUCUUUCGGACGAUAUUGACGUAUGGAGUUCAUCGAGGUGCAAAAUAAAAAGUAAUUUAAUUUUUCUAUUUAUAUUCCAUAGCAUUUAAAGAAAGAAAAUUGACGGCCCUGUAAAAUUUUUACAUAGGCUUUUUUUUGCAAAUGGCCCCUUGAAAAAAUUUUAUUUUAAAAAUAGUCCUGUCAAAAUUUAAUUUGCAAAAAUGACCCUAGUCCUGCCACGCAGGCGUCACGUCAGCGCCACGCGGGCAGGACUGGAGCCAGUGUGUUAAGUUGAACACGAUAAAUCAUUCACCGUGUUUCGCACGGUGUAUUUAUAUUUUUUUUCUUCUCUUUUAGGAAUGCCAACGGGUCGGGUUUGGAUCGGGUUUUAAAAAACCCGAAUCCGAAUCCGAAAAUCAAAUUAAAAUGCGAAUCCGAAUCCGAAUCCGAACCCGGCGGGUUUCAAAAAUUCAUAUCCAUAUAACUUUAACAUAUGGAUAUAGGUAUGAAUUUUUAAAACCCGCCGGACUCGGAUUCGUGUUCGGGUUUUAAUUUGAUUUUCGAAUUCGAUUUCGGAUUUUUAAAAAUCCGAUCCAAACCUGACCCAAACCCGAUCCGUUGACAUCCCUAAAAGAGAAGAAAAGAAAUAUAAAUAUACCGUGUGAAACACGGUGAAUCAUUCACCAUGUUUGAACACGGUGAAUGGUUCACCGUGUUCAACUUUUCUGCCCGCGUGGCGCUAACGUGACGUUUGCGUGGCAGAACCAUUUUUGCAAAUUAAAUUUUGACAGGAUUAUUUUUAAAAUAAAAAUUUGCCCGAGAGCUAAAUUGAAAAAAAGCUCUUUUUACAUCUAAAGUUUAUAUAAAAAAAAAAAAAAAACUUAAUCCAUUAAAUUACCAAACUAAUAUAAUUAUGUACUAUUUUAUACUAAUAAAUUUUUGUAUAACAAGGUAUCAAAAUGAGUUAUAAAUCAUUUUUGUUUAAAUGACUGUACCCUUCCAGUCUUCCGCAUCUGCUAUUUUAUAUAUUGAGAAUAAUUAUGAUUUUCAAUAAAUUCAUAAUUCCAAUAAUUCCUUUUUUUGUGUUUGUGUGUGUGUACUAUAUACAUGACGUUUAUAAUUGCAACAAUAAUUCCGAUAGUUGUUUCAAUAAACCAUUAUGAAACCUGAGAACAUAUCACAUGGCAAUAUUGCUCUUCAAUCAAUCCACCACAUAAACAAACCACACACACUUCACAUUUGAAGUAUAUGAUUCCUCAAGAAGCCUCCGAUUCCACCACACCUCCGCCGCCGACGGUGGCGAGCGCGGCGUCGCCGUAAAUGAAUUCACGGAUCUCGGCAAACAGGGCCUCGGCCUUGGCCGGGACGAAGAGCUCGAUCGCAUGGAACCCUUCGUCGUCGAGAUUCGCCACCACCUCGACGCCUUCGCCUUCCAGAAACUGGGCGAACUCCCGCUGCCUAUCGAUCAACGGGUCCCCCUUGCACCCUUUCACAAAGCACCUGCCGAAUAUAGACAUUAUCUAGAAUCACCGUUCGCUAGUAACUUAAACAUAUUCAAACAAAAUAACUUCUCACAUAGUAGUUAAUUCAAAUCCAGUCCAGGCAUUUUGGACAGGGUUCUAGUUUAAAAAUAUCACUAACAUUCCUCUAAAUCACUAAUUUGGAUGAAAUUGUAAUUAGAACUCUAUAAAUUCUGCGUCCGGAAAUAUUAACGGAUAUUAAUUGAGUUAAUUUGUCGUAAUUUGAGAUGAUUUCAGAAAACGUAAGCUAAUAAAAUGGUUUAAAGUUGGACUUGUCAUAAUUUGUUUCUCACUAUAAGAACAAAAUGUCCAUCCACCAAUGCACUUCCUAAUUUCUUACAAAGUCAUGUUGAGUACAGAUAAAACAGAAAAAAUAGAUAAUUAAAUUUAAUUCAAUUUUUAUUAUUCCAAACAAAAAAAAAAUCAGCUUCAAAAUUAAUUCACUUGAAUUAAUGAAAUUAUCAAGCAUUUCAAUUCUAAGGUGAUUUGAUAUUAAAAAAACAGAAAAAAAAAAAUACAAAACGCGCAAAGUUUAUCUGGUCCAAAAUCAGCAUAUCCUAGAUCAGGCACACCUUAAGGCGUGUUUUGUUCUCCGAAAAAUAUUUUAGAAAAUAGUUUUCUACCUGGAAACAGAUUUUUCGUCCGUUUUGGUUUGCAUAAAGAGUAAUUUUUCUGAAAUUUUUUUUCUCAAAUUUCAUAAAGUCUUCUUUUCAUGGAAAUUAUUUUUGCUGAAAACUACAAAAAAAAUUAUAUUUCAUGAAAUUUUUUUUUUGAAAAAUAAUUUUUAAUAAUUUUUUGAGAAUCUAUACAUCGCGGCCUCAUGGUCAGGUCAAGUGAGAAAAAGUGUUGAAUACAAAGAUACUAAAAAAGCCUAUCUAAUCAUGCGUUCGCUUUAAACACAACUGCUUGUAAUAAAGCAGUGACAACCAGAAAAUUAUCAAACUUUUGUAGUAGAAAGAGACAUAACUAAGAUUCAGUCCCAAAAGCACAAGAUCCAAUUUUAACCUAUAAUUUCAUUACAAUCGAAAAAAAAAAGUUUUGUUGAAAAAUUUUAAUAUAAUACCUUUUAAAUAUCAUUUCCUAAGCAGUAAUUUAGGGGUUCUUUGGUUUCUCGAAACAGCGUGAAAAAAAAAAUCUAAAAAAAUAUUUUAUGAAAACUCGUUUUCUAAUUUUUUGUCCGUUUGAUUUGCAGAAAAACAAGUAUUUUUUAAAUUUUUUUUCAUAUUUCAAAAAAAAAUUAGCUUUUUGUUUUACGGAUAUAUUUUUAGAAAAACGAAAAUACUAAUUUUUCGUAAAAUAUGAAAAAUAAUUUUUCAUAAAAGCUUAUUUUACUUAAGACCCUACAGACAAAAUACUGAAAAUACAAUUUUUCAUGAAAAAAUUUGUUCUUGAAAAUAAUAAACAGUACAGUGCUCUCCUGUAAAAUUAAUCAAACAAGCUCCAAAGCCCUGUUCUCCGAAAUCUUAAGCAUUUUAGGCCCUGCUUGGAUAUUGGGCAUGAAAUUUUUUUUUAUAUGAUUGAAGGGAACAAGUUUAUUAUUAUUAUUAUUAUUUUUUCUUAAUCCUUGAAUGAUCAUAGAUAGUAUGAUUUAGCAGAAUAAUAUAUUCCAGCAAUAAUUUAUCUCACUCCAAAAAAUUCACUAAAACAUAAACUACGUUGUUAUUCGAUUCUAAAUGUUUGAUCGCAACCGACUGUCCCUCGCGCAAGUGACAGAGAAUUUGGUGAUUGAUAUCCGAGGUCCCAAGCUCGAAUCAUAAUUGAUUCAUAUUUUUAGCUAAAUUUAUUUCUAACAACUAAAUUUAUUUUUUAAAAAAAAUAGUAGAAGCGAUAGCAUACUACCUUUCUCUUAAAAAAAUGAAAAAAAAAAAAA